This 114278-nucleotide long non-coding RNA is filed under the name Citrus maxima (pomelo). Its description in RNAcentral is "long non-coding RNA (CMAX_LNC000822)". The record is from RNAcentral. Lineage: Eukaryota; Viridiplantae; Streptophyta; Magnoliopsida; Sapindales; Rutaceae.
UGCGGAAUGAGUGUAGCCAUCUUCAUACUUGUAAAUGACAUCUAUAACGCGUGUAAGAUUGAGAAUUCGCAUCAGAAGUGGCAUUGGGACAACUGUUGGGCGCAGGCAGUCCUCAUUUGUAUCCUUCCAGGCAUUUGAAAUUUGUUUCCGAAACUCAUUGCAUGCUUCCUCUUCUGUCGCUCCAUGUUGUUUCAUGUAACACUCAACGCUUGAGGCAACGUGCCCUCUGCUUUGUUCAAACUAUAUGCAAAUACGAAACACAUAUAUAAAAUAUAUUUUGGUUAAAGAGAAAAUUAAAGAUUACACCAUUCGUUACGGAGGCAAUAUUAUCAUAUAUAUUUACCUUGUGUGACACCAUGUCAUCCAUGAGUCUGCAAACUACAGAAGAAGCCCUAAUCAAUCUAGGGUUGCUGAAUAACCAUUCAAAAGAUUCUUUAGUUACAAUGUCUCCCAUGCCAACAAAAGAUGUGGUUGACAACAUUGGGUAGGCAGAGGUAACUAAUGCAACCGUCAUGUACUCAUCCAUUGUUGGUAUAUAAUUCUGAUGGCACCAUUUAGCUUCAAAGAAGUAAUUCUUAACAAUAUUCUUCAUCUGAUCAUGAGAAUUAAACCAAAUAUAUCAGAUCUUUGUUAGCAAUUAAGAAUUAAUCUUUAAUGAAAUACUGAAGAGUACUCCACCGCUUUUUUUGCAUAAUGGAGGCGGUAUAAUUUUCCCUGAGGGGCCAAAUCUUUCUCUGCUUCACUGUAAACAUCAAGGAGGGCCCGAUAACACAGUUUCAUAUACUCAGGAAGUUGAUCUAUGGCACUGAUAUCCCACCUGCGAAAGAAAAUUGCUAGCCCAUUUCAAUAGGGGGAAUUUUGAUAACAAAAACGAUAUUAGAUCUUGAUCAUGAGAUCCUAAAUUACUGAUGAGCCAUCCAAACCUUUUAAUAGCUGAAGUAAAGAGCUCAAGUUCUUCAAUUUUGCCAUACACAUCAUAGAUGUCAUCAAUAAUAGAAGUCAUGGAAAUCACUUUUGUCAAUAUUCUUCUAGCAAAUGAAUAUUGGGGCUCGAAAUACACUCCUAAUAUCCAAAAGUAGCACUCUGCAAUUCUGUCUCUUAUACAAGGUAGCUUAUGCGCAAAGUCUAAUUCUUUCCACCACCUAAAUGAGACGACCAUUUACAUAUUAAUAUUUCUUCAAAACUGGAAAGCUUAGUUAAAUAUGCUCAUAGUGGAAUUGAAAUUAUUUUUAGAACUUAGUUAUUUACCUUGAAAUAUCACCGAGUUCCUUCUGGUGAAGCUUUUGCAAUUUGUUAAAAUCAAGUUUUGCGAAGGUCAAUAGAGCUUCAUUGUGGGAAGAUUGUUCUUGAUAGAUAGGAAUGUAAUGUCUUGCCUCAAGCCUUUGUAAGCCCCUGUGAAUAGGCUGAAUUAAGGCAUGUUUGACUCGCUCGGCAAGUGGGGAGCCGAUUUGAUGAGCCGCUAUUGACUCAAGGUGACUAGUGGUGAAAGCAAGCGCUUCAUCCAGUAUAUUUUCUUCAUGUACCCCGAGAUGCGUGGCUUCAUACAAGCUCAACAUUCCGCCAACAUCUUUCGCAAGAGAUGUCUUAAAGUUUCCAUCGCUGUCUUUGAACCUUUUGAACACAUCUGCUACACCACUUAAAUUUUUAGUGGUUGGACAAAAACUGGUUGUACCGACUGUAGUACUAAUUUAUUUUUAUUUUAUCAUCUUGCGAAAUGCCUCAACAAACUCGAGAGCUGUUUACAUAAAUUGUAAAAUAGAACCGCUGGCUAGAGGACAAAAUAAGGCUUAACUUAUAGUAAAAGCAUGAUGAUCAUCAUACAAAAGACCAAACAAAAAUAACAAAUGCAUUUAUAUACGCGUGAAGAGCGAGGCAGCAUCUCAAGUGAGAGCUGAACGCUUGAGUUUCUUGCUCCAAAAAGUUGGUUGUAAUUAAAGAUGGAUGUGUUUUUUUACAAGAUAUUUAACAAGGGGAAUAAGUGAGAAAAAGACAUACCAGCGGAAAUUUUACAGCCAUGUUGUCUAAGCAAUCGAAACUGAAGAGAGAUAUAAUAGAGCUCAUCAUUUUCAUUAUCCCCAAGACCACAGUCUUGGUGAGCCUCAUGCAAUUUUCCCAAGAUUUCAUCAAUCUCACUUUCAAAAUGGUAAGACACUCCUAAACGCUGAAUCGCAUCAAUCAAGUCCAGAUUAUUCUGUGUAGGCUUGUUGAUAUAAGCUUUUAGCAUCCUUCUAAUUUCCUCCUUCAGCUCUUGAUGCUUUGCACUGCCAUCAUCUUUUUCCUGAGGAAGAAAAUAAAUUGAGAAAUAUUAGUAGAGGAAUGAAUGCAUUUUAGACCGUAUGUGUGUGUGUGUAUUGCAUGCCUACAUCUCGGCAUACAAAUUAACGUAUGCAAUACGACCAUUAUGGUAUACAUUGUACCAUCGAGUCACUAGUAUAUGAAAGGAAACGGUCUCCCCAAAUGCUAGGAUGAAAAUUUGCAGAGCGACGAGUAUAAUCUUUCUCAGCGUUUCGUUGGAUAAUUUUAGUAGGAGAGGCUGAAACUUGAAGAGACAUAUUUUCUAUUGCUUUCUGAAGGCUUUUCAGUUUUGAGGUAAAAAGGUUGAUUAAUUCUUGGCGUAGCUUCUUGUGGUUCAAAAGCUGGACGGUGUGAUCUUCACGAGUCUUCAAGCUCGUGCAUUUUAUAGACUUGACUGCCCUAAGAUUAAGCAACAACCUUAAUCUCACAUUGCACAUGUUUGAAACAUUGAAACUCUUUCAACGUCAAGGCGGACCCCAGGACUUCAAAGUAUCUAGGCUAAUUUUUUUUUUUUAAAUAUUUUAAAUUAAGUGAACAUAAAAUUUUGUAAGUAGAAGAAAAUAAAAUACACCUAAUAAGAGGGGGACAUUAGAGGCUUUACCCCAAAUAAUAUUUACUCCAAACAAAAUAAUUAUAUAAAAAAAGUUGAAAAUCAAAAAGUAAUUCAAAACAAAAAUACUAUUAAAGUUAUACUUUUCGCGACUUCAAAUAAUUGAACUCAUCAAUUAUAGAAUCUGAAUCAAUAGUAUUUGCAAUUUCUCUUUCAGGAUAGAUGAUCACAGAAUCCAAAAGAGACUAAUUUUCCAUCAUACGAUAAAGUGAUGUCUUGAUAAGGCUCAUGACUGAAAAUGCACGUUUUGUUAUGGCUGUAGAAAUGGGAAGAGUCAACACUAGAUAAAUUAGUCCAUCAAUUAAGAAAUAGUGUUAUGAAUUAUUUGUUUCAAUUAAUUGUCAACAUAAAUCGGAAAGUGAAAUAACUUUAUGAAAAAGUGGAUGAGAAUGCGCAUCAAAUUUAUAAUGUCCCAAUUCUCUUCCCAAAACAAGAAUCUCAUUUGCAGUGGAAUCAUGAGGAUAAAAUUUUUCAGCACGACAACAAAUACGAUCUCUAUCAAAUAAAUUAAACUUAUCAAUUGGAUCCAAAGCCGAGCUUAGAGUAAAUAGUUCCAUAGUUUGCUCUGGGAAGCUUGUAUUUAUCUUUAUCAAUUGAAAACCUUUUAUAGCAUUAAAUACAUCACACAUUUCUAGAAUUGAGAGUUAAUACCUCUAUGAAAUAAGAGUUAUCAUAAUAUUUUUAGACCUAAACUAAUAUUAUUUAGAGAGUUAAUGAUGAAUUUUUUUUCAAGUUAUUUCAUCUUUAUUGGGUCAAGUUCUAUCCACUUCAAUUUUUUUAUCUUAAAUUCAUAACUUAAUUUUGCAUCUAUUCGAUCAAUUAAAUACAUUAACAUAAAUACAAAGUGAAUAAGUAGCAUGUUAACUCCUAAUUGCGUCACUAAUGGGGUUGGCAAAAUAAUCAGGCGCCUAACCCUGACUACUGCCAAACCGAACUAUUUUAAUGCAUGCGUUGAUUUAAAAGAGAGAAAGAAGUUUUCCUGACAUAUGUCACUAUAAUUUAACUAAUAAGUUCAAAUCAGUUAGCUUACAUUUCAAAUAUGGUAAGUAUGACUCAACUUAAUGCCAUUUCUAAGAGGAUCAAAGCUGACCAUAUCGCCGCCACUUCGGCCUUGGUCGAAGUGGUGGGCUGCUGCCCUCACAAGCAUUGUGGGGGCUAAAUGCUCUUAAUAUUUAUAAAUCAUUCUCCCUUGCGAAAUGCGAGUGAAGUAUGGACAUCCCUCCUCUGUGAGAGGUUAUUUGUCUGGGCAUGUACUUCACAGAAUUCAAUGUAAUAAUGUAAGUCCCAAUCAUGUAUAUCUGAUUGUAAAUAUAAGUGUAAUAUGUCUGCUAUAAUAGCAGUUGUUGUAAAUAUCUGUGUAAUGCAGUAAUCUGAUGUGUAAUCAGUAUUCAAAAAAAAAAAAAAAAAGCUGACCAUAUCGCCAUCAUGGAAUUUUUUUUUUCGCUGGUAAACCUCAGCUGCUCUAAGGAGAAUUUUACUAAAUUAAAAAGAAAAAGAGAAAAUGACACUUAAUAAGGGACAUAAUAAACUUUGCCCCUCUUAAAACUAAAACAAACAAGUCCUAAUACAAACCUAACAAUAGCGAGCACACAGAAUUCGAAGGGAAGGUAGAAUUUGUAUGGGAAUCGACAUUUUUGUACAGAACAUCCAUUAAACAAGCAAAAUUGAGAACCCGCUCGAGCAAGGGCAUAGGAACAACAGUUGGUCUCAUGAACUCCUCAUUUAUAUCUUUCCAAGCAUUCUCAAUUUUCUCUUGAAACAGUUUAACGGCAUUUUCCUAGGAAACACCAUGCUGCUUCAUGUAGCAUUCAACAGCUGAGGCAACAAGUCCUCUUUGUUGCCCAAACUACAUAACAUUCACAUAUGUAUCGGUCAUUUAAAAUAAUAAUAAUAAUAAUAAUAAUAAUAAUAAUAAUAAUAAUAAUAAAUUAAUAAUAUAAAGAGCACUAAAUAAUAAAGGGUUUAGUUCAUGCUACCUUAUGAGAGACAAUGUCGUCCGUGAGUCUGCAAAUUUUGAGGAAGCCUGAACGAUUCACUACUACAAAAAUGGGCUUUACUGACACUAAAUUAGUGUCAGUAGGUACUUUUCCUGACACUUGUUAAUUGUGUCAGUAAUGCUCAAGGCAGAACACACUAACACUAAUUUUUAGUGUCAGUGAUUUUUGUAUCAGUAAUUCAUGUCACUAUAGUAUCACCAAAAUAAUAAUACGAUAGUGUUAAUAUUUGAUGAUAUUAUUUACAUGUUAGUGAUUUAUGUGACUAUAGUAUCAAUAACAAGCUAGCUCGAUAAUAUAAAAAAUUAUUCAUGUCAAUUUAAAUAUUUAGUGUUAAUAUUUAGUAGGGGUGUUCGCGGAUCGGAUUUUACGGAUUGGACAGCAAUCCAUAUCCGAUCCAUAAUUUUGCAGAUUAUAAUUUUUCAAUCCAAUCCAAUCCACGGAUUGAUAAAAUUCAAUCCAAAUCCAAUCCAUACAUCUACAGAUCGGAUGCGGAUUUAACUCAAUUCAUAUCCAAUCCAUACGUCUGCGGAUCGGAUGAGGAUUUGACUUAAUCCAUACGCAAUCCACCGUUUUGCGCAUUAGUUUUCGAAUUAAAAUUUUUUAGUUCUCUCCAACUAAUGAAAUAAAAAAAGUCUAAUAUAAAAAUAAUUUUGCUACAAAUUAAAUUUAAAAUUGAAUAAAAUUUAAAUAAAUUAAUUGUUUAAAUAAAGCUAAAAUAAUACAUUUAAAGUUUCAAAAUAUAACACAUCGAGACUAAUUAUUCAAAUAAAGCUCCAAUAAUACAUUCAAAGUUUCAAAAUAUAACACACCAAGCUUAAUUAUUCAAAUAAAGUUACAAUAAUACGUUAAUAUAACACCGAAAUUAAUUGUUCAAAUAAAGCCACAAUUAAUUGAAAUGGCGUAGUUUUGGAAACCAAACACAGUCUGACCUUCACUAGGGCUGUUGCGCUUGUCGAAAAGUGGUGAUUACGGAGCCAUCCACGAUGGGAACCAGGAGAAGCUGUACGGGUGGCGAUCUUGAAGGUUGUGAUAGUGAAAUUGUUUAGCUGGAACCAGUGAAUGUGAAGUGACUCGAUGGAUUUGGGAAAGAAGAUGGCUUGCUCUCGCCGGAAUCGCACGGCUGAUGUCCUUUAAAUCCGUGUCGAGAGUGUAUCCAACCAGUAUUGAGUGUUGCUAGUGUGUGUAACGGCGGAGAAGCUCAGGGUUUUUUGUUUGCAAAUUGUUGGUGACUUGGCGUUAUGUUACUUUGCUUUUGCUAGUGCGUGUGACUUUGCUUUUAUUUUGUUUUACAAUUUUUACAAGUUAUAUUUGUAUAUUUGAUUAUUUAAUUAUUUUUCAUUUUAUAUUAUUAUUGGGUAAUGACUAAGAUAUGUUAUAGUACUUAGUAACUAUGCAAUGUCACAUUUAUAAUUUUUUUAAUUAAAUUUAUAAUAAUUUUUUAAUUAUAUAUAUAUAUAUAUAUAUAUUUUUUUUUUGCGGAUUCACGGAUUUAUGCGGAUUUACAGAAGUAAAUCCAUAUCCAAUCCAUCGACUGCGGAUUUUUAAAUUUUCAAUCUAUAUCCAAUCCACCAAUCCACGGAUCGGAUUUAUACGGAUCGGAUUCAGCGGAUCGGACGGAUUCAACGGAUCGGAUCGGAUUAUGAACACCCUUAAUAUUUAGUAAUGUUAUGCAGGAUUGGUUAAUAAUUUUUUUUUAUUCUAAUUAUAUUUUUCCUGUUUGUUUUACAACCAAAAGAAAGCUCAAAAUAUAUUAAAUAUAUAAAAUGUCGCAAUAUAAUUCACAUAAUAAACAUCCCAAAUACACCAUUCAAAUUCACAUGAUUCAACUACACCACUAUCUAGAAAAGAAAAAUAUAAGUACUAAAUUAAGUUUUCAACAACCACAAAGUACUAAUUUAGUUUCCACCAAAAAGAAGCACAAGAACAUCACUCAACAUCUAUUUGUAGCUUCAUUUUUUUUCCCACCUACAACAACAUAAAAUCAAUUAAUAUGGAAAUAGAUUAUGGAAAACAAAUCGAUUGCGAGUAGUUAAACAGAGCAAUUGAAGGAUGUUUUAACAACUAAUAAAACAAUACGAAAUAAUAUUACAAUAAUACUAAAAGUUAAAGAAAUAAAGAACCUUAGCUUAAGUUGUCUGAAGAAGCCAUGUUGGAUAACUUGAUACAAGUCAUAGAAAACAAAACAUCUAAGUCAAUCUAAUUAAAACCUUCCUAUGUUUUUAUAAUCAAACAAUAGAAAUCUGCAAUCAAAACAUCCAUUUGCCCACUCAAACUUUCAGCCUUAGCAUAAACUUCUUUCACUUUAAUCUCGUAAAACUUGUCAAAUUUAUGAAACUCUCAUCAAGCCUUCUAAAAAACUACCGCUCUCAUUUCCCUCCUUCCUCAACAAUCCUCAAAAGUAUUUUCAUUGCAAAAUAGCCCAAAAAAAUUAUAGGAGUUGUUUUGACUUUAGAAUAGCAACAAAACAACCCCCGAAAAUCUGUAGGGGCUGUUGUGCAGUGAAAACAACCACUAGAAAUCUACAGGGGCUGUCUUGUUGCUGUUCUGUAGUAGAAACAACCCCUGCAAAUUAACACUUUCAGAUGAAUUAGAAAGGAAAUAAUGUUACCUAUGAUAGUCACCAUUGUCGAAGUCAUAGCAAAUAGCUUGCAAAUUAACAAUAAUAACAACAUUUACAUCAGUUUAUGAAACUGCUUUUAUUGGUUUUUUUUUGCAAGGAUAUGUAUAUAAAUAAUUGUGCAUUUAAACUUACAAAUAUAUUGUAUCUUAGACCAGCAAUUGAUGUGGUAUAGUUUUUGUAAAGUACCUUAUUUACCUCAGAAACUUCACUUUCCUCUAUGCCAAGAUUUUGAAUCAUCUAUUAUACACAAAGUAAAUUUGUAGAAACUAGUUAUACAUUUGUUAAACAAAUAAACAACUUAAAUGACAAAAGUUUACUAACUGAAUAGAAAUGCACCAAGGUCAUUAUAAAUUGGCACUACUUACUGAAAUGAUCAACAACAUUGACAAUAACACCUCAUACAUGAAUUCAGAUUUUAAGCAUAUAAAGAGAGAUCAAAUGAAUGAUUGCUUAUACAUUUUAUAACAAAUUUUACAACAAUAAAGUAGAUAAAUGGCAACUCUACUAGAGGUAUGUUUCUAGUAUAAGGAAUCAAACAUAAGUAAAGGAGCAAGGUAGUAUCUUAUCAUCCGCAUAAUCAACACACCAUGACAGAAAGCGAAUCAAAUAAAUACUACGAAUGCCAAAUGGAAGAAAGAAAUUAAAACAUUUUCUGUAAAAUAUUAUUAUUAUUAUUAUUAUUAUUAUUACUAUUAUUAUUAUUAUUAUUAUUAUUAUUAUUAUUAAUCAAUAACAAGUCUUAAUAUAAAGCGAAAAGUUUUUGAUGAUAACAUAAAUAUCCAAAACUAUGUAGUCAGAUACUCAAAAGCUGAAAUCAAUAACAGGUCUUAAUUUAAAGCGAAAGUUUUUGAUGAUAACAUAAAUAUCCAAAACUAUAUAGCCAGAUACUCAAAAGCUGAAACCAAAAUAUCAAAAAAAAAAAAUUUAUAAAGCAAUAACAAUAAACCUAAGCAGUAAACCCGACAGACCCACCAGCUUUUUUAAUUUUCUUCUUGGCUGUUUUGGAAACAAGCUUGGCCUUCACCACAACGAGUUGGUUCUCAAGCAAAAGGCCCUUACCCAAAACCUUAAAGUAGCCAAACUGAGUCACAUCGAUCGUGGGAACAUUGUCUUUGGAAGCCUUGGCUUUGACCUCCUGAGGUACCAUUGGCCAAAGCCUUUUUUUUUUUUUUUUCUUGAUCCAUGUCAAUGAAAUUUGAUAUUUUUAUUCAAGCAAACGAAGCGAAACCCCUGCUCAAAGAUACCAUAAAAACUAGAUAGAAAUUUUGAACGCUAGUGUCUAAAGCCCAGAGGCCUAUGUAUUUGAUAAAACAACUGACGAAACACUAAACACAUAAUGUUGAAAUUCAAAAGUUAAAAGGGUCAAACAGAGAAUUGAAACAUAAUAUGAUUCGUCCUUGAGAUAAAUUCUUGGCCCUCAAAUCACAUGCAGAAGCAGGCUACAGUGAAGAGAGAUUCGGAAGAAGCAUUGAAAAUGCCAAAAAAUCGAAGUUUCCCUUUUUGAGAAAACCGACCUUAUGAUUACUAAGGCGAUUCAGGCAAGACAAAUACUACACGAACCCUAAAAAUGGAGUUGCUUACCUUCUGUAGGGGAUGCGGGGAAAAUUAAAUUAUUACAGUAUUACUCACAACUCAAUUAAUUUGAGCAUUUGACUAAUCUAAUUCAGGCAAAAAUUUAAUGAAAAAAAUUAAAAAGUGGAAUCUCAACUCACUGUCUUAGGCGGCUGGUGCGAUGGUGACGGCUGAAUGCGGUUGCAAUAGCAACAGUUUAGAUCGGAGGGUGAGAUGGUGACCAGAGACAGAGAAAGUGAGAGCAACUAAACGAGCGUGAGAGAGAGGGGCUGUCGCUGCUGUGUGUGCAUUCAGAGAGAGAGAGUGAAAGCGAACGAGCUACUGCAGCGUGUGGUGCGACCUGCUGGGUUGCCGCUGCGUGGACUGCGCGUGCCGCUGUCAUCGUACGUGCUGCUAAGGCCUUGGGGAGGGGCUGCCGCUGGUUAGCGCUUAGCGAGAGUUAGGGAUUUAGGCACUUGGAAUUUUAGGGAUUUGGAUUUUAGUUUGUUUGAAAGGGAACAAAUUUUGGUGGAGGCAGAUCAAAACAUUUGUGUUAAAUUUAACCAAACAAAGAAAAUAUGCGCACACGUGGUUUGUAGUUUGAAAUUAAAAUUUUAACUUCGGAGAUAUUGAGUUCGAGUCCAAGUAAAAAUAUAAUUAGAAUUAUAUUUGUUUUUAUCACUAAUACUAAAGUAUCAGUAGUUACUGAGUUUUAUACUACUGCCACCUUAGUACUAGUGAUUUAUCAUACAUAUUUGUUAAAUGGAAAAAAUGAUCCAAAUGUAUACCAUUACCGACACUUUUUACGAAGUGUUAGAAAUGAAAUAUCAGUAAAAGUCAUUUUUGUAGUAGUGAUUUUAGGGUUGCCGGAUGCCUAUAGAAAGGCUUCUUUGUUGCAAUAUCUUCCAUUCCCAAAAAUGAAGAUGUUGAUUACAAUAAGUACCCACAUGAAAGUGUUAGCCUAAAGGGCUAUACAUAAUGUAAUUUUGAUGAUAACAAACAUAUGUAUUAAGUGAUUUAAUAAAUAUUAUAUUUCACAUUUUCACUAGUUUUUGAAGGAUAAUAUUUAUGCAAGUGAAUCAAGUGAAAUCAAGUUUGAAGACACUCAACGGACAACGGCGACAUCAAGAAUAUAGUUUAGAGCUCAACGAACAAAUUAGUGCCAUAAAUUCUUGUAAAGCCGGUAUGAUUUAAUUGAUGCAUGAUUUAGCAUUUGAGAAGCUCAAGAGAUUAAUUUAAUUAAAUACUUUUCAUAAACUAAAAGGUUUUAUUUUUAUAAAGUAAAGUAUUUUGUGGAUUUAAGUAAUUUGGACUUAAAUGCUAAGAUUUGAAAUCUUUGAUUUUAAUAAGUAUUAAAUUUCGGAGUUGGAUGUUUUUUACAAACAUUUGAAAUAUUUUGGGCCAUAUUAUAAUAUAUGAAUAUUUUGGACUAAAGUGAAAGGUUUUGAGAACUUUGAAAAUAUGGGUAAAAGGACCUUUGUGCGAAAUAAUAAAAUCUUUGGAGCCAUAUCAUAAUUUCAGAAAGUUUGGGAAAGACAACUAUUCUUAGGAAGUUAUGAAAUUGGACCUAUUUGUAAAGUUUUAUGACAUUUUGGGUCAUAGUAUAAUUAUAGAAAGUUUUGGAUCAAAGUGUAAUUUCAGUGAACAGUAUUACUGUAGCAAAAAUUAAAAAAUAACGGUAAUAUCACUGUUCCUGAGCGACUAGCCGGAUAAUCAAGCGGCUAACUGCUUGGGCGCGAGAAUUUGCCUAUAACGGCUAGUUUUCGGGCUUUCACUAUAAAAACUCAACUCAAACUUCAUUCUAAGUAAUAAUACAAGGAAAAACAAGAUCAUAUAACAUAUAUUGAACUUCCAUUUCGCAAAUCAUCAUUUAUUGAGUUAUAAUUUGUUAUCCACUCUUAAAGAGAGUUUCAUUAUUGUGAUUUUCAUUUCUCAUCAAAUUGUGAGUGUACAAGUGUGAGAAACACUUGGGGUGAAGAGAUUGGGGAGAUAAUCUCUUGUUGUAAAGGUCUAUUGACACAUUGGAAGUCAAUUGUAAACAUUUGAAGCCUUGGGAGGCUUGGAUAGUGAAAUCCUCAAGCCGGGUGUGCUUGGAGGCGUGGACGUAGGCAGGGAUAGCCGAACCACGUAAAAAUCCUUGUGUUUGUUUUCUCUUCCCUUACUCUUUUAAUAUUGUGCUUGAUUGAAUUUAUUGUUUUUGAUUUGAUUAAGGCAAUAGAUUAAAUCGUUGUGCGAAUUGUAUUGCAUAUUUUUAAAAUCCCAAUUCACCCCCCCUCUUGGGUUGCAUAACUUGCAUUUUAGAAAGUAGUGCGAAGCACAUGUAUUCCUCCAUUUUCCGUACAUAUUCAAAAAAUUUAGCCUCAAUGAUGUAACUUCUCACCAGAGUCUUCAUCUAAGAAAUUAUUAAAAAAAAAUUAAACAAAGGAUAAAAUGGGAAAGAAAGAUUUAUUUUGCGCAACAGUUACUAAAGUGAGGAGGAAACUUAUAUUUGCUACAGAGCUUUCACACUAACUGAAAUGAACUGACCAAUUCUUUAGCAAAAGGUAGGCCAUACAACAUUCCAUUGCUGGUUAAAUCUUUCUCAAAUUCGCUGUAAGCAUCCAUAAGAGCCCUAUAGCACAUCUUCAUGUGCUUAGGAAGCAAAUCUAUGGCAUCGAUAUCCCACUUAGAAAAAAAAAUUAUAAACCAUAGCAUUUCAUAUAAGAUUUUAAUCGAUGAUUAUCACAAGUUUUUAAAUGUUUACUAUUGUUAAGAAAUAUUCAAAUGUGAAAAUUUAAACAUAUCAGACUUUUGUUAAGAAAACUUUUGGUGAAAACUAUCACCUAUAUCUCAGGAAUAUUCAUAUUGUAUCACCAAGAACAAAUAACAAAAAUAUGUAGAAGCGUACAUGAAUCCCUAACGCUGAAUUGUUCUCUAGGGUUGUGUGGUUAGCCUCCACACGUUCUCGUAGAGAAUCAUUUACGUUUCCCAUUACUCUCUCUCUGAUGGGAUGUCAAUAGAGAAUAAAAAGAUAAUGUAACUUGGGAACUAUAAUAACUUAUAUAGACAAUUUUUUUUUCUUAUUGUCAUUGGAUAUUCUUAAUUCUGCCCAUCAUAGAAUUAAAAUACCGUUGUGUCUCUACAAAUUAAAAGUCCACACCCUAUUAGAUAUAUUAAAGCCCAUAAUACCAAAAAUCUUAAUAGAUCACUUUUAGUUGGACUUAACUUUAUAUGACAGUCUGCAAUAUAUAAUUAUUCACAUAUAAACCCAACAUUGGAUUAAGGAUCCAACAAUAUUGGAUUAAAAAAUCUAACAAUCUCCCACUUGGGCUAUAUGUGUAACUUUAUAAUUAUGAUUUUGUAAAAAUAACCGUAUGAGCUCAACCUUACUGUCAUUACUGAAAUGUAUCUACAACCAAUCCAGUCCAUCAAUCAUACCAAUAUAGGAUCAAAGCGGCCUUUGUUACAACUAUCGUAACUUGACCCAUCAAUGGUCACUAUGUCAAUACAACUGAAUGACAUGGAUCAUGUGUGGAUGUGUAGCAUGGAAAUUUCAUGCAAUGUGAUCUUAACAUGUCUAUUUCCAACUGAUCCACUUUAAACCAUAGUGAGGUCAAAUCAUAAAAAAAAAAAUCAGAGUGUCAAUACACUAAAACUUUAUUUUUAUAGAAAAUAACCACAAAUAUUCAUAAGUUGAAAUAACUAAAAAUGUGUAUAUUACAAAAGAAUUUAAAAUCACAAACUCCCACUAAAACUAAAUAUCCUUUAAUGACAUGACACCCAUACGACCAAUAUGCUCAUGAAACAUUUUGGGUGGCAAUCCCUUAGUAAGCAGAACCAUAAUCAUGGAGUCUGUGCCGAUGUGCUGUAUAGACAAGUGUCCACUUUGAACUCUUUCUUUAACAACUGGGAACUUGAUGUCUAUAUACUUCGACUUCGUCAAAGGUCUUUUGUUAUUGGAAUACAACAUUGCUGAUUUAUUGUCAUAAAAUAACUUGAGUAGUAUAUCAACACCAUCAAUUAUACGCAACCUUGUGAAAAAAUUUCGCAGCCAUAUUCCGUGAUUGGAUGCCUCAUAACAUGCUAUAAACUUUGCUGCCAUUGUAGAAGAGGCUAUAAGAUAUUGUUUAACACUCUCCUAAUAGACAGCACCCCCAGCUAGUAGAUAGAUGUAACCCGAAGUGAAUUUCAUACUAUCUUGACAUCUAGAAAAAUUGAAGUUAGUAUACCUAAUGAUCUUAAGCUGAUCUAACUCCAAUAUGUGAACAUGUAGUUUGUUGUUCUCUAUAAGUACCGCAAGACUCGUUUGGUUGCUUUCUAAUGGUCUAUUAUUGGAUUACUUAAAUAUAUGCUCAAUGUCCUAGUAACGUAAGUAAUAUCCGGUCGGUACAAACUUGAGCAUACAUCAGACUUCCUAUUGUUGACGCAUAAGGAAUCUUCUGCAUUUCUUUUUUUCCUUAAAAUCAUUCUUAGGACACUGAUUGAAAUUAAACUUCCUUUAGCAAUAGGGGUAUCACUUGAUUUACAAUUUUGCAUGUCAUAUCUCUUGAGAAUUGUUUCGAUAUAGCUCUUUUGUGAUAAUCCAAGAAUACCCAAGAGCAAUCCCGGUGUACCUGUAUGCCUAAUACAAAAGAAACAUCACCAAGAUCUUCCAUCUCAAAAUUCUUAGUUAGAAAUCUCUUGGUAUCGUGCAAUAGGUCUAUAUCGUUGCUGGCAAGGAAAAUAUCAUCGACAUAUAAAACCAGAAAAAUAUACUUUCUCCCUCAGAACUGAUGAUAUAUGCAAUUAUCGACCAAAUUCAUUUCGAAACUGAAUGAAACAAUCACUUGAUGAAACUUAAAAUACCAUUGUCGAGAUGCUUGUUUAAGCUCAUAGAUGAAUUUCUUAAAUUUGCAAAUCAUAUUCUUUGGUCGUUGGGACAUAAAGUUUUAUGGUUGCACCAUAUAAAUCAUCUUAUAAACGUCAACAUUGAGAAAUGUCAUCGUUACAUCCAUCUAAUGUAACUAAGUUCGAAAUGUGCCAUCAAUGCCAUUAUAAUCCUAAAAGAGCUUUUCGAAGAAACAAGAGAGAAAUUCCCUUUAUAGUCGAUGCCUUUAUUCUAUGUAAAGCUUUUUAAGACAAGACGCACAUUGUACCUCUCCACAUUUCCUUUCGAAUUCCUAUUGUACUUAAAUAUCCAUUUGUAACCAAUAGAUUUUGCACCUUCUACCAAUGAGACAAGAUCUCAUACAUCUUUGUCUUUUAUGGAUUUCAUCUCCUCAUUCAUGGCAUCAAUCCACUUUUGAGAGUUUGAACUUUUCAUGCUUGACGGAAAUUGAUUGGAUCAUCUUCCAUCACCCCGAUGCUUACCUCAUGUUCUUAGAGAAAUACAAUAUAGUCAUUUGACAAUGCACUUCUUUUUUCUCUAAUGGAUCUCUUUAAUGGCAAAGGUUUUUAAGGUGGUAGAGUUGGAAUAACUUCUUGUAUGGGAGGUUCUCCAACAUUGUCUUGAUUUGUUGUGUCUUGAACAAAGUCAGGAAUGAGACCCUGAUCAAUGCGAAUAACACCUAUGGGAAUACCAAUAUAUAUCUCUUUAAAGACAAAGUCUUUAGCCGUAUCUCCCCUGCAAACUCGACAUCCUCAAAGAACCAAGUAUUUCCUGACUCGAAAAUCGACUUAGUCGUAGGAUUAUAAAACUUGUGCCCCUUAGAUCGUUUUAGGUAUCCUAUAAAAUAACAACUCACCGUCCUUGAGUCCAAUUUCUUCUCAUUGGGCAUGUUGUGCAAAUUUUAUUGAACUCGCAAGUGCACGAAUCUAUUGUAGUAUAGAUCAAUGGUGACGAGUGUCGAUCCCACGAGGAGGUGGAUUUUAAUUGUGUAGAAUUAAUUUUCUAAAUGGGUGGUUGGAUUUGUGGUGAAAAUGAUUUAGAUUAUCCUAAAAUUCAAAUUAAGAUGGCAAAAAUAAAUUGAAGUGAAAAUCUAUUAAAUUGACGUACUUGGGUAUCUGGAUCCGUAUCAACAUGCACCAUGUGCUAAAUAUUCCUUAUUAUUACCAAUUAAAUCAUGAGAGGGGAAUUCACAACUCAUAAACCACACUCUAAUCAAUAUGGUGCUAAGGACUUAUCGUGCCAAAUAAUAAUAACCUUAUACUAGGGAGCCGGUGAAACUAGGGCAGUAUUUAGACAAGCUUAUUAUUAUUUGUCAAUGAGAAGUCAAAACAUCCACAAAAACUAGAGGGGAAGAGAAAAUAAAUUUACCAAAUAAAGCCCAUGACACAUGUUGAGACUUCACCUUCAACCCAAGCUUGAAAGAAAAUUAGCUACUCAUAAUUGAACUAGGGGCAAAAUGGGAAUUUAUUAAAAUAUGUAGAAAAUACAAGAUGGAGAAGGAAUUAUAGAAAAUGGAGUCCAAAAAUAGAUUCAGAGAUAUCAAAUUAGGGGGGAGAGCCCCCUUUUUAUAGAUACAUUGAGUAAAUCAUGGCCAUCGGAUCAAAAACAUUUCGGACGCUCAAGAUUGCGCCACGUCAUUAGUUAACAGUACGCAGUUUGACCACGCGGUUUGAACAGUAAUACGGUUUAACCCGGCUUGAACAGUGACGCGGUUUGGUUGAAAAUAAUCCUGUGUAAUGCAUGUACCGUACGCGAGAUUUUUGGUCAACUGAUAUGCUGCCACGUCAUCGAUCAACAGUGCAUAAGAAUUUUAGUCCAACAGGAUUGUGACACCUCAUCAGUCAAUGCCACAUCAUCAAUCCGUCUAUGUGAACAGUGUCGUGAACAGUAACGUAGACAAUACCGUACAUGUGAAUAGUACCGUACAUGUGAACAAUGUCAUUUUUCCUUUUAUGCUCCUUCUAAGGUUUUCGACCGUCUUGAGUUCAAAAAUGAUGUCCGUUUUACCGUUUGAUCUCUCGUUCAUUAUGAAAUGACUAUGAUGCCCCUAAAAUACAUAAAAUACUUAAUUAAAAUAAAACACAUGUAAUUAAAUCACAAGAAGUUUAAGUACAUAAAAGUAAGGGUGUUAGUAAAACUUGAAGUGUAAAAUGAUGAUUUUCUCCUUUAUAAAUAUACAUUUUCUAACACUCAACACACCCCCCAACCAGCUUAUUGCUAGUCCCUAGCAAAUAAAGCGAAAACAAAAUUCAAAUCCAAAAUGAUUUUUUUUAAUUUAUCAAUCAUGUUUAUUCAAUCAGACUAAUGAUAGUUAUCAAAUAAAAGUAUAAGCAUUAUCUACAGUCUAAAGAAACAUCACACCCACAUCAACCAUCCACAUGAAUCAGCCCAGUAGACUUUGUCAUAGCUACUUUCAAGAAUGACAUGUCAAAUCCCAAAAUCUCACUGGAAGUAGUGAUACUCUCACAAAGAAUUUAAACUCAAUAAAAAUAGUCACUCCAAUGAAUGGUAAUUGAGAGAAAAUAAUAAAGAAGUGAUAUCACAUGCUCUCACCAAUAUGAAAGAAAUAUGCCCUCAGCUUAGAAAUAAUACGAUCUCAAGUCAAAUAAAAAUGCUAGUCAACCCAAUUUAUUUACCAUUUUGCCUAGUCCAAAUGACUGUUGAGUUGAUAUUUUAAAUAGUCGGUUAACUGUUUGGAGCUAUCAAUUAGCCAUUUAUUUCCAAAAACCUGUAAAACAAAUUUGGCUUGAACGUUCUUGCUAAACAGUUCGCGGUCACAAUGUAAUUCCUUCCUGGGAAUUAUUGGUUAGCCGUUUGGAUUUAUCGAUUAGCCGUUUAUUUCCAAAAACUUGCAAAACAAAUUGUGGCUAUCCAUUCUUGCUAAAUGGGUCACGGUUAUAAUCUAAUACCUUUUUGGAAAUUAUCGGUUAACCAUUUUCAGUAAACGGUUCGCUGUUAUUUUCUAGAAUCAGUAUUUUAAUAGUCUUUUGUAGAGAAUGAUUUUCCAAUUAAAAUUAACGAUGAUCCAAAUUCAUAAACAUGUCUAAAAAUAUUAUACGGCUUUAAGAGUUUGUUUAAUAUUGAUAGCUCCAACAUUUUUAAUGAAAAACAUAUAAAGCUUGUUAUCAUCAAAAUCAAUAUUAUAUAGCCCUUAUCACACAAUUGACUAAUACUAAGCAAAUUAUGUUUCAAAUUUUCGACUAAGCACACAUUUUCAAUGAAGGUAGAAGAAUCUUUACGGACAUUACCAAUGCCAAUAAUCUUUUCUUUUGAAUUAUCUCCAAAGAAAACAACUCCACCAUUUUUUAUCUUCGUGAAACUUAAAAAUCAAGAAUAAUUUCCUAUCAUAUGUCUUGAGCAUCCGCUGUCCAAAUACCAUUUGUUCUUUCUCCUCUUUGAUCCCUGCAAAAUAAAUCUCAAGUUUUUAGGUACCCAAAGGUUUUUGGGUCUUAAGUGUUGGUAACAAUAUUUUUUUUAGAACCCAAAUAGUUUUAAUUCCAAGAUAUGCAUUUUUUUCUAAUCGAACAUGCAUAACUUAAGUGGCCAUUUCUAUUACAAUAAUAACAAACAAUUUUAUAUCACUAAUGGAAGUAGCCUUAGCAAAAUAAUUGUUAUAAUAUUUUUAUUUUAAGUUAGGCUUAUAUCUAAGCCGCCUUUAUUAAAGUCACAUUUUUUAGACCUGAGCAAUUUUUUCAAAUUCUUUUGACCAUUUGUAAACUAUAAUACAAUAUCAUUAAGCACAUUAUUCUUUUUCUUAAGCAUUUCAUUUUCAAUUUUCAAAUUAUCAACAUGUACAAUUUUAAUGCUUAAAUGCAAUACUUUCUUUACAAGAUAUAAUCUCAUCAUGCAACUUUUUAUUCUCUAAUUUUAAACUUUUAACGUUUGCACUUAAAGAUUCAUUCUCACUUGAAAGUUUUGCAUUUUUCUUUCUAAGAGAAAUAUUUUUUAUUCCAAUCUUCUUCAAAUCAUUAUGCAAUUCUUUAAAGGCUUCAUACAAUUUAUCAAUAGAAAAUAGAUCACUUACCUCAUCAUGUUCAUUGCAUUAGUCUUCCCCGAUUGCCAUAAGUGCCGGGUUUGAUACUUCAUGUAAUUCUUCCUCAUCUGAGCUCUCCUCGUUGCUAUCAUCCCAAGUUUUUACCAUAGUUUUCUUCUUUAUUUUGUUUAAAAGAGGACACUCCGAUCUUUAUGGCUAGGUUUCUUGCAUUCAAAGCAGAUGACUACUUCCUUCUUCUCCUUUUGGCUCUUAAAGUUUCUAAACUUUCUUCGAACUUCCUUAAUUUUCUGGUUAUCAUUGCCAUAUCUUUAUUUUCCUUUACACAAUGUAUGUGUUUACAAAUGGAAGGUCAAAACGUGAUUUAAUGAAACAAUGACAAGCUUAAAGCUCAAUAGCAAACUCAAUGAUAAUUGUAAAAUCCCAUUCUAAUUUGAAUUUGACCGAGACUUUUUAUAGUUUGAGUUAAAAACUAGUUGUUAUUGACUUUCUGCACAUAAUCGGAUUGUCGUUAACUACUAUUGGAUCAUCGUUUUGACUUCAACAAGUGACCAUUAUGCCAUAGUUUUAAUUAUCGGAUCACCAUUUUUUGAAUGUCAUAUUACCGUUAGUGUCUAGUGACCUACAAGAAGUUGUCAGCUUACCAUUUUCUGAUAAACGAUUUGCCGUUAGCAUCUAGAAACUAAACUCCAAUUUUAUGCAAUGUUGGUCAACGUUUACUUAUUAAUGUUUAGCUGAUUUUCAUCCAGAAUUGAUGAAAUCUUGACUCAAGCUAAUCGGUUAGCCUUUUUAUGAGUUAACAUGAAUCAAUUUGCUUUCAGAAAGUCAUUCUAUGCUCAAAACAUUAUAUGACUUAAGUAUUUUGAUCCGAUUAAAGAUUUCUUCAAACUUAAUCGAUUUAAAAACAUGUUUGUUGUGAUCAGAAUCAUCAUUAUGGAAACCUACAUGUUAAUAUAGUCUUUAACCUGAAAUACUUCUGAAAAAAUUUUAAAGCUAUUUUGUUCCUCGAAUGGAUCAAACCAACUUUCAAAUUAGUUUACCAAGUGUAAGCACGAGCAGUGAGGGGAUUUGGAAAAUUCCCUUAAUCAAAGCUACGAAUCAACAACAUAUUGGCCAAGAGCAUCAAUGUAACAACUAAUAUGUUCUUUAGGGCCACUUUUCAGUUCGUCAAACAAGAUAAAUUGUAGGCAGCGAUAGCCUUCAGGAUAAGGCCUAUACACGAUCUUUUUUAGAAAUGGUGGCAAAAAAGAAUAUUCCAUAUUCUGUACAUUUUGAUUCUAGCACUAUAAGAGAGCCAUUACCUCUACUAAAGUGAUAGGUGUAUCUGACCUUACUUGAGUUUGAAACUGAGGUGUUUGUUAAAUUCUAGGCAUUCACAACUGGUCACACGAAUAGCUCUCUUGGAGGAACAGGCAUUUGUCUACGACGAAGAGCAACCUCAAAUUCUCUCUGCUGGCUUUGUUGUGGGUGAUCUGGGACUUGAUUCUGUAGAAUGACUCGAGGUUGCUCCUAUGGGCUAACUUAUGGUUGCCUUUAUCGCAUGGCUGUUUGCUGCAAAGGCAACAUUUCUCCUACAGUUUCCUAGAUGUGGUUCUUCAUCUGCUCCACAAGUUCUCUGAAACUCUCUUGCUCAUUGAUGGUUCGACUACAAAAUUUAUGGCUCUCUUCGCUACUAGAAACCAUCAUCAAAAUCCUAACCAAACUUCCUGGUGGGGUUGCCAAAUGUUUAAGGCAGAACUUUCACCAAGCCACGUGUUACAAGAACAAGUUCCUUUUAGAAUUGGGCUUGAAUAGAAACUUGGAUUAAAUGGUUUGCAAUCCGCCUAAUUCUGUUCCUGGACAUGUAUAAAACCAUACGGUUGCUCUACUCUGGUCUUUGACCGCUCCUGCUGUGAGUAGUUUCCAUAUACGUGAAUAGUACCUCCUCCCCAAAUAACUAUGGUCAAUAGCUCUGAAAUUAUUAUUAAUGAAUUGACGAGUGAAGUGGAUACAUGACUAGAAUGAAACUGAGAUAUAAAUAUCACGCAAGAGACACAAGAAUUUAUGUGGUUUAGCUUUUAGCCUAUGUCCAUGAGAGAAAAUGAGAAUAGAUAUUUUUACUAAUAGUUACAAGUACCAUAAUAUUUUAUCUCACAACCCAAAGCCCCAGUACACCCAAAACUCUCAAAUUACUAAAUUGAAAACUUAAAACUCUCAAAAUACGCUCGUAAUUGAUGUUUUUCUCAAACAAUUCUUGAUGCUCUCUCCAUGCCCUCAACUCACCUAUUUAUAGAGCAAGCCAAACCUAAAAUUGGCGGGCUCUAAAAUAAUAAUUUAUUUUAUUAAAAUCAAAUUAUUUUAAUAAAAUAAUUUUGUCAAAAUUGGUUGACAAUAUUUUAUUGCCACCGUUUUACUAUAUUUAGGCUGUAAGAAUAGGUAUUAUCGCUGAAUGUCCUAAACAAUUAGUCUCACUCAACUCCGCAUUUUCUUCGCAUGUUUCCAUCACGCAAUGUGUAACGCGAACUCUAAGGAGCAUGUAACACACUAUGCCUGAGCCUUAUGGAUUGAAUUGGGUUAUUGAGCCUCAUAUCGAUUUUUAGGUAGUAACACCUGCUUGAUAACCCUAUUUCCAUUAUGAGCUUGGAUUUCGGUUUUUCUAACAAUUGAAAGGUAGUGGUCCCACACUAUUAUCACACCAUACUUAAAUAGCUAAGUUACAAUAAAGAAUAGAGUUAUUGGUACUACGUAAUAUAUCUAUUUUAAUUUGUAGUCUUUAAUUAAAAUAAAUAAAACGUAAUUCUUAUAGCAUAAUAGCAAUAUUUGGUGAAAUAUAACUAUUGAAACUACUGGGCUUCUUUCAACAAAUUUGCAUGAUAUAUGUGAUAACUCUAUGAAAUGAGAGUUAUUAUAGCAAUUCUAGACUUAAAUCAAGAUCACUUAGAGAGUAAAUAAUGUGUUUCUAUUGCAUUUUUGUUACAUUUUGCAUAAACAUUCAUUUUAAUUUAGUCUUAAUAAAUUUUGCUUGAUUUAGAGUAAUUCAUGCUCAAAUUGUGUGCAUAAUUGUAGGUAUCCAGAAGCUUAUUUUGCACGAAAGGAAUGUUGUUGCAACCGGCUCGUAAAAAUGAGGAAGAACAUGGCUACAUAAGAAUUGAAACAAAAUCUUGAACAAUGUAGUGUUGUAGCCAUUGCUGGAGCAGCCAUUGCUGUAGCAAUCCGGGAACAACGACAGAGAAAAUUUAGCUCAGGAUAUAACAUGGACGGUGCAAUCGAUCCUUGCGGUCCAAAAGGAACAACAAAAAGUGUGCAACGAAAUCCAAUAAUUGUCAGGUAAUUAUAGCCUAUCACGCGAGUGAGAAAUUUUCGGAUGUCCAAGGAUGAUGUCUAGUGAGUCUACUGGCAUUUGGGGCUUGAAAAGUGAUUAGCCAACUAGGUCAGUCAAUAAUUGCCAUUACUCUUAUCUCCCACAUUUUUGUCUGUUAUUUAAUUUUAUUUUUACUUCCUUUUUUCAAAUAAAAAAACUAAUAAUUUUUUAAACUCUAAUCUGGUGAUCGUAGGAUCAGGCGUAGUAAGUAUAGGAUAGGUGGGGUACGGCCCAGGUUACUUUUAGAAAUUUCAAAACAAGAUUUUAGAAUAGACCGUACUUUGUUUGAAAUUAUGGAAACGUUUAAGUUGAUUUCCAAAAGUUUCAACCUUAUAGACCAUAUAAUUAUUAAUAUAUCCACUAAAAGCCCAAUUGUUUAUAAUUGAAUGAGUAAUUUUGAUUUUAUAGAAUGUAUUAUUCACCCCUAAUAAAUAAUUAAUAAAUUAAUUAAAACAAUGACCACUAAGAUCGUUAAGAUAAAACAAUUUCAACUAUUUUGCUUAUGACCCAUAUAUAUGAUCCAAAAUUUUCCAAAAGAACACAAUAAUUUCAAUAGUGCAUUGGAUUAUAUAUUACUAUGAGAAUUACAUUUCUUUAGUUUAUUUAAAGAUGAAUUUUAGAUAAAUUAGUACAAAUUAUUGGAUUUUUAACCCAGCAUUGUUGGAUUCUUAAUCCAACGUUAGACUUAUAUGUGAAUAAUUAUGUGUUGUGCAUUGCCAUAUAAGGGUAAAUUCAAUUAAAAGUGAUCUACUAAGGUUUUUGGUAAUAUGAGGUUUAAUAUAUCUAAUAGGAUGUGGACCUUUAUUGUGUAGAGAUUUAAAUGUAAUUUUUAUUUUUAUGAUAGGUUGAAAUAAGAAUACCUAAAGACUUCAAGAAAAGUUGUCUAUAUAAGUAGUCAUGGUCCCAAGGUUACACGUAUCUUUCUAUUCUUUCUGAAAUUCCAUCAUCAGAGAAAGAGUAUGGAGAAAAUUUAAAGGAUUCUCCACGAGAACGUGUUGAUCUAAAAUGCCAACCACACAACUCUAGAGAAUAAUUUGUUAUUGAUUCUUGGUAAUACAACAUAAGUGUUCCUAGUUUAUAGGUAAUGUUUUUCACCAAAGGAAUUUUUUGUUCGAACAAGUCAUAUGAGAGCCUUUUCAUUUUAAAUCAUUGAGAAUCAAUUUUAUUUUUUAUUACUAAUUAAGUUUUUGAGUUUUCUCGAAUCUGGUAUCAUUGAAAUUGAGAAACAUUGUGAUUUUUUUAAAGGAUUAAAAAAAAUUGUUUAAUUAAAAAAAAUCAGCUCUUAUGAUUUUGAAGCUGGUGGUAACUAGUAUUCGGAAUAGGCACGAUCGACCACGGCAGAUUUAGUUAAAGAACCUUUAAAAAGAAGAAAAGGGAGACAAUUACACCAGCAGGAAGCUGCAGUCUGGUUAGGUGAAACAGUGACCACGAAGGAAGAAGGCGUGGCCAUGGCUAUAGCACAAAGAAAAAAAAAUUAGGGUUUUUGAAUUUUUAAUUUAGGGUUGGUUCAGGUCUGGUUCGGGUCAAUCGAAUCGGUCCAGUCUUGAACCAGUCAACAAUUGAUCAUUAAUGGUCAACGUUGACUGUUGACUUUAAUCGUUGACCAUACUUUGAGACGAAUUUUUUUUGUGGUAAUUUUGGUGUAAUUUUGAAUUCAAAUAUUGCUAUAUAUAUAUAUAUAUUUGUAGAUGAAUUAAUUGAAACAACAUAUCAUCAAAGUGAUAUCGAUUGUGGAAAUUAAUUUAUUUUGGAAUAUAUACAGUUGUGUACAUGUAAUUUUUGUUGAUAUUGAUUGACCUAAAUGAAGGUCUAUAUUUGAUAGAAUUACAUAUGCACAUGUGGUAACAAACACAUGAUGAUUAUUUGGUUUUAUAUGUGAGUAAUAAAUCGGCCUAAGAAAUAAUCAUUGUUUGAGAUGUUUUUAUUAUCAGUGUUUGAUUACUACACCAAGAUAUCACUUACAAGGUAAUAUUUUGUUCAGAGAUAUAAUAUUAAUAGAGUGUCCGACAUCUUGAGAUGAGAUUUUACCUUUAUUUGAAUUUAUUUUUGUUUUAUGACUAAUAUGAGCUUGUUUUGUUUGUUUGUUUGUUGUUCUCUGUUCAAUUGUGUUUACUAGUAAUAUUACUGUCAGCAUCAAUUUUAUUCCUAUGCUGAAUGGUUCUAACUUCAAGUCAUGAUAAGAGAACCUCUUAAAAGUUCUCGCAGUCAUAGAUCUUGACUUUGCAUUAAGGGUUAAUUCUCCUCUACCUUUACAGAUGAGAGUACGCCUAAUGAUAAAAUGGAAAUAGAAAGAUGGGAGAGAUCAAAUCAAACGUAUAUUAUGAUCAUGAAGAAGGCCAUUUCAAAAUCAUUCAGGGGCUUAAUGUUUGAAAAGGCAACUAUGGCUAAGGAGUUUCUUGUAGAAAUUGAACAGAGGUUUGUCAAGAACGAAAAGAUUGAAAUUAGUAGGCUCGUAACGAACCUAAUUCCAAUUAGGUAUACGGGUAAAGGUAAUAUCUAGGAGUAUAUCAUGGAGAUGUCUUAUCUUGCUUUUAAGUUAAGAGCACUUAAGUUUGAACUCUCUGAGGACUUGCUAGUGUAUUUGGUUUUGAUAUCCUAACUAACACAAUUUAAGUAGUUUAAGGUGAGCUAUAACUGUCAAAAUGAGACAUGGCCUCUGAAUCAUAUCACACUGUGUUUAGGAGGAGGAUAGGCUGAAGAAAGAUAAGACAGAAAAUGCUCACCUAGCCUCUACCUCUAAGGGCAAGGACAAGGGUAAGAAAAGGAAUAAGAAUAAGGAAGCUGCAGACAACACCUAAAAAGAAAACAACAAAAGAAAUUGGGUGAUUUGGAAAGUACUAGUUGUUUCUUCUAUGGAGCUGAAAGGCCUAGGAAGAAGCAUUGAACUGAUUAUCACGUAGAGGGUGCUAAGAAAGGUAUGCUUCUUUGUUUGGUUUGUUUUGAGAUUAAUUUAACUUUGGUAACUAGACAUGCAUGGAUGAUAGAUUCUGGUGCAACUACUCGUAUCACUGUGCCUAUACAAGGUUGUCCGAAUUGCCGAAAGCCAAUUAGUGAUGAAAGAUACACGUAUGUGAGAGACAGGAUUUUAUUUGGAUCUUGAUGAAACAUUUAUUAUUUCGUAUUUUAGAUGAAAUUUAAUUUCUAUUUAUGCUUUGAACAAAUCUAGUUAUUCUUGUUUGUUUGGAAAUGAAAAAUUCAACUUAUUUCAUUAUUCAAAUGAUAAUCUUUAUAUGCUUAAUAUAAUUACUUCAUUUAAUGAAUCCUUGUAAUUAAGUACACGAGAUUUAUGGAGAAAAUUAACCAAUAAGAAUUCGACUGCAUUAUGGCACAUGAGAUUAGGUUAUAUCUUCAGAUGAAAAAUAUAGAAACUUAUGUCAAAUGAAAUUCUUAACCUCUAAGAUUUUACAAAUUUUAAUAUUUGUGUUAACUAUAUCAAAGGGAAAGAAACCAAUAAAAGGAGAUUUGAAACCAAUGGGACUUUGGAUGUCUUAGAACUUAUACAUACAAAUAUUUAUAUGCCAUUCUCUAUGGUUGUUUGGAAUAGUCAACAAUAUUUCAUGACGUUCAUAGACGAUUUUUCUCAAUAUGAUUACAUAUACCUCCUCCAUGAAAAGCCAUAGUCCUUGGAUAUGUUUAAAAGUUUUAAGGUUAAAGUUGAGAACUAACUCAGCACAAGAGUCAAAAGUAUCAUAUCUGACCGUGAUGGUGAAUACUAUAGCAGAUAUGAUGGUUUAGGUGGACAACGUCUAGGAUCAUUUGCUAAAUUCCUAGAGGAAUGUAGUAUUGUCCCACAGUACACUAUGCUGAGUUUAUCCAUUAUGAAUAGUGUUCUUGAAAGACGAAAUAGAACGCUUAAGGAUAUUGUGAGGAGUAUGAUUUGUCAUUCUACCUUACCAGAAUCAUUCUGGUAAAAAACAUUUAAGAUUGCAGUGUAUAUUCUUAAUAUAGUUCUACAAAUACAUCUCGGUAAUGACAGUAAAGUGGAGCGCAUACGAUUAUUUUUACAAAGCAUAAUUAUAAUGUUACACAUAUAGUCCAAGUGGGAGAUUGUUAGACUUUUAAUCCAGAAUUGUUGAAUCUUUAAUCCAACUUUGGGCAUGUAUGUAAAUAAUUAUAUGUUAUGGAUUGUCAUACAAGAGUAAGCCCAAUUAAAAGUGAUCUAUUAAGAUUUUCAGUAAUAUGAGCUUUAAUGUAUCUAAUAGGAUCUGAGCCUUUAAUGUGUAGAGACUUAAGGGUAAUUAUUAUUUCUAUGAUGGGUUGAAAUAGAAAUACCUAAAGACAACUGAAAAAGUUGUUUAUAUAAGUGGUUAUUGUCCACAGGUCACACAUAUCUUAUUAUUCUUUCUGACAUCUCAUCAUCAGAGGGAGAGCCUAGAGAAAUUUUAAAGAUUCUCUCGAAGAAUGUGUUGAUUUGAAAGGUCAAUCAUACAACUCUAGAGAAUAAUUAAGUAUUAUAGAUUCAGAUACGCUUCCGCAUAAUUUGUUGUUGAUUCUUGGUGAUACAACAUGAGUGUUCCUAGUUUAUAAGUGAUGCAACAUAAGUGUUCCUGGUUUAUAAGUGAGUGUUCCAUACUUUACUUGUCAAAUUUUAUAAACCUAUUAAGCAUGUUGUAAAAAUAAUUGGGGUAAUUAUCCACCGACCACCUGUUAUUUUGGACUUUUACAAAAAUACACAUAUAUUUUUUUUUGGCUGAUUUCCAUUUGAAGUUAUAAAACGUAUCAUUUUUACAUUGCCGUCUAAAUCUGUGAGAGAAGUUAAUAGAAUAUUAAUAAAAUGACUAUUUUAUCUCCUUAAUGUAAAAUUACUAUUUCACUCUAACUAAAUGAAAAAAAAAUUACUUUAAUUUUUCUUUGCAAUUUAGACAUUAGAUAAUAAGUUAAACAAAAUUAUCUGGAAUAUUUUUGCCUUUUUUUCUCUUUCUACCGCGUUUAAAUGAUGUUGAUUUUUAGUAUAUAGGUGAAAUGAUUAUUUUACCCCUAUGACAUCAGCAAGGUUACAACAACAUGUAAACGGAAGUGGAAAAGUGUAAGAAAAUGUAACUUCUAGUGGAAAUCAACCAAAAAAAAAAAAGAUAUGUGUAUUUUUUAAAAAGCCCGAAAAAACUGGUGGUCGGUGGAUAAUUUCCCAAACAAUUAUCAUAUAUUGAUAAUUACAGUUAAUAUAUAUUAAAGUGAAUAAUUGUAUCCAAAUGUAAAAGAAAAACAAAGACAUUGGCGAAGUUAAAUAAAUUUUGUGAAAAUUUUUGCCCUUUAAAUUAACAAAAUCCCAAAUCCAAGCUCAUAAUGGCAUAGGAUUAACAAGUAGAGAAACAGCAAAAUCUUUCAGCGCAAUGCCAACAUGAGUGUAGCCAUCUUCGUACUUGUAAAUAACAUCUAUGGCGUGUGUAAGAUUAAGAAUUCCCAUAAGAAGUGGCAUUGGCACAACAAUUGGGUGUAGGCAGUCCUCUAAUAUCCUUCCAGGCAUUUCAAACGUGUUUGCAUAACUCAUUGCAUGGUUCCUCUUCUAUUGCACCUUAUUGUUUCAUGUGACACUCAACGCAUGAGGCAACAUGCCCUCUACUUUGUUCAAACUAUAUGCAUAUACAAAGAUGCAUACAUAUAAUAUAUUUUUAGUUAAAGAGAAAGUUAAAGAUCACACUAUUAAUUAUGGAGGCAAUAUUAUUUUAUAUAUUUACCUUGUAUGACACUAUGUCAUCCAUGAGUUUGCAAAGUACAGAAGAAGCCCUAAUAAAUCUAAGAUUGCUAAUAACCAUUCAAAUGAUUCUUUAGUUACAACGUCUCCCAUGCCGACAAAAAAAUGUGGUUGACAAUGCAACCGUCACAUGAUUCUUUAGUAACUAAUGCAACUGUCAUGUACUCUUCCAUUGACGAUACAUAAUUCUGAUGACACCAUUUAGCUUCAAAGAAGUAAAUCUUUACAACAUUCUUCAUCUAAUCAUCAGAAACCAAAUAUAUCACGUAUUUGUUAGUAAUUAAAAAGGAAGUAAUUCCGAGUAUCAAUCUUUAAUGAAAUAUUGAAGACUACUCACCACUUCUUUUGCAUAACGGAGGUGGUAUAAUUUUCCCUAAGGGGCCAAUUCUUUAUCUGGUUUACCGUAAACCUCAAGAAGGUCUCGAUAACAUAGUUUCAUAUACUUUGGAAGUUUAUCUAUGGCACUGAUAUCUCACCUGAGAAAGAAAUUGCUAGCCCAUUUUAAUAAUGGGAAUUAUGAUAAAAAAAUGUUAAUAAAUCUUGAGGACUAGAUCCAAAUUAAUGAUGAGCUAUUCAAACCUUUCAAUAGCUGAAGUAAAAGGCUCAAGUUCUUUAAUUUUUCCAUACAUAUCAUAGAUGUCAUCAAUAGUAAAAGUCAUGGAAAUCACUUUUGUUAAUAUUCUUCUAGUAAAUAAAUAUUGGUGCUUGAAAUACACUCCUAAUAUCCAAAAGUAGCAUUUUGCAAUUCUGUCUCUUAUGAAAGGUAGCUUGUACAAAAGUCUAAUCCUUUUCACCACCUAAAUGAGACAACCACAGCCAUUUAGAAAUUAAUAUUCCUUCAAAGUUCGAAAGCUUUAUGAAAUGUGCUCGUAGUAGAAUUGAAAUCAUUUUUAGAGCUUAGUUAUUUACCUUGAAAUAUCAUUGAGUUCUUUCUGGUAAAGAUUUUGCAAUUUGUUAGAAGCUAACUUUGCGAAGGUUAACAGAGUUUCAUUAUAUAUUUGCUUACACUUGGGCAUACAAAUUGUUGUGAUAAAUUCAAAUGUUGUUGGUGUCAAUGUGCAGGUGUACACAACAAGUAAUAUAAUUAUAAGUAUUCAAUAUUGUUUCCACAGGGAUUGAUGUUAUCAGACUUGCUACAACAAUCUUAACAGUACAAUUUUAUUCUAACUUAAGACAAAAUAAAAAUGCAAUAAGUAAAAAGCAGUAAGAAAAAUAUCACGUCAAACUUAAGGAUUAAACCAGUGGGAAUAUAAAGUAGUUGAGUGGAUAAACUCACUUAAUUGCAUUGACUAUUAUUUCAAUUACAGAACCGUUGAUACAACAUUUACGACAACACUGGGCAGAAUCACUCAUGUAUCCUCAGCUGUCGCCUGUUGGAUAUCUUAUAUCUAAUGCAACCUAACAGUAACCAAUUGCUACACCAACAUUAAAUAUAACAUUAAACAAUCGAUGUUUUAUUUGCCGUACAAGGUGAAUCCUUAUAUCUUGUUCAUCACUAAUUUUAGAUUAAGCAUGACUCUUAUGGAAUCAAGUAAAACGUAAUUCAGGAAACCCAAUCUAAAACCAAGUAUUACUCUCAUAUGUUCCACUAAAAUAGACCAUUUUGUGCCUCUUUUUUAGCUAGUAUCAUUAAAUAGGUGGUCAGCCGAAAUGAUUGAAUAGAAAUAAGUAUUAUCAAGACAAAGUGCUAUAGCAAACAUGCAGCAACACAUAUAAUCAGUCAAUGAAUUGUUAAGAUUGUUUAUCACUCAACUAUAAAUAAAUUUAGCUCAUGGUUUACGAAAGAAAAAUAAAUAAAAGAGUUACAGCCAUCAAACACAUCCCCAAGAUUAAAGAGUAAGCGAGAAAACAAAAACAGAAUAAGAAAGAUUAGUUUGCUGAUUGAUCUCUACAAUUUUCUCCUCCGAUGCAGCCUUAAAUCUUUCUCUUGAGUUCUGUUUUACUCUUGUUUCUUUUCGGUUUUGCUCCUUGGUCGACGACUCCUUUUUUUCCUUAAUGUGUGUGCUUCUUUUAUGGCUGGAAAUUAGGGUAAACGGAAGCUUAUGGCACAUAUCUUCCAGAUUAGGAAACUACAGAUCGGAAUCUUCUAAGUAUCUCGCGUGAAAUUUUUCUCUAUCAAUGUUCCAUGAUUGCUACAGUAAUGGCUACAGCAUUUGCACUGUUUCAGACUUGUUACAAUUCUUCUUUCACCACGUUCUUUCCUUAUCCUUACAAGUCUAUUGUAGUAGCAUUCUUUCCUUGAUUCUUGAGCUUCCGGUCACUUACAAUUAUGCAUAUGAUCUAAGCACAUAAUUUAUUCUAAAUCCAACAAAACUUAUUAAAAGUAAACUAAAAUGGAUGUUCUUGCAAAACAUUACUAAAAUGCAAUAAAAACAUGUCAUUUGCUCUCUAAGUAUGAUUGAUUCAAGUCUAAAAGUAUCAUGAUAACUCUCAUUUCGUAGAGUUAUCACAAAUUAACGUAUGCAAUACUACUAUUAUAGAACACGUUUUACUAUGGAAUCACUGGGAUAUGAAAUGAAGUGAUCCCCUAAAUGCUAGGAUGAAAAUUCGCAAAGCGACGAGUAUCAUCUUUCUCAGAAUUUCAUUGGAUAAUUUUAGUAAAAGAGGAUGAAACUUGAAGAGACAUACUUAUUUUCUAUUGCUUUCUGACAACUAUUUAGUUUUAAGAUAAAAUGGUUGUUCAAUUCUUGGCGUAGGUUCUUGUGCUGUAAAAGCUAGAUGAUGUGUUUUUGGUGCCUUCAUGCUUGUGCAUUACAUAGACUUGACUGAGAGAAGACACCCUAAUAGUAAAAGACAACAUUAUUCUCACAUUGCAUAUGUUUGAAACAUUGAAACUCUUUCAGCGUUGAGGAUUAAGAUGGUAUGUGUCAGGAAAAAUAUCCAUAUCAACUGAUUAUUGAACUUAGGUUAAGUAUAUAAGACUAGGACAACCUUAAACUAUUGAGCUGGUUGUUGGGUUGAGUUAUUUUUGCAACUUAAUCCUCCUUGAUUCUCAUUUCUUAUGAAUUUUCUAUUUUAGCUUGUUUUAGAAAUCUAAAUCAAUUUUUUAACACCUUACCUCUCUUAGGAACUUGAACCCAAGUCAAGUACUUGAAAAUCACUCAGCCAAGUCUGGGGACAAAAAUUUCAAGAUUGGUCUACAAGAUUUUAAAUAUGAGAUGUGGUUUCUAUGUCCUAAGAGUUUUUUAAUGGAGUUGUAAACUAAUGGUUUUUGUUCGUACUUAUUACCAUAAAAAACUUGAGCUAGAAUUAGAGAAUUCUCAUCUUCUGAAGCUGCAUUUAUAUGAGCAUUAUUGAGUACUGGAGAAUACAUAUUUAUGCAAGGUAAAAUUGUCAUUUUGUACUUCAAGUCUCACUAACAUUUUCAGUUUUACGUGUUUAGAUCCUCUAAGUUUUUAUUAAGUGCUUUUUACUAUGAUUUAAGUAUUAUAUGUAUUUUAGAGAUAUUUUGAACUCGAAACAUUCAAAAAACUUAGGAAGAACAUAAAAGGGUAUUGAUAACUCUAUGAAAUGAGAGUUGUCAUGAGACUUUUAGGCUUAAAUCAAGACUACUUAGAGAGUAAUUGAUGUGUUUUUAGUGCACUUUAAUGAUUAUUUGCAUUAAAUUCAUUUUAUUUUGAGUUUGAUAAAGUUUAUGUGAUUCUUGAAUAAUUGUAUGCCUAAAACACAUGCUUAAUUGCAGGUAAUUGGAAACUUGAAUUUUAUGAAAAAGAUGUUGUUGCAAUGGACUUGUAAAGGACAAACGAGCAUGGCUAUAGAACAAUUAGAGCAAGUCUGGAAUAGUGAAGAUACUGUAGUCAUUGCUCUAUUAACCAUUGCUGUAGUAACUCUCGAGCAUUGACAGAAAAAUUCGGGAAACAUAUUCAGAAUAUUGCGAUCUGCAGUUUCUUAAUUUGAAGAUAUGCGCCCUAAAAGUUUUCAGUUACCCUAAUUUGCGAAUAUAAAAUGAGGCAUACAUGAAAAUAAAAGGGGAGGCCAUCAAGCAAGAUCAAAACAAAAAAGAGACAACAAAGAUACAAAAUUCCCUAUCAGAAUUUAAUGCUGCACCAGUAGAGGAACUUGCAGAAUUGAUUGGAAUCUGUUAUUUCUCUUUCUUUUCUUGUUUAUUUGAUAUUCAUUGAUCAUUGAAGAUGUAUUCGAUGGCUAGAACUUGGUAGUUUAUUUACCUUUCACAUAUUAUAAACUAAAUUUAUUUGUUGUUGAGUGUUAAACUAGCUUGAUGGUUAAUUGACUGAAUAUAAAUGUUGUUGUAUGUUUGCUAUAGCAUUUUGCUUUGAUAGUAUUCAUUAAAAGUCAUUAUUUUGGCUGACCACCCAUUUAACGGUACAAAUUAGGAAAGAGCCACAAAAGGGCCUAUCCUAAUGGAACAUAUCAGAGUAAUACUUGGUCUUGAAUUGAGUUUAACUUGAGUCCUAAAAAUGCCAUGCUUAAUCUAAGAUUUGUGAUGAACUAGAUAUAGAGAUUCACCUUAGAGGGUAAAGAGAACCUAAAUAUGUAAUGUUAUAUAUUAUAUUACCAUAGCAACUGGUCACUGUUAUGGUGGAUUAAGAUAUAAGACAUCCAACAUGCUACCGCUGAAGAUAAACCUGGUUUUUGCCCAAUGUUGUAGUAAAUACUACAACAACUGAACUUGACAUGAAUAAAACAGCCAAAACCAUCAAAAGAGUUUAAUCACUCAACUACUCCAUUCAUAUUGAUUUAACAUUUGUGUUUAACGUGCAAACUCUAUUCACUGUAUUUUUAAUUAUUGAGAUUUUAUUUUACUAAGUUAUUUGGUAGUCAUAGUUGUAUUGAUUUAAUUUAGAACAUAGAUUGCACUGUUGAAAUUGUUGUAGCAAGUCUAAUAGCAUCAAUCCCUGUGGAGACAAUCUUGAAUACUCAUCAUUUUAUUACUUGUUGUGUACACUUGCACAUUGAUACCAUAGCAAUUGAAGUAAAAUUAACAACAGGUGUUCAACACUGUUCACGUAUACGAUACUAUUCAUAAGUAGGCACUGUUCACAUAUACGGUAUAAUGACAUGGCAUUGACUGACGACGUGGCAGCAUCCUAUUGGACUAAUGUGUGGCGUUGUCCAAUGAUAUGACAUGAUGCUAUUGGACCAAAAUACUAAUGUGGCAUUAACUGAUGAUGUGGCGGCAUCUUAUUAGACUGAAAUUCUGAUGUGGUGUUGACUGGUGAUGUAUUCCAGCUAAUCAAAACUUGACACAUGGCGCAAUCCUGAGCGUCUGAAUUAUUUUCAUCCGAUGGCCAUGAUUAACCUAUUGUAUCUAAAAAUAGAGUGCUCCCCCCUUAAUUAGACACCCUUAAAUCUAUUUUUUAGCCCCAUUUUCCAUAAUCCUCUCUCCAUCUUGUGUUUUGUACAUAUUUUAGUAAAAUUAUCAUGCAACACUCCACUAUAUUAAUUACUUAAAAAUGCUUAAAAACAUAGUACUCUUAAUAUAAAUACGAAUUUUAAAAGUUUAGCACAAUCCAACAAAAACUUUCUUACAGAAAAGUAAAAGUCAUAUAGAGAUUUUUUAGUUUAUUUAAAAACUUAAUUAUUACAUAAAGCCAAGAUACUUAUUUUUUUAUUAACACAAAGCUUGAGCCCAUCAUAAAAUCCCAAGGUCGAUUAUACCCAUAUGCACUUCGUCUUGGUUAGGACUUGGCGCCAGCUUGCCCUACUCAUCGUUACCUGCAAUGUAAGGACUUAGUGAGCUAAUGCCCAGUAAGAUAACACUUUGAUGCAUGUAUAAAUUAUGAUGCAUAUAAAUGACCAUUCUUAAAAUAAACUUAGAAAAUACAAAACAACUUUAUUUGGGCCCUAGGUAUGUUGCACUACAAGGCUGGCACUUUUACUCUUUAAACAUUAUGCCCUUGGGCCUCAUUAGUUGAACUUUUGGGCGUUACAUAUCUUUGUCCCCAAAAGAUUUCUUACAACUUAGCUUUGAGGGCUUGCCCUCCUUAGAACUUUGCCACCUGGUAGUACAACCACUUAUUUUUCAUAAAUUCAUUUUCUGAAACGUCUUCUUCAUAAUGUAGUCCAUAAUAUGCAUGCAUCCAAUGCAACUUAUAACCUUGAUGCAUAACAAAAUCAACAUACAACAUUAUUUAAAGACAAGAGUCUUUAGUAUAGGCGGCAUAGCCGACCAUAGCAUCACAUAUUAGGCGGUAUGGCCGACCAUAUAAAGAAUAUAAUUAAUCACACUAUAACAACCAUUAGAAUAUAAAGGGAUUGUUAAAACUGAUCUUAAGUAUAAAAGUAAUUUUGCCCUCACAUUGAAGUUGAAGUGUUACAUACCUCUUGAUCUUGAUUUCUUUAGACCUUUCUAAAUUAAGGAUUUCUCUACUCUUGUUAUUAUUACUUAGAAUGGAAGAGAAUGAAAUUUCUAAGUUGCAUUCAAAAUGAAAGGUGGUGGGGGGUAUUUAUAGGAUUUCUUAAGGCUAAUGGAUGGCUAGGAUUUUGCCACCAUAACUCUUGAUCAAUGGUUGAGGUUAACCUUCAUAAAUACCUUACUAAAUUCUAGAAUUCUUAUCUUUUCUUUACAAUCUUCUCUUACAUCAUCACUUAUGUCAUUGAUUAUGUCAUCUUUACUUUUUUUUUUGAGAUAAUGUCAUCUUUACUUAGAAUUAAAUAUCUAAGUAAAGAUGAGAUUAUCCUUUAUAAAUGUCUUGCUAAAUUCUAGAAUUCCUUAACUUUCUCUACAUUUCUUCUUACAUCAUCACUAAUGUCAACACUUAUGUCAACGCUUACGUCAUCAUUCCUUAUGUCAUCAUUCCUUAAAAUUAAAUAUUAUAAACUCAAGGGACUUGUUAGCUUAAAAAUAAAUUCUACUAUAUUUAAGAAAAUUGUACCUCACAUAUCAUUUUAACCCUAGUUUAAUUAUGAAUGGCUAGUUUAGUUUCAAGCUUGGGUUGAAUGUGAAGUCUUAACAUGACCCAUGGGCUUAAUUAGGUAAGUUUAUUUUCUUUUCUUCUCUAUUUUAUGUGGUUGUUUUAACUCAUUAUCGACAGACAGUGUAUUUUAUAUAGAUUUUGCACGGUAUACUAGCUCCUAGUGAAUGAUCGUUACUGACUGGCACAAUGAGCACUUAACACCAUAUUUAUUAGAGAAAAAUUCUCUCUAUUAUUUUUUGGGUCGUCUUGAAUCAAUGGCGAUAGAGAAUGCAUCUAAACUAUUUAGUGGAUGGUCUUGCCACAUUAUGAACGAAAAGAUUAUUAUCGUCUAGCAUAGUGUGUUCUUGAUACCACACUUAGUGGAGAAUCAUUACCCUCUGGCAUAUUGAGCGCUUGAUAUCAUAUUUAUUAGAGUGAGAAUUAUGAGAAGUGGAAAUACCCCCCUCAUGAAUUAAUUGAGACUAAAAGGAAAUAUUAAGCCCAUGGUGAAAUGUUGAGUGUAAAUCCAGAAACUCAAGUGUUUCAUUUGCAUAGUUUUCAUCUUUAACUCAUUACCACCAUUUUAUUUUAAAAUUUGAGAUAAAAGAAUUUCACUUGCAACCAACUCACAUGUACACUUAAAAAAUUAAUCUUACGCAUAAUUAAAUCUACCUCCUCGUGGGAUCGACACUCGUCACCCUAAAUCUAUACUAUAAUAGAUUCGUGCACUUACGAGUACAAUAAAAUUUGCACAAUAAGUUUUUGGCGCCGUUGCCGAGGCGGUAAGUUAUUUUAAUUUGUGCAGCUAUGGCGCCGUUGCCGGGGAGGUAAGUUAUUUUAAUUUGUGGAGCUAAUUUUCUUUGUAAUUAUUGUGCAAAUAAUUUUAUGCACAGGUUUAAGUAUGUUUUCAUAAUAAGUGUGUAUCAACGUUAUAAGGUCGGUAUUGUAACUUCUCCCCUCUCUCUUUAUUUUCAUUAAUUUUGUUUUUAGUUUUUACAUGUUCUUUGGAUGCAUGGUUGAAAGUCAUAGUCACCUAAUUUAAAACCUGUAGACCUUGAACUGGAAAAGACACUUCGCACAUAUAGAAACUUUGCAUCAAAGGUUAAAAUUGAGGAUAAAAUUGGAAUGGAUUUGCAACAAUAAGUACAAGCACCACAAGAAAGGCCAUUUAAGGAUUACUUCAGUCCAUUAGCUAAUUUGAGCACAUCAUGCAAAUAUACCCAAAGGUAGCUGCUAUGAGUUUCAAGUUAAAACCUAGUGUGCUAAAUUGUCUUCUAUCAUUCUAUGGCUUGGAAAAUGAAGACCCAUACAAUCAUUUGAAUGAUUUUCAUGUUGUUUGCCAAACUUUUAAAUAUAAAAUUUUUUCAGAUGAAGAUGUUAAGCUUAGAUUGUUUAUAUUUUCUCUAAAUGAUAUAGCUUGAUCAUGGUUCAAUACAUUACUUACUAAUAGUAUCACAUCAUGGGAACAAAUGAUAAUCAAGUUUUUAAAUAUAUACUUCCUAGUACAUAAAAUCAAUGUUUUUCGCAGAAAAAUUUCAGAGUUUACUCAAAGAGAAGAAGAGCAAUUCUUCAAAGUAUGGAAGCGAUUCAAUAAGCUACUUUUAAAUUGUCAACAUCAUGGGUAUGAGAAAUGACACUAAUGUUAAUAUUUCUUAAAGGGACUAUUGCCACAUGGGCAUGAAUGGUUAAUGGCAGCAAGUGGAGGUGAGCUCAUGUCUAAAAACACAUUAGAGAUUUAGGAUUUCUUCCAGCGACAAGCGAAUAAUUCCCAACAGCAGAGUUAAUCAUUCAAGAAGAUGAGAAAAAUCAAAAGAGUGAAUAUUGGCGAGUCAAGAUCAGAAAUCCAGGAAGUCAAAGAGAUAAUUAAAGGAAUUUCUCGCUAAAUAGCAUCAUUGACAACUGUCAAGUCAAUAGAGCUACAAGCCUACAACCAAUUUUAUUCAUACCCAAAUAAAGCAAAUACCAUAAAUAUGAUGGGAAAGUAGUUGAAUUACAACCCUUACUCCACCAAUGCAACUAGUUCAUUAAGCCCUUCAAGUCUUUUAACCACCAUUCAGAUCAUAUAAUCAGAACUAGAUCCACUCACAUGUCAAACCAUGGGAAGAGGCAUUCCAAAGUCUCAAAAAUUUUACUCACACCGCAAUAGAACAACAAAAUCACAUAAUUGGUGAGUUGCAAAAUGAGAUGGAAGGUGGAUUUAAUUCACAAGCCCAAUAAAUUUCGAACCUCGAGAACAAAGUGGGUCAAUUUACUUCUUCAAUUCAAACCUUGGUGAUGAAUGUCAAAAAAGGUAAAUUCCCAAGACAGCCAGUCCCUAAUCUUAAAAGCGUGUAUGAAGUGAGUACAAGUUCACUCCAACAGUAUGAAGAGGUCAAUGAAAUGCAAGUUACGCAACCCAAGAGGGGGGGUGAAUUGGCUUUUUAAAAAUUAUGCAAUACAAUUCGCACAACAAAUUAAUCUAACACCUUAAUGGAAUAGAAAACAAUAAAUUCAAACAAUCAUAAAAAUAAAAGAGUAAGGGAAGAGAAAAACAAACACACGAAUUUUUACGUGGUUCAGCAAUCCCUGCCUAUGUCCACGCCUCCAAGCCAACCAAUCUAGAGGAUUUCACUAUCCAAGCCUCCUAAGGCUUUAAGUUCUUACAAUUGACUUCCAAGGUGUCAAUGAACCUUUACAAUCAAGAGAUUAUCUCCCCAAUCUUUUGCAACCCCAGUGUUUCUCACACUUACACACUCACAAUUUGAUAAGAAAUGAAAAUUACAACAAAAACUCUCUUUAAGAGUGGAUAUGCAAAUAAUAGCUCAAUAAUGAUUCAAUCUAUGAUUAUUUGUGUUUUGGAAGCUCAAUAUAUGUUGUAUGAUCAUAUAUUUGCUUGCAUUAGUUCUUAAAAUGAAGUUGGAGUUGAGUUUUUAUAGUUAAAGCCCGAAAACUAGCCGUUAUAGGCAAAUUCCCGCGCCCAAGCGGUUAGCCGCUCAUGAACAGUGAUAUUACCAUUAUUUUUUAAUUUUGCUACAGUAAUACUGUUAACUAAAAUUACACUUUUGGCCUAAACUUUCUAUAAUUAUAUUACGGCCCAAAAUGUCAUAAAACUUUUCAAAUAGGUCCAAUUUCAGAAUUUCUUAAAAAUAGUUGUCUUUCUAAAACUUUUUGAAAUUCUGAUAUGGCCCCAAAGAUAUUAUUAUUUCGCAAAAAGGUCCUUUUCAACAUAAUACCCAUAUUUUUCAAAGUUCUCAAAACCUUUCACUUUAGUCUAAAAUAUUCAUAAAUUAUUAUAUGGCCCAAAAUAUUUCAAAUGUUUGUAAAAACGUCCAACUCCAAAAUUUAAUAAUAAUACUUAUUAAAAUCAAAGAUUUCAAAACUUAGCAUUUAAGUCCAAAUUACUCAAAUCCACAAAAUACUUUACUUUAUAAAAAUAAACCUUUUAGUUUAUGAAAAGUAUUUAAUUAAAUUAAUCUCUUGAGCUUCUCAAAUGUUAAAUCAUGCAUUAAUUAAAUCAUACCGGCUUUACAAGAAUUUAUCGCACUAAUUUGUUCGUUGAGCUCCAAACUUUAUUCUUGAUUUCGCGGUUGUCCGUUGGGUGUCUUGAGCUUGAUUUCACUUGAUUCACUUGCAUAAAUAUUACCCUUCAAAAAUUAGUGAAAAAUGUGAAAUACAAUAUUUAUUAAAUCACUUAAUACAUAUGUUUGUUAUCAUCAAAAUUACAUUAUGUAUAGCCCUUUAGGCUAACAGUCAAAGCCAUUAUGAUGUUGCAAAAAGGCAAAGAAGUGGACAACAAAGUAGAAAUGCUGAUGAAAAAACAACUCAAGUUGUACUUUUAGACUCUGAGGACGCAUCAACAAAGAAGAAAGAAGAUAGUAGCCCACGAAAAUAUAUCCCUAAAGGUCAUUUCCGUUUAAGGUUAGCUAAAAAAAAAAAAAGAAUUUCCACAUGUGAGAUUAUGGAAAUUUUUAAAUAGGUAAGUAUUUUUUAUGCAAUUAAACGAGUGCCCUCUUAGGCCAAGUUUCUAACAGGUCUUUGCACUAAAAAAAGAAUCGUUCAUUACAAAAGAAGAUAUUUUAAAUAGAAAACAUUAGUUUCAUACUCCAACAUAAAAUUCCUCUAAAAUACAAAGACCUAGGCUGCCCUACUAUCUCAUGUAUUAUAGGGAACCACAUAGUUGAGAAUGCCUUGUUGGAUUUAGGAGCUAGUGUAAAUAUUUUACUUUACUCGGUAUUUGUGAAACUGGGAUUAGAAGAAUUACAUCCAACUCCAAUUGUAGUACAGCUUACAAAUUGAUUCAUAAAGAUACCUCACAUUAUUGUGGAGGAUGUGCUCAUUCAAGUAGACAAGUUUUAUUUAUCUAUUGAUUUUAUUGUAAUUGAUAUUCAACCAGUGCAGGAUUCAAAUAAGCAUAUCCCCAUUAUCUUGGGGUGACUUUUCUUAGCAACUACAGAUGCACGCAUUCAAUGCAAGACUUGAACUAUGUAGUUGUCCUUCAACAACAUGACCAUAGAGUUGGAUAUAUUUAACAUUGCCAAGUAACCUCUCAAUAGAGAUGAAGAAACUGUUGAUGUUGAUUUAAUUGAAGAAUUAAUUGAUCAUUUUUUCCUUCUAACUUUAGUAGUAACCAUUUACAAACAUGUUUAACUCACUUUGGGUUGAAUUUUGACAUUAACAAAUUGAUUGAUGAGGUUACUGCUUUACUCGAUUCAUCACCAUCCAUGGACACAACCAAAUGGAAGGUAAGAAUUAGACCAAUUAGCACCAUCACGUAAGAAACUUAACCCAUCAUUAGAAGCUCCACUAAAACUUGAGUUCAAAUCCUCACCUAAAACUUUUGAAUAUGUAUUUUGGGGAGAUGAAAAUACUUUGCCUGUAAUCAUUUCAUCUGCUCUUGAUGACAAGUAAAAGAGUAAGUGGUUAAGUGUUUCAAAAGACCAUAAAGAGGCAUUAAGAUGGACCAUCGCCAAUAUAAAAGGUAUAAACCCAGUAAAUUACAUGCAUUAUGUUCAUCUUGACAAGAACGCAAAAUCUACCAGGGAAAUGCAACGUUUGCUAAAUUCUAAUAUGAAAGAAGUUAUUGGAGCUGAAGUUCUUAAAGCAUUAGAUGUAGGUAUCAUUUACCCCAUUUAUGAUAGUUCAUGGGUCAGUCCUGUACAAGUUAUCCCUAAAAAGUCAGGAGUCACAGUAGGUAUUAAUGUCGACAAUGAAUUAAUACCCACUAGAGUGUCUACAGGGUGGCGUGUAUAGAAAGUUGAAUUUUGUCACACGAAAAGAUCAUUUUCCUUUACCAUUUAUCAAUCAAAUGCCUAAUAGAUUAACGGGUCAUAAAUUUUAUUGUUUUCUAGAUGACUAUUCAAGAUAUAAUUAGAUUUCCAUAGCACUGAAAGACCAAAAGAAAACAACUUUCACUUGCCCUUUUGGUACAUUUACAUAUAGGAGAAUGCUAUUUGGAUUAUUCAAUGCACCUGCCAUAUUUCAGCGAUCCAUAUUAAGCAUUUUUUCGGAUAUGGUUGAACACUUCCUUGAAGUCUUUAUGGAUGACAUUUUUGUUUUUAGAGAUUAAUAUUAUUAAUGUUUACAUCAUCUAACACUAGUUCUGCAGAGAUGAAUAGAAAAUAAUUUGGUCUUGAAUUGGUAGAAAUGUCAUCUUAUAGUAAAAUAAGGUAUUGUUUUUUGUCAUAUCAUUUCAAGCAAAGGUGUUGAGGUUGACAAAGUCAAGGUAAAUCUAAUUUCUAAUCUUCCUCUACCUAAAACAGUCAAAGAGGUAAGAUAUUUCCUUGGACAUGCUGGUUUUUAUAGACAUUUCAUUAAAGAUUAAUAAAAUUUCUAAACCUUUAUACAAUUUACUUACUAAGAAUGUACAUUUUGUCUUUGAUGAUUCAUGUCUUCAGGUAUUUGAAAAAUUAAAAUAGUUAUUGACCUCAUAACCUAUUACUAAGCCCUCAAAUUAAAACUUAUCUUUUGAACUCAUGUGUGAUGCAUCUAAUUAUGCAGUAGGAGCAGUACUAAGGCAAAGAGUUGAUCGAAUUCCUCACGUCAUUUACUACGGUAAUAUGAUGUUGAAUGAUGCACAAUUGAAUUACUCAACUACUAAAAAAAAAAAAAAAGCUUGCAGUAGUAUUUGUAUUAGAAAAUUUUUGAUUUUAUCUUAUAGAAAGUAAAAUAAUUGUAUUCACAGAUCAUCAUACUCUUGAAUAUCUUAUUACAAAGAAAGAUGCAAAGGCCAGACUAAUUCGUUGGGUGUUACUUUGUAGGAAUUUCACCUUGAGUUCAAAGAUAAGAAAUGCACAAAAAAGGUGGUGGUAGAUCAUCUCUCUCGCCUCAAUUUUAACACAGUUCCAAAACCAUUUCCAUUGAAUGAAUCAUUUCUAGAUGAACAACUAAUGAGUGUGGAAGUACUACCAUAGUAUGCUGAUAUAGUUACCUAUCUUAUUACAGGUCAACUUCCAAAGCAUUAGACUAAGCAUGACAAAGUCAAAUUUUUUGCAAAAAUAAAGAAUUUCUUUUGGGAUGAUCCUUAUCUUUUCAAAUAUUGCGUAGAUCAAAUUGUCAGACGAUGUGUCCCAAAAAGUGAAUUUCAAAAUAUCAUUUCAUUAUGCCAUGAACAAGAUAUUUGUUCAUAUUUCGAGAUGCUUAGACUUGUUGUUCUUUUAUGAUAGGUGUUAGCCUAUAGGAAGUAUUACACGAAGGAACAUGAUACCACUAAGUCUUAUUCUAGUGAUUGAAAUUUUUUAUGUGUGCGGAAUUGAUUCAAUGGGAUUCUUUCCACAUUCUUUUGGCCAUCAAUAUAUAUUGGUUAUUAUUGACUAUAUAUUCAAUUGGGUAGAAGCAAUUCUAUGCAAAACCAACAACCAUAAGAUGGUGAUAAGAUUCUUAAAGAGCAACAUUGUCUUACACUUUGGGUUCCCUCAAACAAUAAUUAUUAAUGGCGGUACUUACUUCUAUAAUAAAUCAUUCAAAGUUCUUUUAGCAAAAUACUCCAUCACACACAAAGUGGCUAUAAAAUAUCAUCCACAAACUAGUCAGCAAGUUAAGAUCUCCAAUAGGAAAAUAAAGAACAUAUUAGAAAAGAUGGUGAGAUCAAAUAGAAAAGAUUGGUCAUUGAGACUUGAUGAUAUAUUAUGGGCACAUCAAACGACCUUCAAAACCCCGCUUGGGAUGUCACUUUAUAGGCAAGUGUAUGGGAAAAUUUUUUACCUACCUGUAGAACUUGUUCAUCGUCCAUACUGGACCAUUAAAAAAUUCAACUUUGACAUGCAACAGGUUAGUUCGAAAAGAAAAUUACAGCUAGCAAAACUUGAGGAAAUUCGCAAUGAGCCGUAUAAAAAUGUCGAGAUUUACAAGCAGGGAAUGAAAGUCGUUUAUGACAAGCAAAUUAUGAGGAGAUCUUUUACACUAGGUCAGAAAGUGUUUUUAUUCAAUUAUCAUUUGCAUUUAUUCCCAGGUAAGAGUAUGCUCCCAUUGGUCUGGUCCAUUUAUUAUUUACACUAUUUUUUUCACAUAGAGCCAUUGAAAUUAAGGAUCCAAAGAAUUUUGUCUCUUUUAAAAUUAAUGGUAAAAAAUUAAAGCCAUAUCUAGAGUACCAAUCACAUGAAGAAGAUAUCGAAAUAAAUUUGGGCGACCCACUGAAUCUGGACUGAGACUUUUUUCAUUUUUUUUCUUUUCAUGUGUGCACCAUUUAUAUCUUAGAAUUAGAGCAAUUAAAAGCAUUUGGCCGCAUGUCUUCUAUUUUUGGAAACCUCAAAUCACAAUCUUUUAGUUAACACACACGAAACUUGACUACAGUUGCUACAGGAUUGCUGCAGCAAUGGCUACAGCAUCUUAACUGUUCUAGACUUGUUUUAAUUCCUCUACAGCCAAGUUCUUUUGUCAUCUCUGCAGGUUUAUUGCUGCAACUUCCAUCCAUAAAGCUUGAGCUUUUUGGUCACCUGCAAUCAUGCAUACAAUCAAAGCACAAAGUAUUAUAAAACACAACCAAUUUAUUAAAAUUAAAAUUAAGUCGAUACUUAUGCAAAAUAUAAUUAAAAAUGCAAUAAAAACACAUCAUUUACUUUCUAUGUAAUAUUUGUUUAAGUUUAAAAAUACCAUGACUCUCAUUUUAUGAAGUUAUGACACCCCCAAACUUAAAUCAUUACUUGUUCUCAAAUAAUGACAACAACAAUAACACUAUACUCACACAAUCAUGCAACAAGCAACUUGGCACUGUCAUCUAGCUUGGUCGGAUUUAUCAAUCCUCAGAUUUCAUUUUUAAACUUGCAAAAUUGCCGUAAGCAGUUCUAGUUCUAGACUUAUGUCUUAUUCUGUCCAAAAUGUGUGUGUGGCGCUUUGAUCAAGCUCCAGAGUUGUUGCAGCAUCACACAAGAAUUAAAUAUAACUUAAAGAUCAAACAACAAACAUUUCCUCUUAUGGGGGAACAAGAACUAAGAAAUGGCUUUAAACUGUGCUACAACAAAAAUAUUUCUCUUUUUUUUAAAAUCAGUUUCGCACUCUUCAAUGUAACAUUGAUUUUUCAUGUAAAUGUCUAUGAGUUGUAAUGAUGAAACUCAAUUACUUGACUAAUGUACAUAUGAGAGUUGUAGCAAUAACAUCUAAGAUGCCAUAACAUAGUCGUAUUUAUAGACAUCUUUAACUCAAGGCUGAACAUGGGCCUCAUGACAGAGGGCUUAAUUUUUUUUUUUAUUAGUUGCCACAAUAGUGCAUAUAACUCUCAUUGCCUUUUUGCUCAAGUCUGCAUAUGGAGUACAUACUCAACCCUGGUUACUCAGCAACUAAGCCAUUGGAGCAUAAUUUUAUCAUAAUUUUGUCAUAAUUGUGAAAAAUAAUUUAGGUUCCCCUCCCAAACUUGAGAUAUUUCUAACUUUGUAACCCUACCUGGUUUUGUUAUUGCAUACUCACGAAACUCAACCAAAGCCAAAGAGUGAAGAUAGAGUUUCAAAUUUUAUCUAUAAAUUAUCCCUACUUGGCAGUCAUUCAAUCCCUAUUUCAACACUCAAUUCAUCCUCAUUGGAUUUUCUAAUCUAAAUACAAAUGCUGGAUAAACAAAGCUAUACACACAACACAAAUACAUCCAUUCAUAAACACAUUAUACCGUAGCACAACCCCCCAAACUUGAGAGAUAUUGUGUCCUUACAUGCACACAGAAUGAUUUAAUGAAAAAGAUGCAUACACUAACAAAAAUAAAUGCUCAAUAAAAAAAUAAAAGAAAGGAAAAGUUUCAGAAAUAGCAAAAUUAAAUUGGGCUGGCAGGAGAUACUCCUCUGUUGUUAGAAGUUUUGCUGCAGUUGGUUGUUUCUUUUUCUAGCUCUUAGUUGGAUUGGUUGGGGGGGUUCCAGCAGCUUUUGUGAUUUUUGGUAGAGUUGUCUUUGUUUUCUUCUGUUCUGGUUCUUCUGGUGCGUGCAUUACUACAGCACCUAUAAAAUGUUGUGCCUCUUUUCUUUUGCUGAAUUCCCUGGGAAUUGAGACUUGGUGGGAGUUUCCUUUCUAACAGCCGGUGUAAGAGUUGUUGUUGUUGGUUGCUCAGCAGUGAUGUUUGCAAUGAUUUCCCUCAAACUCCUCUUUGCUUCUUCUGUCCUUGUAGCCCCACUAAUGGCUUUCUCUAAAGCUACAUCAAUGUCUUUUUCUUCCUUUAUCUCGAACUCCUCCUCAAUCAAAAUUUUUGUUUUGCCCUCGUACUUGGGAGUCACAACUGGUGAUUCCUCUUUCUUUUUUUUCUUCUUCCUCUUCACUUUCUUCUUUUACUUCUGCCUCAACCUUUUUAGCCCUCUUAUUUCUGCUGCCUUUCCUUUGCUUUUUAUUUCUUCACUUUCUUCUGCUGGAGUAGUCUCCCCAGCUCUUUAAAAAUUAAACUACUGCAGUAUCUAGCAAAUUGAUGCUUUUAUGCUUCAAGAUGCACUAAGUAAGUCCAAAACCUUCGAUUUUCUUCCUUUUGCACUUGGACACAUGCAUUUAUACUUUCCCUGAGUUCUUGCAGUAUCUUCUCAAUCCUUGUGGCUUGCUCUAUCUUAGCUACAGCAGGGUUUUUUUGGGUUGCUGCAGCAAUCGAUUUCAUAGUAAUCCUUUCAACUAUCCUAACUGUGAUAACCCUUUAUUCUUCACUCUUUCAUCACUUGCCUCAAAUUUCACCCUAGAGGCCUCAUAAAUACCUGUGAUCAGCGAAGGAAAUAGCAAGGUAGCAGAUUUUUUCUUCAUUAUUAUACACUCUCUAAUUUCUUUUUCAAUGAUCUUCCUAACAUCUAUGGCCAAACCCUUGACUAUUGCAUAAAGUAGUAUAAGUCGAUCUUGGGACACAGUGGUAGUAUGGGUGGUUGGCAUCAAUCUAAAUUUUAAAAAUUUCACCCAAACCUUAGCGAUAAGUUUCAAGUCUAUCCUAUUGACCACCCUUCCCUCCUCAUUCAUAUAUUCAUUGACAUGAACAGUUAAGGUUUUAAAAACCUCUCCUUACUUCUUUACAGUAAUGUUCUCGGCAAAUUUAGUGUACUUAUAAUCAAUCACAGAGGGGAAGUCACAAAAAAGCAUUAAUAACUUGAGAGUCUAAAGGUACUUGCACUUGCCUCAAAAUGAUGUUUUGUUGGUCUUACAGUAACAUGUUGAAAUAGAACUCCUUAACGACUGAGAUAACGAGGUUUUGGGGUGAGCACAAAACUUCAGCAAUCCUCUUUGUGUUACAGCAGUAAAGAUGUUGUUCAUCGUCCCCAUUAGUUGUUUUGAAAAUUGAAAACCCUUUUCUUCCAGAAUUUUCUAAGGCUCGAUAAUGUCUUCAAAUUUUCCUCAGCUUUAUAGUUGCUGAAACGCUCAACGUUCUUCAAUCUACCAACAUGCGUUUUAAUUUUCAACAUUGUUGUAGCAAUUUGAACAGAGUUUUAUUUUGCUAAAAAGAAAAGUAGAACGUGAAAAAGAAUUGUAAAGAUGUUGGGAGUUACAGAUAGGGAGAGAAAGAGUUAUAGUGAAAUUGAAAUAGUUAAAGUAAAUCCCUAAUUUAUAGCAAAAAAUAGAAGAUAGAAAAGAAAGGUAAUUAAUGAGAUAAAAUUAUAAAUGUAUAUUUGAAUUUUAAAAGCAAGUUUUUAAAAAGAAAGGAAAGGCUAUGUGUCACGGAAAAUCAAGGGUUGCAGAAUCAUCCUUAUAACAAAUUCUGAUCUACUAACAUAAGUGUGUCAGCCCCUCAAAUGGUGAAAAUCCAAAGCUGUUAGUGCAACGGUAAAGAUCAUUGUUGUUGCAAUCAUUCUGUUGCUGCAACAUUAUCGAUAGUGCCUCCGUUAUUUGAGAAUCAUUUUCUAACUUCUAUGUUGUACGUGAUACUACAACAAUUCCUUUUGGUUUCUUUGCCCACAUUUUUUUUUUCGUCAACUUCUACUUGCUGCAAUUUAACAUAAGAAAACAAAUAAAGAAAUUAGAUGCAUAAUUAAAAUAACGAAAAGAAAAAUUAAACAACUUUCAAAACUAAAUUUAAUGUUUUAAAAUUUUAAAACAACUUUUCUCUUGGGUCGCCUCCCAAUCAGUGCUUGAUUUUUGGGUCCUUCAGCCUAAUCAUCCUUAGUUGUUCAAGUUGGAUCCUUGAGGAAUAAUUCCUCCUUGGGAUUGUUCACAGCAGCUCUAAUGUAAUACUUCACUCUUUGCCCAUUCACCUUGAAUUCCUAGCUUGUUCUUUAAUCUUGAAGUACAACCCUUUGAGGAUAAGCCUUGAUAAGUUUGAAAGGUCUUGACCAUCUAGACUUUAUAGAGCAAGACUUGUUGACCUAGAAUGAGCUCCCUCUGUUGGAUUUUCUUGUCAUGCCAUUGCUUGGUCCUCUCCUUAUAGAUUCUUGCUUUUUCUUAAGAAAACAACCUCAACUCUUCUAGCUCACAAAACUGUAACUUCAUUUACUUUACUACAACAGUUCUAUUGAUGUUUAGUUGUUUUAGGAUCUUCAUCUUCAAGUUCUUUAAAUGUUAAAACCUUGAUUUCUUCAUUCUUGCAGCAAUUGUUUAACCUCUCUGCUAUAGAAAAAUCUACAAUACUAAUAAAAUUACAAUAUUUAACAUAGUCAUAACUCUUCAUAACAUCUAACACAUUGAAUAUAACUUGCUGAUCAUUAACCCACAUAGCAUAUCAAUUAGAGUCUUUCUCGUGGCUAAAACAGGAUUUGCCUAAAAUAAUUGGCACUUUUUUGUGAUAGCCCCCUAGUCCAACACUAUAAAAUCCACUAGAGAGAUAAAUUUAUCCACCUUUACCAAUACAUCUUCAAUCUUAUUGUAAAGUGACUUUUGUUGGUCUAACUUCCCCAACUCCCAAUUGCUUAAACACUAAUAGAGCCAUGAGAUUGAUGCUAGCCCCCAAAUCACAAAAUGUCUUACCACUGUAUUUAGUUUUUAUAGUGCAUGCGAUUGUAAAACUUCCUAGAUCUUUAGCUUCUGAAGAUUUUGUUUUGAAGCAUAUGGUUGUAAUCUUGUGUUAGGGCAAUUGUUUCAAACCCUCCAAGCCUUUUUUUUUCCUUGCCAAAAUAUCCUUUAAGAACUUCAUAGAAUUUGGCAUUUAUUUUAGAGCUUCUACAAAAGGAAUAUUGAUAUGUAUCUACUUUAGCACUUCCAAGAAUUUAUUGAAUUGCUUAUCUUCUUUUUGGUUUUGGAAUCUUUGUAGAAAGGGUGGUAGGUGUCUAAACUGCUAUGCUAUAGCAGGCUGUAUAGGCUACUGCUCUUUUACCAUGUUUUGGUUUGAUGUUGUUGAUGUUGCAGCAGCAUCACCAACAGGUGUUGAAUCAUCAUUUUCUGCAGAUGUUAUAGCUUGGCUAUUUAUACCAGUGGGCUCAAAAGUGGGAUGUUGUUGCUCCUCUUUAACUUGAGUUUCUUCUUAGAUUAAAAUGAGUUUAAUUCUUCUUUUUGGUACACCAUCAUGAAUGUGAACAUCUUUUUCAAACCUUAAGUUAAUCACUUUAUCUCCAUCCAGGGUUGUAAGUGCUCGAAUAAAGAUUGUUAUGGUUCUAUCGGUCAUAAUUAGCCAAAUCAUUCCAUGUAGUAAUGGAGUCAGGUGGUAAAGAGUUCAACAAUGCUCUUACUCGAUCCAUUAGAGAAAUGGGAAAAAUCUAAGUCUCAAUGCUUCUUAUGUUGCUCCAGCAAUCUUGAAAGCAUCACUUACUUCUAAAAAUAGUUUAAGGUGAAGGUAAGGAUCUUCCGAUGGCAGUCCAUUGAAUUGCUCUACCGUUUGAAGUAUUUGAAACAUCAUUGACUUUAACUCAAAAUUAUCAACUUGUACUUCAAGUCGAACUAUUCCAGGAUUUAUGGUUUAAGGAGUUAACAAUGCAUAAUCUCUUAUGACUCUGUCUCUAUUGGCUUUGUCUUUAUCAUCUGCCAUGUGAAUAAUAUUGUUGUUCUCUAGUUGCCCAUAAAUAAUCUGCUCAUUAUGAUCUUCUUGACCUCCUUGUGCAUUGAGCGGGUCUAUUGUCCUCGAGGGUUCAAGUUCCUCAUAUCUUGCAGAUCAUCAAUGUCUACAACAUCUUUUAAAUUCCUAUGCUCUUUUCUCAAUCUCCUUGCAGUUUUUUCAAUUUCUGGAUCAAAAUAGAGUUCAAUAGGUUUCUAUUUGUGCAUGCAAGGGUUGCUAGAGCACUUUUGUCAACAAAGUAAACAAAUUAAAAGAAUAAUAAAAAUUGGCACCAACUAAAAUUGAUUCACAAAUCACAAUAAAAAAAUCAAUCCCCGGCAAUACGCCAAAAACUUGUUGGGUAAUUUCUAUUGUUAUAGGUGUCAGUGUGCAAGUGUACACAAUAAGUAAUAUACUGAUGAGCAUUUAGAUCGUCUCCACAGGGAUUGAUAUUAUAGGAUUUGCUACAACAAUCUUAACAAUGUAAUUUUCAGUCUAAAAUAAAAUAAACUAAUUAAUAGAACUAAUAAACUAACUAAAUAAAAAGUGCAAAUAAAAAAAUACAAUAAGGAAAAUCUUAAGCUAAACAUGAGGACAAACUCAAUGGGAAAGAAGUAGUUGAGCGAUUAAACUCACUUAAUGGUAUUGACUAUUUCUAAUUAAGGUUCUGUUGUUACAACAUCCUCUACAGCACUGUGCAGAAUGCCUAAUGCAUCCUCAGCUGUCGUCUAUUGGAUAUCAUAUAUCUCAAUGCAACCUGGUAAUAACCAGUUGUUACGCUAACAUUAGAUAUACCAUUAUGCGUUCUAGGUUCCAAUGACCCUAUAAGGUGAAUCUCUAUGUUCAGUUCUUCACUAAUUUUAAACUAAUAAUGACCUUAUUCAAAUCGAAAGCAACUCAACUUGGGCAACUCAAUCUAAAACCAUGUAUUACCCUAAUUUGUUCCACUAAAAGGCUCCUUCUUAGCUAGUAUCCACUAAAUAGGUGGUUAGCCGAAAUAGGGAAUUACAAUAAUAAAAUAAAGAAAAAAUGCUAUGGCAAAUCCAAAGCAACACACACAUAUCAGUCAAAUAACCAUUAAGCUUGUUUAUCACUCAACCACAACAAAGUUUAGUUCAUGAUUUGUGAUAAAAUAGUAACAAUAAUAACUUUAGCCAUCAAAUACAUUCCCAUAAAUAAAGAAAAACAAGAAAAGAAGAUGAAAAUUGAAUUUUGCUUAGUCUUUAUGAUCUCUCCUUAUUUUUCUCCUUGAAUCCUCUGUUGCAGCCCUCAAAUCUCUCUUUUUUCUCUAUUAUUUCCUUGAGUAACGGCUCUUUUUUUUUUUCUUUUCAUGUGUGCUCUUUUAUAUCUUGUAAUUAAGGCAACCAAAGGUGUGUGCCCGCAUGUCUUCUAUUUUUGGAAACCUUAAAUUGCAAUCUUUCAAUUAACAUUCUUGAAAACUCGACUGUAGUUGCUACAAGAUUACUGCAACAACGGCUACAACAUCUUUACUAUUCCAGACUUGUUUUAAUUCCUUUGUAGCCAAGUUCUUUUGUCAUCUCUACAAGUCUGUUGUUGUAGCUUCCAUCCAUAAAGCUUGAGUUUUUUGGUCGCCUACAAUUAUGCUCAUAAUCAUAGCAUAAAGUAUUAUAAAACACCAUCAAUUUAUUAAAUUAAACUUAAAUGGAUGUUUAUGUAAAAUAUAACUAAAAAUACAAUAAAAACACAUUAUUUACUCUCUAAGUAAUAUUGGUGUGAGUCUAAAAAUGUCAUGAUAACUUUCAUUUCAUAGAGUUAUCAACCAAACAAAAGGAUUUCACAUAUAAAGGUUAUUUUUUGUACUACGAAAUCCAAAUCACAUCGAGACAUAAUGAUACAACAAGAAAAUGUAACUUUACAAUAUGUGUCCACAUAAAACAUUGUGUAGAUAGCUGGAAAGAUGUAACUAAAGAUGUUUAAUUGUUGCAAGCUUGAUCUUUUGGUGAUCUAUAAGCUUAUUGCCGGAGAUUAAGAAUGUCAUCAUUGGAUAUUCUUAUAAUACUAUGUUGUUAAUAAUAAAAUAACUAUUCAGCACUUAAAAUGUAGAGUUAGGGUAACCACUCAUAUAAGAUUGUUAAAAGAUAUGUCAUCAUGUUAAGACCGGUUUUCUUACACAAGAGGUCGCUAAGUUGUUGUAGUAGCAAGCUGGGAUGAGUCACAUAGAGUUACAAAACAAUUAGAUAUAUGGUCUAUUGUCAUUGAGCUUAUGUAAUUUUAAAGAAAGUUGCCUUGAUUAGGUUAAGAUAAGGUCAUAUUAAGUAAGUUAUUGGAUUGACUAUGAUAUAUUCCACUAUUUUAGAAACCUGCCUUAAGCCAGAUAUGAGUUUAGCAUCUUGUGAAGGCGAGCUUAUUAAAACUUAAGUUAGGCAUUUUAAUAGCAAUUGAACUACGAUAUGUAUAGUGAAUGAUUAGACAUAUACUCUUUAUUAAAGGAUAAUUCAUUGUAAUGCUUGAUUCAAAUUGCAUGUGCUUCUUGUGACCAAUAAGGAAAAUGAUGUGAAGGAAAAAAUGAAUGAAUCUCUACUUCCUCAUUGUGUAAGUUCCUCCAUAAUGAGACCUCGGUUAAUAUCCUUAGUUACUGUCUUUUAUAUUUUGAGGUGAAGGAUUAAUAUUUGCUGUUUUAGCAUGUUAUCUAUGGCUAUCACGUCAUACAACCUAUGAAAUAUGUCUAAGUAAGCAUCUUAGUCAAGAAUUUUCAAAAUAUGAGUAGGAUGGGAAGAUUUAUUUUUAUUCAUCUCAAUUAUGUUUUCACUGGUUGACUAGUUGUAUAAUCUAUAUAGGAAUAGUGUCAAUUGUGGAUACAUAAAGUCAAACAUAUCUUUUAUUAAGGGAUUAAGUAUACCUAGACCUACAUGAUGAAAAUAUAUCUAAUCUCUUGUAUAUGUUACAAUCGAGAUUUCUUAUUAUUUAAAUUCCAACUUGUUGUUUAUGGGUCAUACAUCGCAUUUGUCUAUAUGAUACUGCAUUUAAGGCUUUGGGACAAAUUACUUCCAUGACUCUGUAUAUGAUGUCAUCCCAUCUAGUGCAAAUGGAAGAUGUUGGAAUUGGCACCCAUGAUGAGUUGGACCAGCCCAACAUAAAAGACAUUUAGAAGUUUCUUUUAGUAGAGUUCUAUCAUUGUUAGGCUAAUUGGACGCUGAGAGUCAUAAAGUCUUUUUUAGACUUUAAUUACUCUUAUUAGCUUAUAUAUAAGUGCAUUUAUUGCAAUUUGAGAUAAAGAAAAUGCGUAAAACGUAUUAGAAAAUAUAGAGUGGAGACAAGAGAGAGAAAAGGCAGUGGGCUCUUGCAAUGUGAUUUGAGGGGAUUUUCUUUCAUUAUGAUUAUCCUUCGACCAUAAGUAUAUAGCAGCAUAAGGAUUUUUCAUAAGAUUAUGUUGUAUCCCUAUAGUGACAUAACCUCAUUAUGAUCUGCUUCAACAUCCAAAGAUCAAAAGGUAUUCUUUGGAUUUGCAUUAAUUUUAUGUUGAAAUAUACACGAAAAUCAACCAAAUGGCUAGAAAGGAUGUAAAUAACUAAACAUGAGCAUUUUAUGUACGAGAAUGUUGGUGAGAGAUACAUGCAUUCACAUUCAUAAAUAAACAAAUGUUUUGUAUACGAAAAUCAAUAGAAGCAUAGGAGUGAUAUGGUCAACUUUGAUCCCCAAGAAAUGACUUUAAGUUGAGCCAUACCUGCAAUAUUUGUUUUUUUUUUAAUAUGGUACAAUUCUAGUAUUUUACCAACAUAUUUAUCAUCAAAACUCUACGGGACUCACUUAAAUCAAUUCUUAUAGAAAUAUAUCCUCAUUAAAUUAAAGGGAUAUAUUUACUCUACCCACAAAUCAAUGGAAGAAAAAUCUAAUAAAAAAAGGCUCUUUUUAAUUUCCCUGGUUCAAUUAUAGUUUUUUUGUUUAAAAAAUAAAAAAUAGCUUGGUUCAACACUAGUCGUGGCAGGCGGGAUUGCCCGACCAUGGCCGAGUUUAAUAAAUUGUCCAUACAUCUCCUUUUUAAGUUUUAAAACAUGCAACUUCUCAUAAAAUAAAAUAAAAACUAAAUUAAUUAUAACUUAGUGAACUUUAUAAUUUUCUAUCUAAAAUAUGAUAAAACUCAUAAUAUAAAAUAAAAUAAAAAGUAAUUAACAACUCCGUCGUUGAAUUACUCGGCAUCUCAUUCUCUUAACCUUAUGGUGAGGUUUGAGUCUUCCCAUGUGGCCAUAGAAAUUAAUUAUUGUAUUUUGGUUCUCUUAAUCUGAUGAUAAUAAAAUAGUUUAUUAUGGUGAUUUGUACAAUAGGGUUCAGGAAGAAGUAAGAAAUAAUUUUCUUUCAUUGAAAUGAUAAGAAAUAAUUUUUUUGGUUAAAUAAUGAAAAACACACGAAUCAAGCUUGAAGCCUACCUCAAUCAAUCCUUUUUACUCCAUACCUCAAUCGAAAAAAAAAACCUCUCCACAUGUCUCCCCCUCCCCCCCCCCCCCCCCCCCCUUCCAAAAGCCUUAAGCGGCCUUAAUGGCCUCUCCAGCCGCCCGUGAUGGCAACCAGCCAUCCCCGGUCCACACCCUCUCCGCCGAAGAACGAAUUAUCCAGAGUUUGAACCCUCCUAAGAAAUCAUUUAGACGACCCCCAAAAUUCACCAACGAAUCACCUCCGGACAUCCAAUGGCCAUCACCGCAAAUCAAACCAAAUCACCCUCAUACAGACCCUCCAUCUCAAAUCCAACCCCAUGCAAACCAACCAAUAACGUUCACUACCGCUAUCCUCUUGAAACUUCAGCAACCUUCACUCACAUCUAAUGCCGUAAGUGAACAAAAAGAAAUGGCAAUCACUGGUGACAUCAAUGACCAUGAAUGCUACCAUGAGAUAGCAAAAUCUCCUCUCCAUUCUCUUGAAGAUGGGGAAGAAAGCAUUGCUCGAGACAAGCCGAUUCUCAUCUCGUCGACCGACGAAAAUGGCAACCAUCCACCACCGGCUCCUACCUCCACUUCUAGAAAUGAACCUCUAUUUCUUAGGACAUCCCAAAGGCAAACUCGAUCAAAAUACAAGAGUCAAACGCUAGCCCAACAGCCCCCAGCUUCCGCAAACACACCGCCAUCAUCAUCCCUCCAACAACUAUCUCCAACUGCCAUCCUCACCCCUCCAACAACCAUCUCCAAGCUUUCAUCUCAAGCCAACCAGCCUCCAGACUCCAGCCCGCAACCAAUACAAGCCACACACCAUUCGGGAGAGCAUCCUACUGUCACACUAGAUUUGGUGAAUCGAGUUUCACCUCAAGCCAACCAGCCACCAGCCUCCAGCCCGUAGCCAACACAAGCCACACACUAUUCGGGAGAUCACCCUGUUGUCACAGCCCCUAUCCACCAUAAAAACCAGCCCGUACUCCAUGGCCAAUUGCCUCAAGAUUCGGUUCAAGCUACAACCACCAGCCAGCCACAAUCACCACCUACACAAACAACUCCCACAUGACAAAAAACCACAUGCAAAUCACAAGCAAGCACUCGGAACAGGGCUCACAGCCAACUGCAGCUGUCAACCGAAAGCCAGCUGCAUACAACCAUCAUCAAACCCAGCCAAAGUCAGCAAACAUCCAACCAACUCCAGCUCAAAAGUCUGCACGUGGGUGGUAAUUUCCAUGCCCAUGGAACACUUUCGGCAACUCAAGAAUUGUGUUCCCCAUGUGUGUCUCCCACUGGCACUUCCCAUGCCCCACUAGCUUUUCCCACUAGUCAAACCCAAGCCCAACCCAUUUCGGAAAUAAAUCCCAACACCCAGCCCAAUCGAAUGCCCUCCACAUUUUUAUUAAAUAACCUCCAAAAUGAUUCAUUAAUCCAAAAUACCACUCAACUCACGUCUGCACCCUCCUACGCCACAGUUUUCAAAUCUGAAUCAAAAUAAACCCACUAAAAAAUCUUUGGUGGAUAUUAUAAACGACCCAUCCAACUCGACAAUUCCGAUCAAGACCAUUACUUCAUUCGAGGGAGAGCCUACCGUGCAAUUUUCCACUGCGGAAAUUCAAGCGAUGACCAUUCAUUUCAAGUUGACAUUGGUAGGUAAAUUUUCCUACAAUAAAUCUAGUAUGAAAUUAAUUAGUAAAUUUUUUAAUACUUUGAGAUUGAAGGGAACUUUCAAGGUGUCCCUUUUAGAUAAUCGACAUGUGUUAAUUCAAUUGGAUAUUGAGGAAGACUACUCCUGCCUAUGGGUUAGGCAAACAUGGUACAUCAAUGGGAGUGCCACGAGAAUUUUUAAAUGGACCACUGAUUUUUGAUGUUUUGAUGAGUCCCCUGUAGUCCCAGUUUGGAUUUCAUUUCCUUACUUGCCUGUCCAUUUCAUGCACUGUAAGGAAGCAUUAUUUUCUAUUGCAUCAGUUAUUGGUAAAUCAUUGCGAACUGACCAAGCUACUGCCUUUAGCUUGCCCUUCUGUAGCUAGGGUGUUAGUGGAGAUGUCACUCAACCUCCGUUGCAACGGAUACGAAUCGGUGUGGGAGAUUCUGGGUUUUGGCAUAGUGUAAUUUUUGAGAAAAUCCUAAUGUACUGUGCUUCCUGCAAGCACCUUGGCCAUUCCCUUGAGACGUACCUUGGCCAUUCCCUUGAGAUGUGUUACGUGGCCAAUCCAGGACUCCGUCCCCAGCGGCCCAAUGGGAAUUGGCAUAACAGAAUAGAUAAUAAAAAGUUAGAAGUUCUGCCGUCAGAUACUCCUCAACCCUUGGACACUCCACGACCUGAGCUGUCCAUCACUAAGCAGAUUGCAGAUGUGAGGUCUCCGAUUGUUCCUAUGGAGAGUCGAGCUAAUGCUACAAACUCUACUUCCAUUCAGGAGACGAUUGGCCAGGACGUCAGGACUCAUAAUUCUAGAAUCUGAGAACCAGGUGAGUAUAAUACACAUCUUCAUCGAGCAUCCAACACAGAUUUUAGGCUUUACAAUUCUCAUACUGAUAAUGAUGAUAGUUCUGAUGAUCACUUGGCGAACAAUGGCCAUUUCCUGUCUGCUCUUGAGAAUUCUGAGAGAAUUGACUCUAGCCCUGAUUUUAGGGUUGUCGGUCAUUCAAAAAAAGGCAUUAAAUUACUUACCGGCCGCAAGUAUCGUAAGAGAUAUUAUCACCGUCUGCAUUAGUCUUUUCCUUUUUAUGUUAGGCUAUGCCUAGAUCAUUUCGUUUACUAUUAUUUUUAUUUCUCUUGAUUGAAGGUUUUGGUUUAUAUCCCCCUCCAAAUGUAUUUUCUUGAUAUGUUCUAAAUGACAGGUAGGGGUCCCGCCUAACCCCCCAUAGAGUGAAAAAAAAAUUGGUUAAAUAAUAACUUAUAAUAGAAACUUUAGAAGUGCGUGGUGACUUAUCUUAUAUGCUACAUUUAAAAAGCAAUCCGCAUCUAUUUUUUUAAAAAAUUAAUAUCAAAAUAAAUAAACUUAUAAAAUAAACAAAUUUUAAAAGAUUUAUCCAAAAAAUGUUAUAUAUAUAUAUAUAUAUAUAUAUAUAUAUCUGCCUUUGGAACCAGAUCUGACUUAGAACAAAUCAAUAUUCCGCACGUUCUGUUUUCCAGCCUAUAUACCAAAAUUCUUUUAGAAAAUUGUUCUUCAGCAAGCCUAGCAACAGAUCUAAAGGCUCAUAGACAGUAUUAGAUCUGGAUCCCAGAAAUAAUACUCUGGUUAUACUUCCUUGGCUCACUACCAGAAAUAAUACUCUGAAUGGUUGGAGGGAGAAGAGAAGAUACAACAGAAGACAGAGAUCCGGUCUCUUUGCUUCUGAGGAACGUAAAAAUUUAUAUGGCAGAUCUGAUAUAGAUCAGUCUGCAAAGCAUACAUAAAAUUUAAAGUACUGAAAUGUAAAUGCUUUAAGAUAAAUUGUGGAAAUUAAACUGCAGAAAUUUAAACAUACAUAAAUCUAAAUUUAUUACAAACUUUAAAAGGAAUUACAAAUCUUACAUUUUAUUCUUCUUGCUUUGUUCUUCUUUAAAGGAAAAUAUUACAGAAGAAAUGGGAAAUUAAUCUAAAGACAGGAAAAGUUCCUUGUUGUCUUCUGAUUCCUGAUUCCCAGAGAGAGAGAGAGAGAGAGAGAGAGAGAGAAGGAAGAAAGAAGUGGAAUUCUCUAAAAAAUGAAAAUCUGAGAAGUCUAAGUCUUCCUCUCGAUUUAAAUACAAAGAGUGGGUCUUUAACUGUAGCGAAUUUGUAGCUUCACAACUGUAGCGAAACUGUAGCUUCAUGACUGUAGCGAAACUGUAGCUUGAAACAGUGGCUUUACAAGAGAAAUGCAUAAAAUUACAUAAAAAUAAAGAAGAGGAAAUUUCGGGUGAAGAGACAUGUGCGCUCUCACUUGUGUCCAUGGGACCACCCAAAAUAAUACAAGUAAAAUAAAGUAAUUGUUACAAAGAGGAAAAUACAAUGGAAAUUGCAUAGAAUUUUACAGGAAUUAUAGAAUACAAGUGGUAAAUACAGAGGAAAAUUAGUACUUUUUUUUUUUACUUUACAAAUUCUUUUAAGAAUGCUUUACAGGGGGAAAAGUGCCGAAGCAAUCAUCUUCAUUUUCAUCCCCAAGGGAAAUGAACGGCUCAGCUUCACCAGAAGAGCUUGAUCCGGAACUUGCAACCGAUGGCUCAGAUCUUGAUGCGAGAAGCUGUUCCAUAACUUUAAAAUAUUCUGCUUCUGUUUUGGCACUAGCCAAAAGAGAUUGGGCUUUGGAUUUUUGGGUAAGGAAGGUUCCUUGGGUUUUAAUGUCUUUAAUGCUUGGGGUAAGAAGGCCUCUUGAGGAGAGCCAUGUACGAACAAUGGCUUCGGUCAAUUUUGACUGUUCAUCAAAUUUUGACCACCAUUUGACUUUAAAGGUUCUUUGUAGGAUGAGCUGGGCUUCUUGGGUGUGAUAUCGAAGAUUCCACAUCCAUACCCAUGGAAGAAAGAAAUUUGUAUAGAAACAGAGGAAGGGAGGAAACCGUCUCUCGGAUUCUAUAGGGACAUAAUGAGUUUUAAAGAGAUUUAAACAGUGGAUGGCCUUUGGAGUAAGAAUAUAUGGGCUUGGCCCAAAAUAGUUCCACCACUGUUGGAACCAGUUUGGAAGACUUUGGACGGUUAUUUUUGAAUUGAAGAAAAAUAACCAUGAGUGAGUCUUUUUAGGGUUUUGUAUAAAAAAUGUGUUAAACCAAGCCUGUUGAUAAUCCCAGUAGGAAUAAGACAGGCAAUGAGGUAAACGCAUCUGGAAAUUUGCAGGGAAGGGCUUUAAUUUAUGAAGUUGGUCUCCCCACUGCUUUGGGCUCAAAACUUUUAAAAUGGUGGCUGUGGAGUAAGCAGGUUCUGUAUGGGUUUCACGGAGAAAGAAGUGUUUGAAUUUUACAGACUCAGUAGACUCCAAAAUGCUUUGGUAAUAGCUCUGAGGUUUUGUUAAAUCCCAAGGUUUGAAAAACCAACCAACAGGGAAAAUUUUUGAAAUUGCUUGAAAAUGAUCAGUGUGGUAAAAACCAUCUUCUAUGGAUAAAAUAUUUUGAAAAUGGGUUUUAUCAUACCAAUCCAAAGUUUUAUUUUGAAAAUGGGUUUUAUCAUACCAAUCCAAAGUUUUCUUUGGAAGCUUAGUUUGUGAAAGAACAAUUUGAGAAGACGAACUUUCACCAGAAAGAAUCACAUUUUGUGAAGAAGUUUUAGAAGUUUCUUUAGAAAUAGAUUUUUCUUCUUUAGGAGAAAUCUGACUUUGAGAAAAACUUUGUAAGGCGAGCAUAAGCUCAGGGGAUUUAAAAAUGGAUUUCAUUCAUUCAUUUACCUGUUCCUGGGAGGCAAUGGCUUUGGAUUGGGCUUCUUGGUCUUCAAUAGCGUCAAUCCAAGACUUUAUGGGCAUUGCUGAAGAAAGUAAUUUUUCUUUAGGUGGAGAAGAUUGGGAGGCUUUGGGGGUUGUUUUGGAUAUGGGUUCUGUGAGGAUCCUUUUCCCUUUGUCUCGUCUUUUUGGUGGCAUUAUCUGUUUUGAAGAAAUUCCCUGUUUAGGAAAUCAGGGAGAGAAUUUAUAUCUCCUUUAAUAAAUUCAAUAUCAAAAUCGAAAACACUUAAAAUAGCUUGUCAACGUGCAAAAAUCUGUUUAGAUGCAAUGUUUUGAACAUCUUUUUCCAAAACGUGUUUUGCAGCUUUGCAAUCAAUUCUAAGCAGGAACUUUUGAUUUAAUAAAUCGCUUUGAAAUUUGGAAAUGCAUAAAACAAUGGAUAAAAUUUCCUUUUUAAUAGUAGAAUAAUUUUUCUGGCAUUCAUUCCAAUGUGCAGAAACAUAUUGUACUAUCUGUUCUUUAUUAUGAUCAACUUGCUUUAAUAUCCCACCAUAACCUAGGUCUGAUGCGUCAAUCUCAACAAUUUUAGGCAAUGCAGGAUUUGCAAGAAAUAAACAUGGAAUGUUUUUAACUAUGGUCUUUAUGUGUUUAACAAUUUUUGUAUGUUCUUCUGACCAUGCAACAAGAGUUUUCUUUAAUCUAUCAUGCAAUGGUUUGACAAUCCUAUUGAUAUUAGGACAAAAAUCAAGAACAUAAUUUAAACUGCCCAAAAAUCUUUGUAGUUGGGUUUUAUCAAGGAUUUUAUCAGGAAACUUGUCAGUGAAGGCAAGUGACAUUUCAAUGGGGGUGAUGGUUCCUUUGGAAAUGUAAUGACCAAGAAACCGAACUUUAGUUUGGAAUAAAGAGAUUUUAGAACUAGAGAUGGCUAGACCAGCUUUUCUAGUAGCCAGAUAAAAAGUCUUUAAAUGUUUGAAGUGUUGUUCAAUUGAUUGAGAAAAAAUCAACACAUCAUCUAUAUAAACAAUGCAAAAAUCAGAAAAAGGAUUAUAAAUAUCGUUCAUAAUUCUUUGAAAUUCUGAAGGUGCAUUUUUCAAACCAAAAGGCAUUACUGUCCACUCGUACUGUCCAAAUGGAACAGUGAAAGCGGUUUUAUAACGGUCUUUAGGAUGAAUUUGAAUUUGCCAAAAACCAGAUUUCAUGUCAAAUUUUGAAAAUAUGUAUGCUGAGUGUAGUUUUUGGAGCAAAUCUUUUUUAUUAGGUAUGGGAUACCUGAUCCAUUUUAAUGCUUUAUUCAAGGGCUUGUAAUUUAUUACAAGUCUGGGUGUCCCUCUUUCUAUUUCAGAGUUUUUAUUGACGUAGAAAGCGGCACAAGACCACGGAGAUCUGGAUUUUACAAUGAGUCCUUUGGACUCCAAAUCUUGGAUUUCAUUUUUGCAAUGUCUUUCCAAAUCCAUGUUCAUUUGGAUAGGACGAGCUUUAGUGGGUAUUUAUUUUUCAUCAAAAGAAUUUUCAUAAGGCAAAUCUACCAAAUGUUGUUUUCGAUUCCAAAAAGCAGUUGGUAAAUCAGCACAUAUUUCUUUUUCAAUUAAAUAUUGGAAGUCAGAAAUUUUUGUUUGUAUAAAUUGAUUUCUCAAUUGGUUUUCAAUUCUUUGUAAACUCAAAUCUUUUUGUAAACAAGCUAAAUCGGUUUUUUUUGUUUUAAGCAAAACAUUUAUUUGGUUCUGGUAGACAGAACAGGCUUUAACAAUAUUUAAAUUUGUUCUUUUUUUCUUUAAAAGAUAUACUAUCGUAAUUGACAGUAUAGGGAGUAAUAAGAUUUAUAAAAGGAGUUCCCAAAAUAACAGCAUGAUGAAUAUCAUUUGUUAAAAGGAAGGUAGUCUUAAAUUCAAAACCAUUGUUGUGAAUUGAGGCGUCAACUUUGGAUUUGAUGUUCAAUUUUGAAUUAUUUGCAGCUGAAAGCUUUUCAUUAGUCUUUUCAUGAAAUUUCCUUGGAACAAUGUCUGCUUUUAUACAAUUCAAAUCAGCACCAGUGUCAAAAAGGGCAAUGGUGUCAAUUUCAAAAUCUUUAGAGAAUUUUAAAGUGAUUUUAAUUAAGUAUUUUCUUGUGGUGAUUUGUUUCAGAACAAAAAGAAAAUCAUUGGGGAUAGAUUCAAUGUUUUCAAGUUGUUGUUCGUUUUCUUCACCAGAGUUUGAUUCUUUAUCAGAAUUGUCUUCCAGUUGUUUUUGCAAUAAAAGCUGGAUUGUUUCCGAGUCAUUUUUCUGCUUUUCUUUUAAUUCUUUAAUUUCAUUUUUGAUUUCUUUAAUCUCUUUUUGAAGAUCUUGAAUGUUUGGAGUGGCUUUCUUGGGUUUUUUAUUGUUCAAGAUCUCCGUGAGAUCAUAAGCAUUCUUUUUAAUAGUUGGAACUUUAGAAGUUUCUGGCUUGUCUUUUAGUUCCAGAGUCUUUAGCAGUUUGUCAAGGUAUUCUCUCUGGAGAAUGGGGUCAGAAAUAUACUUUACAAGUUCAAGAAAAGUUUCUUGUUCUUUAGUCAAAACAUUAAUCUUUUUUAAAAAGGUUUCUGAAUCAGAACUGCUUGAUACAGAUGUUUCUGAGUCAAUCAACUCAUCAACCUGUAAAGGAUCACUAUUUCCUGAUAGGGAAGAAUUUGAAUCAGAGUCAGAAGACUCAAUGAGCAGAGGAGCAAUUUUGGAAAGGACUUCUUCAUCAAGAUCAAUUUCUUGAAGUCUUCUGUUUAUCCUGCAGUAUUUUGCAGUAUGUCCUUUCUUGCCACAUUUAAAACAUGUAGCAUCUUUAUAAUUAAAAGAGGUUUUUGGUUUAAAAGAGGAAGAGGAUUUGGCUUUGGAGUCUUUUCUUUUAGAGAAAUGAGGUUUUUUAUAAGGUCUUGAGGACUUCUUAUAAAAAGGUUCUCUAAAAUUUCUUGAAGGUUGUUGGUAUUUAUGACUUUACCAUCUGAAUACUGAGUCACAUUUUGUAACUCUGUAUUUGGCUCAAGUUGUUUCGGAAUCACUAGUUGAGUGGCUCCUUCAAGAAUCCAUUCGUCUGGAAGAGUGAUAUCUUUCCAUUGGAUUGGUUUUGGAAUAACGAUGUUGGCUUUAGACAUGCCAGUCUGCAAGAGAAGAGUCUCAUCUCUUUUUGACUAGAAUUUAUGCUGCGUAUUAAAUGUUGAAAUCAUUGCUUUAUAAGAUAUUUUGAAAAUUAAUGCAACUGGAACAGAUCCUUCUAACAUGUGAUAGUUAUGUGUUUUGAUCUGUAAAAUCAUGCUUUUCAAAAUAUUCUUGUCUUUUAAAGAAACCAUUAUAUUAGGAUAACAAUCAAAAGAAAUGGGUCUUUUACAGAUACUAGAUUCAAUAUUACUGAGUAAGGAAUCAUCAAAGGAGAUGAACCUCCCAUCUCUGAGGACAACAAGAAUAGAAGUAUUUAAUCCUUCUUUAGUUAAGGGUUUUAUGCCGACUUGAAUUAAGCCAAUAUGAACAUAAUUGAAAUUUUUUUCCUUUAAUUUCUUUAAAGAAUGCUCAGAAAACAAAUGAAUUGUCUCAAAUGGCUUUGAGAGUGUGAUAUCUUUUUCUUCUGUCUUUAUAACACAAUCAGUCUUUAAAAAAUCGAGUUUUUUCAUUUUAUAAAUUUUAUCUUUAGAAACUUUUGUAAAUCCCAAUUGUCAAUUGCUUUAUUAAAAUCUUCAAUAACGAAUUCUUCUGAAUUCACCACGUUCUUUGAAACACUAGUCUUCUCGGAAGAAGAGCUAGAGAAAGAUGAUGUUCUAUGCAGUAGAGAAUCCAUGCAAUUUAAAACUUAAAUAAAAACCUAUAUGAAUGCCUACAGGUAUGGUUUUACUGCCCUAAGUGGAAAUCCUUAUCCUAAGACGGGACUUACUACCAGUAAAAAAUUCAGCAGACACACUGAUUUUUAAUAAAAGAAAUAAACAACACAAAUGCUUUACCAAAUAUUACACCUACUUUCCCUUGGCUCUGAUACCAAUAAGGACCGGGAUCGUGGAAAGUAGGCGUAAUAUUUUUAUGUAAUUUUAUGCAUUUCUCUUGUAAAGCCACUGUUUCAAGCUAUAGUUUCGCUACAGUCAUGAAGCUACAGUUUUGCUACAAUUGUGAAGCUACAGAUUCGCUACAAUUAAAGACCCACUCUUUGUAUUUAAAUCGAGAGGAAGACUUAGACUCCUCAUAUUUUCAUUUUUUAGAGAAUUCCACUUCUUUCUUCCUUCUCUCUCUCUCUCUCUCUCUCUCUCUCUCUCUCUCUCUGGGAAUCAAGAAUCAGAAGACAACAAGGAACUUUUCCUGUCUUCAGAUUAAUUUCCCAUUUCUUCUGUAAUAUUUUCCUUUAAAGAAGAACAAAGCAAGAAGAAUAAAAUGUAAGAUUUGUAAUUCCUUUUAAAGUUUGUAAUAAAUUUAGAUUUCUGUAUGCUUAAAUUUCUGCAGUUUAAUUUCCGUAAUUUAUCUUAAAGCAUUUAAAUUUCAGUACUUUAAAUUUUAUGUAUGCUUUGCAGACUGAUCUAUAUCAGAUCUGCCAUAUAAAUUGUUACGUUCCUCAGAAGCAAAGAGACCGGAUCUCUGUCUUCUGUUGUAUCUUCUCUUCUCCCUCCAACCAUUCAGAGUAUUAUUUCUGGGAUCCAGAUAUAAUACUGUCUAUGAGCCUUUAGAUCUGUUGCUAGGCUUGCAAAAGAACAAUUUUCUAAAAGAAUUUUGGUAUAUAGGUUGGAAAACAGAACGUGCGGAAUUUGAUCUGUUCUAAGUCAGAUCUGGUUCCAAAGGUAGAUUAAGUUCUGCAUCGAUCUGGCAACAACGCCACGUACCAAUUAAAAAUAAUCCUUAAAAGCAAUUGAUCAUUAAAAUUUUUUAAUAAUUGACUUUUCUUGGACACUCACACACUUUCCACGAUCCCGGUCCUUAUUGGUAUCAGAGCCAAGAGAAAGUAGGUGUAAUAUUUGGUAAAGUAUUUGUGUUGUUUAUUUCUUUUAUUAAAAAUCAGUGUGUCUGCUGAAUUUUUUACAGGUAGUAAGUCCUGUCUUAGGAUAAGGAUUUCCGCUUAGGCCAGUAAAACCAUACCUGUAGGCAUUCAUAUAGGUUUUUAUUUAAGUUUUAAAUUGCAUGGAUUCUCUACUGCAUAGAACAUCAUCUUUCUCUAGCUCUUCUUCCGAGAAGACUAGUGUUUCAAAAAGAUAUCACGCUCUCAAAGCCAUUUGAGACAAUUCAUUUGUUUUCUGAGCAUUCUUUAAAGAAAUUAAAAGAAAAAAAUUUCAAUUAUGUUCAUAUUGGCUUAAUUCAAGUCGGCAUAAAACCCUUAACUAAAGAAGGAUUAAAUACUUCUAUUCUUGUUGUCCUCAGAGAUGGGAGGUUCAUCUCCUUUGAUGAUUCCUUACUCAGUAGUAUUGAAUCUAGUAUCUGUAAAGGACUCAUUUCUUUUUAUUGUUAUCCUAAUAUAACUGUUUCUUUAAAAGACAAGAAUAUUUUGAAAAGCAUGAUUUUACAGAUCAAAACACAUAACUAUCACAUGUUAGAAGGAUCUGUUCCAGUUGCAUUAAUUUUCAAAAUAUCUUAUAAAGCAAUGAUUUCAGCAUUUAAUACGCAGCAUAAAUUCCAGUCAAAAAGAGAUGAGACUCUUCUCUUGCAGACUGACAUGUCUAAAGCCAACACCGUUAUUCCAAAACCAAUCCAAUGGAAAGAUAUCACUCUUCCAGACGAAUGGAUUCUUGAAGGAGCCACUCAACUAGUGAUUCCGAAACAACUUGAGCCAAAUACAGAGUUACAAAAUGUGACUCAGUAUUCAGAUGGUAAAGUCAAACUAUCUUUUAGGAGAUCUACAUCCUCUAGAUUCUCCGAUAAAGAUUCAAGUUCCAGUAUUCCUCAUUUACAAAAGAAAUUUUCAAAAAUUCCCUCUGUUAUAAAUCUCCCUUUUCAACCUAUAAAUAGUUAACCUAGGUUUUCCACCUCGGACAUACCUAGCUCCUCCAUACAUUCUGUUGACUAUGCAACUAGUGUUCCCCAUCCUAUCUACACUAGUCGCCAAAGCUAGGAAGAGAAUGAACCUUUUCCUCCAACUUCUCCUACAUUUUCUGCUGUUACUGAAAAUGUAAUAAAUAUUCUUGAAAAAGAUUUUGAAUUGGAUAAAACUCUUUUACACAAUGAUUUUUAUUCUGAAGUUAAUAAAGAAAAAAGACUCUGGUUUUUUAAACAUUUCUUAAAUCAGAGAAAAGAAAUUCAAAAAGUUUAUUAUGAAUUUGUGAACUUGCAUAAAAUUCAUAUCUUAUUUUUUGAUUGGUUUGGAAUUAUGUCUCGGAAAAUAACAUUUCCUAUCAUUUUAAAGAAUCAAAUCCCAUUACUGUCAAAAAGAAAACUGCUGAAUGGAACCUUUCUGGUAGUGGAAGAAUCAUAGAGUCUGAACAUCCACCUCUUAGGAGCCUGACCAUUGAGCAUGGUGAACCUCCUAUUGAGAUAAAAGCCUCACCCUAUAAGGUCCAUAAAGAUCCAGAAACGGAUUUAGAUAGCAUUAUCCAACAGAACAAUUUUUGUAAUGCUAACCUAAAUACGAUAGGAAAACAGUUGACCCGUAUAGAAAGUCAACUCCAGAAGUCAACCGUUAUUGUCCCUACUUCUACUCAAUCAAAGUCUGAUUCCUUGAAAAAGCUUAAAGAACCUAUUUUCAAACAUUUUCAGGUUUCGAAACAUAGUCAAAAGCUUGUUCAAGAAUCUAAAUCAGAUUUCGCUAAAGUCAUUAAAGAACAACUUGAUAGAAUAGAAGCAUCUUCUUCUUUCGCUUCUACUUCCAAAGUCCAAAUUGCUCCUGAUAGUGCUCAAUCUAGCAAGAUUGGCGUACUAGAACAGGAUCAAUCUUCUGUAGCCUCUUCUGACAUAAAAGCUUUCAAAGAUGAGUCUAUCUCUAAAACCAAUAAAAUCUAUUGGGAACUUGCUCUCCCAACUGUAAGAACUCCUCCAGACCUUGCCAUCGAUAAUAGACCAAGUGCAUUAAACCAAUCUCAUUUUAAUGCAUCCUCUAUCUAUGAAUAGAAUAUUGAUGGUAUGUCUUAAUACAAUAUUUUAGGAUUGUUGCAGCAAAUGACCAUGGCAGCCAAUGCCUAUAAAACUCAACAAGGAACUUCUGACAAAGUCAUUGCAGAAAUUCUCAUUGCUGGUUUUACCGGUCAACUAAAAGGUUGGUGGGACCAUCUUCUCACUAAUCAGCAACAACUAGACAUCCUAAAUUUUAUCCAAGUAGACGAGAAUGGAGCCCCCAUUCUCGAUGAAUUCAAUAGCCUAUUCAAGAUGUUGUUGCUACCCUGAUUCUGACUAUUUCUCUUCAUUUCAUAGGUGACCCUUCUCACCUAAGAGAUAAAAAUGCUGAGUUACUACAUAACUUGAGAUGUAGGAAACUUAGUGAAUUCCAAAGUUACAAAACCACUUUCUUUACCAGACUCUUCCUUAGGGAUGAUGCAAAUCAUACAACCUGGAAGGAAAAAUUCCUUGCAGGAUUGCCUACCCUAUUGGGAGAAAAAGUUAGAAAUUCCAUCAAAGCUCUUUAUGAUAAUCGCAUUCCUUAUGACGAGCUCACCUAUGGUGAACUAGUCAGUUUUGUCAAUAAAGAAAGUUUAAAGAUCUGUCAAGACUUGAAAUUACAGAAACGCCUAAAAUAGGAGCUUAGAAAGUCUAAGCAAGAAUUAGGCGGUUUCUGUAAACAAUUCAACUAUGACCCCUUUAAAACUUCUACUUCAAAAUAUUGUAAUGGUAAAUGUUCUUCUAAACCUUACAAAAAACAUUACAAGUCUAGAAGUCAUAAAUACCAACAACCUUCAAGAAAUUUUAGAGAACCUUUUUAUAAGAAGUCCUCAAGACCUUAUAAAAAACCUCAUUUCUCUAAAAGAAAAGACUCCAAAGCCAAACCCUCUUCCUCUUUUAAACCAAAAACCUCUUUUAAUUAUAAAGAUGCUACAUGUUUUAAAUAUGGCAAGAAAGGACAUACUGCAAAAUACUGCAGGAUAAACAGAAGACUUCAAGAAAUUGAUCUUGAUGAAGAAUUCCUUUCCAAAAUUGCUCCUCUGCUCAUUGACUCUUCUGACUCUGAUUCAAAUUCUUCCCUGUCAGGAAAUAGUGAUCCUUUACAGGUUGAUGAGUUGAUUGACUCAGAAACAUCUGUAUCAAGCAGUUCUGAUUCAGAAACCUUUUUAAAAAAUAUUAAUGUUUUGACUAAAGAACAAUAAAUUUUUCUUGAACUUGUAAAGCAUAUUUCUGACCUCAUUCUCCAGAGAGAAUACCUUGACAAACUGCUAAAGACUCUGGAACUAAAACAAGCCAGAAACUUCUAAAGUUCCAACUAUUAAAAAGAAUGCUUAUGAUCUCACGGAGAUCUUGAACAAUAAAAAACCCAAGAAAACCACUCCAAACAUUCAAGAUCUUCAAAAAGAGAUUAAAGAAAUCAAAAAUGAAAUUAAAGAAUUAAAAGAAAAGCAGAAAAAUGACUCGGAAACAAUCCAGCUUUUAUUGCAAAAACAACUGGAAGACAAUUCUGAUAAAGAAUCAAACUCUGGUGAAGAAAACGAACAACAACUUGAAAACAUUGAAUCUAUCCCCAAUGAUUUUCUUUUUGUUCUGAAACAAAUCACCACAAGAAAAUACUUAAUUAAAAUCACUUUAAAAUUCUCUAAAGAUUUUGAAAUUGACACCAUUGCCCUUUUUGACACUGGUGCUGAUUUGAAUUGUAUAAAAGCAGACAUUGUUCCAAGGAAAUUUCAUGAAAAGACUAAUGAAAAGCUUUCAGCUGCAAAUAAUUCAAAAUUGAACAUCAAAUCCAAAGUUGACGCCUCAAUUCACAACAAUGGUUUUGAAUUCAAGACUACCUUCCUUUUAACAAAUGAUAUUCAUCAUGCUGUUAUUUUGGGAACUCCUUUUAUAAAUCUUAUUACUCCCUAUACUGUCAAUUACGAUAGUAUAUCUUUUAAAGAAAAAAAGAACAAAUUUAAAUAUUGUUAAAGCCUGUUCUGUCUACCAGAACCAAAUAAAUGUUUUGCUUAAAACAAAACAAACCUAUUUAGCCUGUUUACAAAAAGAUUUGAGUUUACAAAGAAUUGAAAACCAAUUGAGAAAUCAAUUUAUACAAACAAAAAUUUCUGACUUUCAAAAUUUAAUUGAAAAAGAAAUAUGUGCUGAUUUACCAACUGCUUUUUGGAAUCGAAAACAACAUUUGGUAGAUUUGCCUUAUGAAAAUUCUUUUGAUGAAAAACAAAUACACACUAAAGCUCGUCCUAUCCAAAUGAACAUGGAUUUGGAAAGACAUUGUAAAAAUGAAAUCCAAGAUUUGGAGUCCAAAUGACUCAUUGUAAAAUCCAGAUCUCCGUGGUCUUGUGCCGCUUUCUACGUCAAUAAAAACUCUGAAAUAAAAAGAGGGACAACCAAACUUGUAAUAAAUUACAAGCCCUUGAAUAAAGCAUUAAAAUGGAUCAGGUAUCCCAUACCUAAUAAAAAAGAUUUGCUCCAAAAACUACACUCAGCAUACAUAUUUUCAAAAUUUGACAUGAAAUCUGAUUUUUGGCAAAUUCAAAUUCAUCCUAAAGACCGUUAUAAAACCGCUUUCACUGUUCCAUUUGGACAGUACGAGUAGACAGUAAUGUCUUUUGGUUUGAAAAAUGCACCUUCAGAAUUUCAAAGAAUUAUGAACGAUAUUUAUAAUCAUUUUUCUGAUUUUUGCAUUGUUUAUAUAGAGGAUGUGUUGAUUUUUUCUCAAUCAAUUGAACAACACUUCAAACAUUUAAAGACUUUUUAUCUGGCUACUAGAAAAGCUGGUCUAGCCAUCUCUAGUUCUAAAAUCUCUUUAUUCCAAACUAAAGUUCGGUUUCUUGGUCAUUACAUUUCCAAAGGAACCAUCACCCCCAUUGAAAUGUCACUUGCCUUCACUGACAAGUUUCCUGAUAAAAUCCUUGAUAAAACCAACCUACAAAGAUUUUUGGGCAGUUUAAAUUAUGUUCUUGAUUUUUGUCAUAAUAUCAAUAGGAUUGUCAAACCAUGGCAUGAUAGAUUAAAGAAAACUCUUGUUGCAUAGUCAGAAGAACAUACAAAAAUUGUUAAACACAUAAAGACCAUAGUUAAAAACAUUCCAUGUUUAUUUCUUGCAAAUCCUGCAUUGCCUAAAAUUGUUGAGACUGACGCAUCAAACCUAGGUUAUGGUGGGAUAUUAAAGCAAGUUGAUCAUAAUAAAGAACAGAUGGUACAAUAUGUUUCUGCACAUUGGAAUGAAUGCCAGAAAAAUUAUUCUACUAUUAAAAAGGAAAUUUUAUCCAUUGUUUUAUGCAUUUCCAAAUUUCAAAGCGAUUUAUUAAAUCAAAAGUUCCUGCUUAGAAUUGAUUGCAAAGCUGCAAAAUACGUUUUGGAAAAAUAUGUUCAAAACAUUGCAUCUAAACAGAUUUUUGCACGUUGACAAGCUAUUUUAAGUAUUUUUUAUUUUGAUAUUGAAUUUAUUAAAGGAGAUACAAAUUCUCUCCCUGAUUUCCUAACCAGGGAAUUUCUUCAAAAUAGAUAAUGCCGCCAAAAAGACGAGACAAAGGGAAAUGGAUCCUCACAGAACCCAUAUCCAAAACAACCCCUAAAGCCUCCCAAUCUUCUCCACCUAAAGAAAAAUUACUUUCUUCAGCAAUGCCCAUAAAGUCUUGGAUUGACGCUAUUGAAGACCAAGAAGCCCAAUCCAAAGCCCUUGCCUCCCAAGAACAGGUAAAUGAAUUGAUGAAAUCUAUUUUUAAAUCCCCUGAGCUUAUGCUCGCCUUACAAAGUUUUUCUCAAAGUCAGAUUUCUCCUAAAGAAGAAAAAUCUAUUUCUAAAGAAACUUCUAAAACUUCUUCACAAAAUGUGAUUCUUUCUGGUGAAAGUUCGUCUUCUCAAAUUGUUCUUUCACAAACUAAGCUUUCAAAGAAAACUUCGGAUUGGUAUGAUAAAACUCAUUUCCAAAAUAUUUUAUCUAUAGAAGAUGGUUUUUACCACACUGAUCCUUUUCAAGCAAUUUCAAAAAUUUUCCCCAUUGGUUGGUUUUUCAAACCUUGGGAUUUGACAAAACCUCAGAGCUAUUACCAAAGCAUUUUGGAGUCUACUGAGUCUGUAAAAUUCAAACAUUUCUUUCUCAGUGAAACCCAUGCAGAACCUACUUACUCCACAGCCACCAUUUUAAAAGUUUUGAGCCCAAAGUAGUGAGGAGACCAACUUCAUAAAUUAAAGCCCUUCCCCGCAAAUUUCCAAAUGUGUUUACCUCAUUGCCUGUCUUAUUCCUACUGGGAUUAUCAACAGGCCUGGUUUAACACAUUUUUUAUACAAAACCCUAAAAAGACUCACUCAUGGUUAUUUUUCUUCAAUUCAAAAAUAACCGUCCAAAGUCUUCCAAACUGGUUCCAACAGUGGUGGAACUGUUUUGGGCCAAGCCCAGAUAUUCUUACUCCAAAUGCCAUCCACUAUUUAAAUCUCUUUAAAACUCAUUAUGUCCCUACAGAAUCCGAGAGACGGUUUCCUCCAUUCCUCUGUUUCUGUACAAAUUUCUUUCUUCCAUGGGUAUGGAUGUGGAAUCUUCGAUAUCACACCCAAGAAGCCCAGCUCAUCCUACAAAGCACCUUUAAAGUCAAAUGGUGGUCAAAAUUUUCCUCUGUAUUUACCACUUGUAUUCUAUAAUUCCUGUAAAAUUCUAUGCAAUUUCCAUUGUAUUUUCCUCUUUGUAACAAUUACUUUAUUUUACUUGUAUUAUUUUGGGUGGUCCCAUGGACACAAGUGAAAGCGCACAUGUCUCUUCACCCGAAAUUUCCUCUUAUUUAUUUUUAUGUAAUUUUAUGCAUUUCUCUUGUAAAGCCACUGUUUCAAGCUACAGUUUCGCUACAGUCAUAAAGCUACAGUUUCGCUACAGUCAUGAAGCUACAGUUUCGCUACAGUUGUAAAGCUACAGAUUCGCUACAGUUAAAGACCCACUCUUUGUAUUUAAAUCGAGAGGAAGACUUAGACUCCUCAUAUUUUCAUUUUUUAGAGAAUUCCACUUCUUUCUUCCUUCUCUCUCUCUCUCUCUCUCUCUCUCUCUCUGGGAAUCAGGAAUCGAAAGACAACAAGGAACUUUUCCUGUCUUCAGAUUAAUUUCUCAUUUCUUCUGUAAUAUUUUCCUUUAAAGAAGAACAAAGCAAGAAGAAUCAAAUGUAAGAUUUGUAAUUCCUUUUAAAGUUUGUAAUAAAUUUAGAUUUCUGUAUGUUUAAAUUUCUGCAGUUUAAUUUCUGUAAUUUAUCUUAAAGCAUUUAAAUUUCAGUACUUUAAAUUUUAUGUAUGCUUUGCCGACUGAUCUAUAUCAGAUCUGCCAUAUAAAUUGUUACGUUCCUCAGAAGCAAAGAGACCAGAUCUCUGUCUUCUGUUGUAUCUUCUCUUCUCCCUCCAACCAUUCAGAGUAUUAUUUCUGGGAUCCAGAUCUAAUACUGUCUAUGAGCCUUUAGAUCUAUUGCUAGGCUUGCUAAAGAACAAUUUUCUAAAAGAAUUUUGGUAUAUAGGCUGGAAAACAGAACGUGCGGAAUAUUGAUCUGUUCUAAGUCAGAUCUGGUUCCAAAGGCAGAUUAAGUUCUGCAUCGAUCUGGCAACAACGCCACGUACCAAUUAAAAAUAAUCCUUAAAAUCAAUUGAUCAUUAAAAUUUUUUAAUAAUUGACUUUUCUUGGACACUCACACACUUUCCACGAUCCCGGUCCUUAUUGGUAUAUAUAUAUUUGGUGCUUCAAUUGAAAUCUCCAGUGAGACCUUAUAAAGGAGCUCAAAGAAAAAAAAAAAUAAUUUUCCAAUGUGUUUCAAAGAUGUGUAAACAAAUAGUGUGUUUAAAGUAUAUCAUAUGUUGUAAAUUUCUCAAUAUUUCUCCAUUUCAAUUGACGUAAUUAUCUUUUAUUAAAAAAGGGGUUAUUUUUCGCCACCCCUCAUAUGAAUCGACAAAUAUUACCACGCACCCUAAUGUUUCAACAAUUAUUACUACACACCCAUUCCGUUAGAAAUCACCGUUAACUUAACUGCUACAAGGAUAGAAUAGUAAAGUUGUAGAGAUGAAUAAAGGAAAAAGAAAGAAAAAAAAAUUUUUUUUCCUUCCUUCACCACAACGCCAUUCACGCUCCAUCUUCGUCUCUCCUCUAUUCACACUCCACAACAAGCACUUAUUUCUUCCCUUUUCAUUUACACUCCCCAGCAAGGGAUGUUCGCUUUUCCCUUCCAUCGACGUCACAAGGGUCACAUAACCAACUGCACUGCCAUAGCGAAUGCUCAUUUCUGGGUGGAAACAAGCGACAGGAGCGUGACGUGAGAUCGGGAGGCUUCUGGCAAUUCGCAGAGUCAUGGCCUGCUGCUGACUGACACGGCAUCGUCAAUGGCGACUAGCAACUGGAAAAUCACAACCCUAAAACUUUGGGGUUUACAUGUUAUUGUUUACUAAUUUUAGGUUUGGGUAUUUUAUAAUUUGUUUGAUAUAUAAAUUAUUUUGAUUGUGCGUAGAAAUUGGAAAUUUAUGUUGUCUAUGGUGCUUUCAAAGUAAAUAUUCGGGAUAUAGUGAAUUUUUUUUAACUUUACUUCAAAGAUCUUUUUCUCACAAGAUGCUUGUUUUGCAGAGGGGUGAAAGUUUUGAAGAAAUAGAAGAAGAAAGAAAGAGUAGUAGCCAUGAUUGAUUUCCUCUGCGCAGGAGUUUGGGAUUUGAGAGUACGCAUGACUCUGAGAAGAUCUCUGAUUGUGAUCAAUUGGGUCUCACUUAAAUCUUGGUAAUAACGAAUGACUUGCUUGAUUUCUCUGCAUCGGCUCGUGAAAGGGAAGUGGGAAAUGUGACGAUGUUGGAGCAGAAGAGUUGGACUCUAGGCUUUGGUUCUAGAACUGAUAAUUCCAAUUAAUUUUAGUUUUAGUUUAAUUUCUUAAAAAAAAGCUUAAUUUAUUGUAAUUAUUUUCGGUUUGUAUUUCAUCAUUUUUGUUUUACAUUUUAUAAUUAUCUUUUCAAGAAAAUAAAUUGGCAAUUGCCAAAUAAUAUAUUCCUGUCAUUUCUUUAUAAAUGUAUGGGUUAUUUAGUACUCCCAGUCAAUUCAAUUUAUAUAGAGGGCAGUGUGGUAAUUUCAGCAAAUAUCUGUCAAAACCGUUAAAGUUAAAGGUGAUUUCUAACAGGAUGGGUGUGCAGUGAUAAUUAUUGAAACAUUAGGGUGUGUGGUAAUAUUUGUCGAUUCAUAUUGGGGGGUGGCGAAAAAUAACCCUUAAAAAAAUGAAAGAACAUUAGAAAUAGAAAAACGGCAGCAACUAAUCGUGCGUUUUGGAUCCAAACUCACUCGAUAGGAACUUAUAACACCUGUUUUAUCACCGAAAAGGAAUUGGAAGAUGUGGUUAUAAUUCACAUUGCUUGAGUGCAUUGUGCCAAUCGCUUGUCAAUUCCGUUGCUGUUACAUCAUUAAUCAACUGCCCUUCAUUUUUAUAUCUCAUACAGCCAAUUAAACAGUGAAAACGAAAUUUGAACAACCGAUAUUCUACCGGUUGUAAAUAUUAUCUAUGUUUGUUUAAUUAAUUUUUGUACCAGAAAAAAAUAUAAAAAGAGAGAAAAUUUAAUUAUGAAAUAGCUAUUUAAUAAUGCAAAGUUCUUACUUACCAUGGAAACUUGUAGUCUCUCUAAAGAAGCCCCCGCUAAUAUUAUGUUCUUAAUUAAACCAAAAAAAAAUCGACUAAAAAGCUCUAUAACUCAUUCAUUUGAACCUCUUAAAUAUCUUUUGAAAUGAAGUAGCAGUGGAAGCUAAAGUGUAUCUGAGAAGUCACAGUUAACUUUGUAAAAUUAGAUGAAGGGAACAAGUGCAAGAACAGUAAAUAUUUUGAACAAAUUGGAUGAUAUAAAAGAGAAAGAAAAUAAAAAAUUUAUGUGGACACCUUUCCAACCAAAAGCGAGAGCGUGAGUCAGUAGCGCUCCUCAAAUUGGUCAGUUCGUACUAGAAUUCGUAUAGUAGUGUAGCAGUUGUUUUCACUUGUCGUGUCGCUAAAUUAUUGAAAUACGCACGUGGAGAAAUUCUUGACAGGAAAGAGAUAAAAUGUUGCUUUGCAACAAGAUGACAUUCACCACAUAUAAUGUGUGUGGUGAGUAGUCUCUCGAAUUGUGUACCAUUUCAUUUCUUGUUGCUCUAAUACGUGCAUCCAGCUUCACAAGAUGAGGGGAUUCUGCAAUUCUAGCUCAAGUUUCCGAUGGUAAUGUGGACGAACAAAAACCAUCAGUUUACAGCUCCAAAAUAAAAUUGUUUAACACUUAUCUCCCCCAUUAUUCAAAUUCAAGUGCCUGAAAAUCGCUAAAUCAGGCUCUUGAGGCUAAAAUAUCAAGCUUGGUAUAUACAUGAUUUUGAGUAAUCGGAAGUUGAUUUAUAUUUAUAUAUAAAAAGUAAUUUUUCAAUAAGGAUCUCUUAUUUUAUAAGCUAAAAAAAAGGAAAAUAUACAUUUCAAUAUAUAUAUUGUAUAUUGUCCUAUAAUAUAUCAGAUUUCGUAUCUUUUUUUUUUUUUAAUUGAUCCCUUAUGUUAACAAAAUAAGAGACUAUAAUGAUUCUAUAUGUAUUUUGAAGGAUUAAUAACAAAUGAAAUUAAUUGUUAGUCAUAUAAUCAAGUUUCAAUUUACACGUAAUGGACUUCAUAAACUGUCAGAUAAGAAAAUUCAUGUAGAAAUGAGAAGAGAGAGGAUUAAGAAAUAAAAGGAGACCUGGGUAAAUUAAAAAAAAAAAAAAAAAAAAAAAAAGGAAGAAGAAGAAAAAGAAGAAGAAGGGGAGAAUGAGGACAGAGAAACCUUUUGAUUUUACUACCAAGCGUCUAUUAAUCCCUUUAAAAGGGGAGCCUCUAAGUUACAUUUAAUGUAACUUACACAACUCAUGUGAACCACACAAAUUAUAGGUCCCAUAAUUUUGUGUGGUUCACAUGAGUUGUGUAAGUUACAUUAAUUGUAACUUAGCAUUUGCCCUUUAAAAGAAGUAAAGGUUCAUGUCAUUGGAUCCUCAAAUAGGAGGGAGAUCUUGCAAUGUGUGGCUAUAAAAGAAUUAAGGUGCUGUUUGUUUCUCAGUUUUUAACUUUUAAUUUUUCAGAUAUUUACUUAUUUUGAGUUACUUGUUUUCUUAAUUUAUCAUGCGACAAUUUUAUUCUAAUAGAAAAAGUAAAAAAAAAAAUCUACAUUUAUCUUAAAUCUGAAAUCUAAAUAGAAAAUUUUAAAUUCAAAUCUCAAAAAUACCUUAAAUAAUUUAUGUAUUAACUAUAUUGUGUAUAAAACCUAAUUUUUUUUUAUCCUUAAAUUUAUUUUUUAAUUAUUUUAAAUUUUUAUUCACAAGGUGACAAUAUAAAACCAAAAUAUUGAAUAAAUCGUAUUAUAUUCAUUGUAAAGAAUCAAACUAAAAUAACAAUGUUGACUUUAUAAUAAAAUGUUGACAUUAUAAUCAUAUCUUUUAGUACAAAAUUAAAUUAAGAAACAACGAUAGUACUAUUUUUUUUUUUAUAUACUAUCAAACUAGCUCUAAAUUUAAAUAAAUAUAUACACCACUUAAAACAAUAUUUAUGUAAAACUACUAGUUUUUAAAUUUUUUUGUUCAGACGUUGUAAAAAAAAAAAACAUAUUAUUUAGACAAUUUCAUUUAACCUAUCCAGAUUUCAGUUAAAUUCAGAUAUAUUUUUUUCAAACAAAAAUCAAACACAACCAAGUCUAUAAAAUGCACGAGAAUUAUGGCAUCAUUGAAGCACAAGAAGCUACAGCGAAGAAACAACUCAAUUUGUAGCAACCUUAAAUGCCUUUAGCAAGCAAUAGAAAUUAAGGACAUGUCGUUUCAAGUUUCAGCCUCUCCUAAUAAAGUUAUCCGAAUAAAUGCCGAGAAAGAAUCUACUCGUCGUUCGGCAAAUUUUGAUCCUACCAUUUGGGGGGAUUAUUUCCUUUCAUAUACUGGUGACUUCAAGGUAAAAUGACUCUUUAGUAGUACUCUACUCUAAAGCAACUUAAUACUAGUAUUGCAUAUUUACGUUAAUUACGUAUAGUUUUCUUCCUCUGUAGAUAGCUUCAUCUCUAAAUUUAAUUUCUUCCUCAGGAAAGUGGUGAUGCUAGCGUGAAGCAUCAAGAGCUGAAGAAAGAAAUUAGAACGAUGCUAAGAGCUGAUAUCAACAAGCCUACGCAGACUAAACUGGAUUUGAUUGAUGACAUUCAGCGUUUAGGAGUGUCUUAUCAUUUUGAAAGUGAGAUUGAUGAAAUCUUGCGAAAAAUGCAUGAGGCUAACCAAGAUUGUGAUCUUGGCGAUGAUGAAAAUGUUCAGGAGCUCUAUUAUAUCUCUCUUCAGUUUCGAUUACGUAGACAAAAUGGCUAUAAAAUUUCCGCUGGUAAGUCUUUUUUCUCACCAAUUACUCUUGUUCAAUAUCUUGUACUUCUCAAAAAUAUAAAAAAACAAAAUCUUGCAAAAUGUUUUCAUCUUCAUCCUUUAUCUAAUUUUUGGGAACUGAAGUUGCAGCUCCUGUGUAUAUGUGUUAUGUCACUUAAUUUCACUUGCCUUUAUCGAUAUUUUAGUAGCGGAUGGUAUUUAUAGGAACUCAAAUAAAGAAAACUGUAAAAGAGAAUGAGCUCCACUUUAAUUAUUUCAAAUGGCUCCAAGGCCUAGUUAUAUUUAUAUCUCUACAAUUAUCGAUACCUGCAAUUUUUGUUUGUCCACUUAAAAACGAACAUUUGCUUAUCUUUAUUUGAGCAUAAGAAAAAAGACGUGGAAAAGAAAUUCAAAAUUCUCAUUUAUAUAUCGUUAAUUAUUGCUAUAAAUAGAAAAAUUACAUGAAAUUUGUUAACGGGUGGUGAAGCAGAUGUCUUUAACAGGUUCAAGGAUAGCAAUGGGAACUUCAAGUCUUUCCUUAAAAGAGAUAUUCGGGGAAUGUUAAGCCUGUAUGAAGCGGCACAUCUCAGGGUACAUGGAGAAAAUAUACUCAACGAAGCACUAGCUUUCACUGUCACUCACCUUGAGUCAUUUACAAGCCAAUCCAACACUCAACUUGCGGCUCAAGUCAAUCGUGCCCUCAAUCGACCUAUUCGCAAAAGCUUACCAAGGCUAGAGGCAAAACACUACAUGCCAAUCUAUCAGAAAGACCCUUCACACAACAAAGAUCUAUUAACCUUUGCCAUGUUAGAUUUCAACAUACUUCAGAAACAACACCAAGAAGAACUCAGAGAUAUCGUAAGGUUUGAACGAUUUUAGGGCUCAUAUGUUAAUGUUUUUGGCUUAAUUUCUCUAAAUAAUAAUUUUUUUUUAAUAUAUUAGGUGGUGGAAAAAUUUUGAUGUUCCCAAUAAACUACCUUUCAUAAGAGACAGAGUGGUGGAGGGCUAUUUCUGGAUUUUGGGAGUAUAUUUUGAGCCAAAAUUUUUAUUGGCUAGAAAAAUUCUAACCAAAGUGAUAUCAAUGUCUUCAAUUAUUGAUGACAUUUAUGAUGCUUAUGGUACAAUAGAAGAACUUGAGCUUUUUGCCACAGCAAUUGAGAGGUCUGAAUGUUCAAUUUUUCGCAUUUGUAUAUUUCUUACCAAAAUUAAACUUUUUUAAACUUGUGAUAAUCCUUGAUUAAUAUCUAAUAUGAAAUGCUAUUGUUUAUAAUUUUGUUUUCCAGGUGGGAUCUCAGUGCCAUAGAUCUGCUUCCUGAGUACAUGAAGUUGUGCUAUAGGGCUCUCCUGGAUGCUUACAGUGAAUUUGAGAAAGAUUUGGCCAGCAAAGGAAUAUUGUACGGCCUACCUUUUGCUAAAGAAUCGGUCAGUUCAUUUCAAUUAUUGUGAAAGCUGUGUAGCAAAUAUAAUUUUCCUCCCUCACUUUAGCAAGUGUUGCGCAGAAUAAAUCUUUCUUUCCUAUUUUAUCCUUUCUAUUUUUAUUUUUUAAUAAUUUCUUAGAUGAAGAUUUUGGUGAGAAGUUACAUCAUCGAAGCUAGAUGGUGUGACCAACAAUAUGUACCGACAAUGGAGGAAUACAUGCGCGUUGCACUACUUUCAUGUGGCUACUUACUGUUAUCAACAUCUUCAUUUCUGGGAAUGGAAGAUAUUGUAACAAAAGAAGCCUUUGAAUGGGUAUCCGGCAACCCUAAAAUCGUUCAGGCUUCCUCAAUAAUUUGCAGACUCAUGGAUGACAUUGUCUCUCAUAAGGUAGCAUGAACUAAAUCAUUUAUUAUUUAAUAUUAUUAUUCUAUUUUUAGAUGGCCAAUAUAUAUGUGAAUGUUAUGCAGUUUGAGCAACAGAGAGGACAUGUGGCCUCAGCUGUUGAAUGCUACAUGAAGCAGCAUGGAGUUUCUGAGGAAGAGGCAGUUAAAGUGUUUCGGGAGAAAGUUGGGAAUGCGUGGAAAGAUAUAAAUGAGGAGCUCAUGAGACCACCUGUUGUUCCUAUGCCUUUGCUCGAACGGGUUCUUAAUCUUGCUCGUUUAAUGGAUGUGCUGUACCAAAAUAAUGAUUCCUAUACAAAUCCUCACUUGAUGAAAGAUCAUGUUGCCGCAUUGCUUAAGGAUCCUGUUUUCUUUGAAGACUAGUUUCGCUAACUAUAUAUACUCUAUAACUCUCCCUUGGAUUCUCGGUGCUUGUUAUUAUUUGGUUUGUGUUUUGACUUGCUUGCUUUAUUUUUAAGAGGAGUAAAGUUUAUUAUGUCCCGAUUAAGCGUCAUUUGCUCUGUUCUUUACUCAAUAAAAUUCUCGCAAAUACAGCAGAAGUUUUCCUUAAAUUAAAAAUAAAUAAAUAAAAGAAGAAGAAGAAACAAUGUUUGUGAUAUGAUCAGCUUUGAUCCUGUUAGACAGGGCUUUAAGUAAGCCAUAUUUGCUAUAUUUGAAAUUGUUGGGAUGCGGAAGCAUCAUUUUUGUGGUCCAAUAUCACUUGCGUGCAAAUGGGAAAUCAAUACUGAUGCAAAUAAGGAAUCCUUAUCAUAUUUGGAUUAGUGUCCUUAUCAUUUAAAGUUUAGAACUUUGUUUUUUUUUUAGUUUAGAACUUUAUUUUCCUUUUACUUCAUUGUUAGGAUAAUUAUUACUAAUAUAAAUAGCCCUCUCUUAUAGCUUUUGAAGAUAGAUUUGAGUUCAAUAAUAUUUUCAAUUUUCAAAGUUCUGUGUGAGUUGUUGAAUUUAAUUAAUUUUCAGUAUUCUAUGGAAUUAAAGAGUCUUAGACCCCAAGGUUCACGGUAUUCUUUUGAAUCAAUGUGAAUUUAAUUCUUUUGUUUAUUGUUAUAUUCUCUAGAAUCAAUAGAAUAAUAGCACAUUAAACUUCCGCUCCAUCAGCUUGAUAUCAGAGACAAAAACCUGAUUCUUAACUAUCCUUAAGACCUAUAUUUGUUUUUCCUAAACUCGUCUCGCAUUAAAAAAAAGACAAAAAAAACAAUAAAAAAAUAAGCUAACAAGAAAAUAAGUUUCCAACAAAAUCCAAGGCCACUGUAGCAGCUGUCGUCAAUGUUGCCAGUGUACUUUUUCGUCGCCUUUUGACGAUCAGCCACUACUGUGACAAUUAGAACAAGUUGCCGACCAUAUCUCAUUCCUCAAACUCUCCUUUCCACCACCAUAGCUGUCAGAAAAAAACCAAAAAAGUCGCGAAAGGCUUUGCAUUGUUCGUCGAUUUCCACCGCACUUAGGCCAGUACCAUAGCUGUCAAUCAACUCCUCUCCACUAGCUCAACUUUCUAACAAAUCACGAUUGACGCAUCGAUUGUCAUAAUUGAAGCCCGUACAAAAUCGCCGCCUUUAUCUUUAAUUUCCAGCAAAAUUACCACCUUUUCAAACAAGCCACUGCCACUAUCACACUCACCGACACUAAAUCUUUUAGAUCCCCCCAUCCUUGCUUGAUUUCAUACCACCGUCACCAAAAACCUAACUUUUUAUAGUGGAUUCUGUUACUAUAAGAGUUUGACCUAGAGAUCAAUGACAGAAAAGGCAUUAAGAAUCAAGUAGCAGAUCAUCUCUCAAGGCUGACAGUAGAUGCAAGCACUCUAACUAAGCAAGACAUAACAAAAACUUUCUGUGAUGAGUAGUUGCUGAUGAAACAACAUGCAUAGAUGCUACAGCAAUUUGGAUUCCCGUGGUAUGAAGACUUUACUAAUUAUUUAGUGAGUGGAUUAAUACCCCCUAAUUUGAGCUACUAAAAGAAGAAGAGAUUUCUCCAUAAUGUCAGAAGUUAUCAAUAAGAUGACCCUUACUUGUACAAGAUGUGUUCAGACCAUGUAAUCAGAAGAUGUGUUCUUGAUGAAGAAAUUUCAAACAUUCUACAAUCAUGUCAUACUGCAGCAUAUGGUAGACAUUUUGAAGGACACGAGACAGUAGCAAAACUUCUUCAAUCAAGUUAUUAACGACCGUUUAUUUUUAAAGAUGCUUAUAAGUUUAUUAAAUGUUGUGACAUGUGCAAAAGAACAGGAAACAUUUUUAAAAAACAUGAAAUGUCACUAACCAACAUCUUGGAGGUUGAACUUUUUUAUGUAUAGGGAAUAGACUUUAUAGGACUAUUUCCACCCUCUCUUGGCAACUUGUUCAUUUUAGUUGUUGUGGAUUAUAUAUUCAAGUGGGUAGAAGUUGUAGCAUUUUUAGACUCAAUGAAAUGAAAGUUACCAUAACAUUUUUACACUCAAACUAAUAUUACAUAGAGAGUAAAUGAUGUGUUUUUAGUGCAUUUUUAGUUAUAUUUUCAAUAAGUAUCCAUUUAAGUUUAAUUUUAAUCAAUUAGUGGUGUUUUAUAAUACUUUGUGCUAUGAUUAUGUGCAUGAUUGUAGGUGACCAUAAAGCUCAAGCUUUAUGGAGGGAAGCAGCAGCAAAGACUUGUAGAUAUCACAAAAGAACUUGGUUGUAGAGGAAUUAAAACAAGUCUCGAAUAGCGAAGAUAUUGUAGUCGUUGCUACAGUAAUCUUGUAACAAUUGCAGUCGAGAUUUCGUGCGUGUUAACCGAAAGAUUACACCAAGGUUUCCAAAAAUAAAAGACAUAUGGCCACACGCUUUUGGUUGCCCUAAUUCUAAGAUAUAAAAGGAGAACACAUGAAAAGAAAAAAGUCGUCACUCAAGGAAAAUAACAGAGAAAACAAAAGGAGAAUAGAGAAAAAGAGGGAUUUGAGGGGUGCAACAAAGGAUUCAAGGAGAAAAAAGAAUGAGAGAUCGCAAAGACUAAGCGGAACUGAAUUUUUCACCUUUUUUUUCUUGUUUCUCUUUUUUUAUGGGAAUGUAUUUGAUGGCUAAAACGAUUCUUAUUACUAUUUUAUCGUAAAUCAUGAGCUAAACAUUAUUGUGGUUAAGUGAUAAACAGGCUUAAGGGCUAUUUGACUUAUAUAUGUAUGUUGUUCCAAAUUUGUUACAGCAUUUUGUCUUUAUUUUACUUAUUGCAAUUCCUUAAUUUCGUUGACCACCCAUUUAGUGGACAUAACUAAAAAGGAGCCUAAAAAAAGUUUGACUUAGUGAAACAAAUUAAGGCAACACAUGGUUUUAGAUUAGGUUUCCAAGUUAAGUUACUCUCGAUUUGAAUAAGGCUAUGCUUAUUCUCAAAUUAUUAAAAAACUAGACAUAGAGAUUCACCUUUAGGGUCAUUGGAACCUAGAACACAUAAUGAUAUGUCUAAUGUUAGCGUAACAACUAGAUAUUAUUAAGUUGCAUUUAGACAUAUGAUAUCCCACAGGCGACAGUUGAGAAUGCAUUAGGGAUUCUUUCAAGUGCUGUAGUAAAUGUUGUAACAACAUAUCCUUUAUUGAAAAAAUAGUCAAUACCGUUAAAUGAGCUUAAUCACGCAUCUACUCCUUUCCCAUUGAGUUUGUCCUCGUGUUUAACUUAAGAUUUUCCUUAUUGCAUUUUGUUAUUUGUACUUCUAAUUUAGUUAGUUCAUUAGUUCUAUUAAUUAUUUUAUUUUAUUUUAUUUUAUUUUAUUUUAUUUUAGACAGAAAAUUACACUGUUAAGAUUGUUGUACCAAAUCCUAUAACAUCAAUCCCUAUAAAGAUGAUUUGAAUACUCAUCAGUAUAUUACUUAUUGUGUAUACUUGCAAAUUGAUACCUAUAGCAAUAGACAUCACCUAACAUUGGUUUAUCAUUUUUUGUCAUAGUCUCUAAGUACUUAUGACAAUCUCAAAAUAUUGUAAAUAAUAACUAAAUUAAAGAUUUCUUAUGAAGCCACUAGAACAUGCCUAUAGAUAUAGCUUCCACUAUGGACAAAGCUAUGCAAGUUUAUUAUCUUACUUCUCCAUAUAAUAGCACUAAUGCUACACAAAGAUGUGCACAAUUACCUUGAAGUCAAUUUUCACUCAUCUAGAUCACCAUAUCUAUUGGCACUUAAGCGCAAAUUUCCUCUUAGUAUAAAAAGUAGUUUAUAGUGCAUUUAGGGUAUACAAAUCCUCUUUAAGCAAUUCAAUGCUUUAUAACUCUUAUCAGUCUCAUAGCAUAUAUCAAAUGUCGUACAUCCCAAUGUACAUGACACUCUUUUUGGCAUUGAGAUAAGCAAUGUUAGCCUUUCUUUUUCUUUUCUAGAGUCUUAUAGGCAGACCAAGGCUAAGAAUUUGUCAUUCUCUAUAGCAAUAUCUAAUUGGCUUCUAAGUUGCAAUUUUUUAAACUUUUCAAGAAUAUUUCUAAUAUAAAUAUAACUCUUGUGAUAAAGUUAGAAAAUUCUUAAAGGAUUCUAUUUGGAUUCAAACUCCUAAAAAUAGGCAACUUUGCCCAUUCUUCAUUGGAUGAUCAAUGCCAAUGAUUUUGACAAAAUCUUUUUUAUUUCUAGUCAUCCAAAAAUAUUGUUCACAUGCAUAAAUUUAAGAUUCCGUUAUUAAGAAGAUGUCAUAGAUACAUAUAUUGAACUUUUAGAGCAAGCAGACUAUGCGUUCAAGGUCUUGAGCAAAAGCAUUUUAAACAUGCAUAUGCGCUCAAAACCUUUAGCAAAAAUCUUUUGAGCAUGUAAACUGUGUACUCAAAUACUUUGGCAACAAUGCCUAGUAGUUGUUCCAUAUGUAAAUUUCUUCCUCUAAUUCUCCACUAAUAUGCAUUUAUUACAUCCAUUUGAUGUGACAACAAAUGCAUGUUUCAUGUUAACUAGGAAUAAUUGCCUUAAAGAAACCUCUUAUUCAAGAGUUUCUUUUUAGUUUAAAUCCCUUGAGCAUAACUUUAAUUAAAUAAUAAAAACUUAUGAUUGCACUUGUGCCUUUUGCCUUACACAUGCACAACUCUAUUGUUUGCAAUUGUUUGUUUGGCAACUGACCAACCAUGUCGCAGGCAUAGUUUUCAUUUAAUGACUCGAUCUGUUUAUUAUUACUUUUAUCCAUAGUUCCUUAGCAUUUAAAGUGAGAGCUUCAUGCAAAUAAUACUAGCUUAUCAUUAUAUUAUGAAACAAUUAUGAAGAAAUUCCUUCCAAUCUCUGAAAGACGAUAUAUGAUUCCUUUUCAAUUUUUUCAUUAAUUGAGUUAUGUGGUAAGGCCACCUCAUUAGGUGUUUACUCCCAUUAGGAUCAAGAUUUUCAAGCAAAACCUGGCCUAUACUCUUAAUUCAGAAGUAAUGUCAUAAAGAGAAUAAUCCAAGUCAUAAUUUUAAGAUCUAUCUUUAUCAACUUCUAUAUUGCUUCAUAAUUUAAAAUUUUGAUGUUUAUGGCAUCUUAUCCAGUGACUAUCUCAACCAUUCAUUUACGAUCGAACACGUGCCUUAUUUGCUUGUUCAAUGUAUCUUUCUGCAGACCUUAAGUUGUAGAUAAGUUAUGUUAGGCUCAUUAUCUAUAACUUGGAAUGGUUCGUAAGCAGCUCAUUAUAUGAGAAAUUAAUUAGGUAUUUAAGCUGCAAUCAUAUAAAAUAUCUCCAAACAGCAUAUUGAAAAAGCUCAUGUGCUACUAUUACUUUAUCAAUUCUCAUAAUGUCUUAUUCUUUAAUCUCCACGACUCAAGCAGUGCGUAAUUUUAAGAAUAAUUAGUUAUAUAUCUAUAUCUUUCUCAUAUACAGUUCCUAGAAUUAUAUAGAAAUAUAUACAUAUUUUGGUUUAUCUUAACACAAUCUCCACAAUAUCCAAAAGUAAUCUGAAGUAAUAUAGUACAACUGAUUUAUAGGAGAUCAAAAAGAUUGGACCAAAAUAGAUAGAUGUUUAUUUCUUAGCCUUUACAUUCAUUUUACCACAAGUUCCUUUGCCAAGUGGUUUUCUAAGUUGUUCUUAUAUAUUAAAUUACUCUCGCACAUAUGCUUUAUCAUUGCAACAAGUAUGCCCAAUGUGCUUUCUCUAGCCAAUUUAGUAAUAUGUCUCAGUCUAAUAUGCCAAAUUUUGGCAUGUACAUCAACACCAUAAGAUGAUGCUUAAUAAACAACUUUUCUUAAAACCUUUUUUCCAAAAUGGUUAAACAAACACCCAAAAGUAAGCGUCUUAAUCUUAGAAGGUCAAUAAUAAAGACUUAGUUUUCAAUGAAUUUUCAGUGUAUAUUUAUCAUUGGAAAAAUAUGGACAACGCAAUACUAACUUGCAAGUGCUUAUACUCUUCACUUCUACAACGAGGAUAUCCCUAUAUGUAUCUGUCUUUUCCUUUGACAAUUGAAAAAAAAAUCAAAAUAUUUUUGUGAUCUCUAGUCAUAAGAUAUGGAAACUUAGUUGAUUGCUCAAUACAAUCACAAGUGAAAUAACUCUAACUCAUGGUGAGUAGCCAUCCAUAUGUUUUAUUUCUAUUUCCAAGCUUGCUUGCCUCAUAUGGCAUUUCUUAGCAUUAGUCAUUUACAUAAGGAUCAAGUCCUUAACUCUCACUAUGAGAGACUAGUCCAUCUCUUAUACUCUAAGCUUGAAGCUUUGCACAAGCUAAACUCCUUCAUGGUAGGUUAAUUUUAAAAGUAUUAGCGACUUCUAAGCACUUAUCUUCUUCAACUACAAUCCAUUAUAUAGAGUUUGCUAGAAGCAUUAGCCGCCUAUAGGUGCUCAUCUUCUAUCAUUGGACUUAGUAAUAUAGAGUUAAUUGGAAGUAUGAGCUGCCUCUAGGCACUCCUGUUAUAAAUCCGAGUAACAAAUAUUUGAUUAAAAGUUCUAGUAGUCUUUGCGUACUAGCCUUCAAAUUCCUAAGGUUAUGUGUUAAAUAAACUCUCACAUUGUGCAAACUAUCAGGAUUGGACAUUUUAUUGCCUAGACCUAAUAUUGCCAAUUACAAUGUGUCUAGCAUAGUUGAGCUCUCGUAUAUGAGUAACCCAAUACUUUUUGGACUCAUUAAUAAGCGCAUAACACAUGUUCUCGGCAACAAAAAGCGAGUAUGCUGGGCUUUUGCAAAACCAUAAAAAAUGGUCCUUGUCUUCUAAAGAGAAGUAGCAUGCUCAAGUUCAAAAUUGAUACUUAUUUAGAGUAUCAAUAGUCUUUCUAUUCAAUUUGUACACAACAUAUUCCAAAAUAUAUACUAAAUUCAAUCAAGAGACAACCAAUCCUAGUAUAAUAUUCAUUUAAUUCAUAUAUUUAAUAAAUUUUUUCGCAACCAUAACUCAAAUUAAUGAAAAUAAAAUAAAAUAUAAGGAUUGGAAUCAAAAGGUUGUCGAGGCUUCCAAUAUCAUCCUUUCCAAACUUUAAAUUAACAUAAUUAUAUUCUAUUGUGUAAAAUAUUUAGUUCAAUUAUUAUUCACACCUAGAAUUUUAAUAAUAAUAGAACUCCCACUAACAAAUUAUAAAUAUAACAAAAUUAAAAUAGCCGUUAUACAUCUAUUCACGUGAAUAAUGCACCAGGAAAAUUUCCAAGAAAGAGGUAGGGAUUGAUUGGUCCCAAUUUUUUUUUUUUUAUUACAUGAGACUAUUGCUCAGACUACAACUCAUAUUACAUGAGAAUAUAACUGAUAUUUACAAAUCAGACUAUGACUGGGACCAACUUACAUCAAUGCUAAUGGAGCGCUGCCCAGAUUUUAACCCUUUCAAAUAUUCGAGGGAUGUCUACUCCUCACUCUUGGGUAAGAGAGUAGAUUGCCUUCACUCAAAUUUAAUUGAGGAAGGAAAUACCCCUACAAUGCAUUGUGGGGGUUCGAACUACUCUUAUCGUCUUUUUGGCAACAUUUUUCCUAGACAUGCAUACAUUCACAUUACAUUAUAAGGAUAAGGAGAGUACAUUUAGUAACAUGUUGAAACAGCUCCCAUAAAAGAGCAACACCGUCAAGCCAAUCUCAAAAUAUUUAAAAAAUAUUUUUCCCAAAUCUCCCUUAUAAAUGAUUUAUUUUAUUUAAAACAUCUUAAAAAUAUUUUAAUAAAAACUGAAUAAUUAAUGUAAAGAAAAAAAAAUAUUUUUAAAUAAUAAAACAAAAUAGGAUAUACAUUAAAAUGAAGGUCGAAAUACAUUAUCAAAAUUUCUAGAUUUCAAACCAGAACUUCAAUUGGCUCGUUCUCUCUGCAUAUAACUCAGAAUUAUGCAAUAUGAUAUAUCGUUGGAAAGCCCUCUGAAUUAUCUUUCAAAUGAUAUCAAACUUAUAGAGAAUUAAUCAUUGUAUCAAAAGUUAUGAGUAAAACAAUUCUACGGGUUUGUGCAUUAGGGGUUUUGUUUUCUCAUAACUUAGGCCAUAUCAAUUCACAAAAGUUUCUAGAUUUGACAUACAUAUAUUUAUGUGAUUUUAAACCAAAAAUCAAGGCCUAAUAGUGAGUUAUUCAUCACAUACCAUUGAAGUGUGUUCUAGAUGGCAAAAACGUUAUAUAUCUCAAAGAACAGGCAUAACUCAUGCAAAUAUAUUCAAAAGAGAGCAUAACCUUCACAAACUUUGAUAUCAAUGUUGAUUUUCAUGUAUAUUUAAAUAUACAAUUAAUGGAAGAUCCAACAACAUACUUUUCAUCCCUGGAUGGGAAAACGGAUCAUAAAGAGGUUAUGUCAUUAUAGGGAUAGAGGAUAAUCUCAUGGAAAAUCCUCAUGCCACUAUAUGCAUAUGGUCGGAAGAUAAUAAUAAUAAAAGAAAAUCCACUCAGAUCACAUUGCAAUACCACACUGCCUUUUCUCUCUCUUGUUUUCACUCUUGUAUAUUCUAAAAUGUUCUACAUAUUUUCUUUAUCUCUCACGCACUUGUAUUUUAGAUACAAUAAGCAUGCUUUUAUAGAAGUUAAUGAGAGUGAUUGAGGUCAACCAAAAGACCAAUUAGACUUACAACAAUCAUAUAUGGAACUCAAUCUAAAAGAAGUUUUUAGAUGUUUUUUAUGUUGGACUGGUCCAACCCAUCAUGUGUGCCAAUUCCAACAAUUUGCAACUUCGUCCUUGUGAUAAUCAAAUGAAAAGAAAAUGAUAAUUGAGAAAUAUAAAAUUAUAAAAAUACUCAUUAAUUUUGAAGGAUGAAAUAAAUUUGUUUUUUAGAUAAGAAAUUGAAAAAGAAAUUAAUGGAGAUAGAGUUAGCAUAUGGGACAAUUAAACAAUGAGUUAGCAUAGUGUAUUUGACUCUUUAAUUUAUCUCAUCUGUUCGCACUUUAUAAUUGACCUCUCUCUUUUUAUUUCUCUCUCUCUUUUAGACUUAGUGGUGUAUGAAUUCUAUUGCUAUUGGUGUUAAUGUACAAAUGUACACAACAAGUAAUAUAAUUAUGAGUAUUUAAGAUCGUCUCUACAAGGAUUGAUGUUAUCGAAGUUGCUAUAGAAAUUAUGACAGUGCAGUUUAGAUUAAAUUAAAAUUAAAUAAUUAAAGAAAGUAAUAAAUUAACUAAAUUAAAAAUGCAAUAAAGGAAAUUUUAAAUCAAACACGAGGAUGUAAUCAAUAAGAAAGGAGUAGUUAGUGAUUAAACUCACUUAAUGGUUUUGAUUAUAUUUUUAAUUAAAAACAUGCUGCCACAACAUUUUCUACCGCACUGGACAGAAUCCCUCUUGCAUCCUUAGCUGUCGCCUGUCGGAUAUCUUAUAUUUAUAUGCAACCUAAUAGUGAUCAGUUGUUAUGCUAACAUUAAAUAUAUCAUUAUACGUUCUAGUUUCCAAUUACCCUACAAGGUGAAUCUCUGUGCAUAGUUCUUCACUAAUCUUAGACCAAGCAUGACCCUAUUCAAUCGAGAUUAACUCAACUUGGGAAACCCAAUCUAAAACCAAGUAUUGUCUUAAUUAGAUCCACUAAGUCAAACAUUUUUAGGCUCUUUCUUAACUAGUAUCCCUAAAUGGGUGAUCAGCCGAAAUAGAGAAUUAAAAUAAAUAUAAUUAAGAAAAAAUACUAUAGCAAACAUCGAGCAACAUACUUAUGUUAGUCAAACAUCCAUUAAGUUUGUUUAUCACUCAACUACAAUCAAGUUUAGUUCAUAAUUUGUAAUAGAAAAAUAAAUAAAAGAGUUUUAGUCAUCAAAUACAUCCCUAUGAAUAAAUAAAGAACAAGAAAAAAACAAGAAGGACUGAUUUUCAAUAGAUCUCUGCGUUUUCUCCUCUAGUGCACCCCUCAAUCUCUCCUUGAAUUUUGUUUUUCUUUUGUUUCUUUGCGGUUUUUCUCCUUGGUUGACCGCUCUCCCUUUUUCUUUACGUGUUUGCUUCUUUUAUAAUUGAAAAUUAGGGUAAAUGGAAGUUUAGGGCGCGUAACUUCUAGAUUAGAAAAAUCCAGAUCGCAAUCUUCUAAGUAUCUUGUGCAAAAACCUCUCUGUCGAUGCUCCAGAAUUGCUACAACAACGAUGCUACAACAAUAGUGCUACAACAAUUACUUCACACCUACACUAUUCCAGACUUGUUUCAAUUCUUCUAUAACCAUGUUCUUUCCUUAUCUUUGCAAGCCUAUUGCAACAGCAUUCCUCCCUUGAAGUUUGAGCUUCCGGUCACCUACAAUUAUGCAUACGAUCUAAACACAAAUUAUUUUAAAACAAUGUAAUUUAUUAAAAAUAAAAUAAAAUGGAUAUUCAUGCAAAAUAAAAAUAAAAUUCAAUAAAAACAUAACAUUUACUCUCUAAGUAAUCUUAAUUUAAGUCUAAAAGUACCGUAAUAACUCUUAUUUCAUAGAGUUAUCACUUAGCUUUAUUAAAAACUAAAAAAUAAUUACAAAUAAAUAUUUUUUCUUUUUUCUUUUCUUUCUCUCACACUCUCAGCAGAUUAACUUUUUAUCUCUCAAACUCUCACGUCUCUCUCUUUUUUUGAAUUGAUUUAAAAGUCCAAUCAAAUUUUAGACUUCUAAAUUAAAUCCUAAAGUUCCCCCUAGUGUCUAACUUAGUUGUUUUCAAGUAGAUUAUUAUUUGGUUAACCACUCAGCUUCAGAUCCUAGAGGUAAAGGAUAAAAAAAUUAAUUUAACUUUUACCUAUCCUUUAUUAGAAAACCCCAAAUUAGAAAUUUCAUUACUCUUAAAUAGUAAGUUUGGUCCCCAAUAGCAUGUUAAAUUAAUCAGUACAUCCAAAAAAUUAAACUAAGAUGUAAGGGUACAACAUCAAUUAAUAUUAAAUAGAAGAUUGUCACUUUUCCUCCUAUAAUAGUCACACUAAAAUUACUUGAAACCAUUAAUAUUACUUUUUUAACUUCAACGCAUGCAAAUACCAUUUAUUACAACUGCUCAAAUUUAUAAUGAAAUAAAAUUAACAUAAACUAAAGUGGUCUUAAAGCUUAUAGGAUCAAGCUUAGCCGCUUAAGCUCAGGCAACUUGUUCUUUCCCAAAUACGAAUCCGUGAAGCAAGCACCAUCAUUAUGCAAAAAUUCGCACGAAUGCAUAAGAUUAAGAAUACUCACAAGCAUAGGAAAUGGUACAUCAAUUGGCUUGAGAAAUCCCUCUUUUAAUUACUUCUAAGUCAGACACAGCAUGUUGAAGCCAGCAAAAAUAAAUACCUACUCUAAAUAAAUUGUGUAUAGUAAUUGAGUAGGGUCGUGUCCACAGAGAUCGGUAAUUAUUUAAAUCCUUUUUUAAAUGUAAAUUGGAAAAUGGGGGGAUUGUUGACAAUAAUAAAAAUCAAAUUAAAAUAACAAGAAUGCAAAUUCAAAUUGUAAUUCAAAUUGGGAAAAGCUCUGGUUGAAGGAAUUAACUCAGCUUGAUUCGACUACUGAUCAUUGAUUCAAAUAUAAAUCAUUACUACUUAUGAAUAGACCGGUUAUAGCUACUGAGACCCUCUAAUAGUCAAUCUCUCCUUAAUUAGUCGAUAACCAAGGUACGACCGUUGAUUAUUUCCCUAAUCAAUAGACAACCCUAGAUACGAUCAUAUGAUUUAAUCAAUUGACAGCCUGAAAAACCAGAGAGACCCAAAUCAUAAUCAACAAAUGCAUACGAUGGUUCAUUUAAAUUAGAUUGUUUAUUCUCAUAACACAACUCACUGCUAUGCUAUUUGUUACAAACAUUAAAAUCUUCAUACGAUGAAUCUUUUAAUUGACAAUAGAUUAAGUUGAUAAUUAAAUAGUGGCCAAUUAUCUAAUUAACAAAUAUAAUCAUGACAAUAAUUCAGAGAAUAAAUAAAUACCCAAAAAGUAAUAAAACAAUUAAAGCAUAAGAAAGAUCUCACAGUAGUGAUGAAUCAAAGCUUCAUUAACCUUCAGCUAGAAUAAUAGGUUUAGUUCUUCAUAGAGAGAAGAGAAAAAUUUAGAUCUAGGGUUUCUUUUUCUUCUUGCCUCCAAAAAAAAUCCUCCUUUUUCACAAUAGAUUCCUCUCUUAAAUACUCUUCUCUCUCUUCUCCUCUAGAGUUCUUUUUAAAAUAAAAUACUAAUAUCUAAAAUAUUAACUAAAUAUUAAAUUUGUAAUUACAAAAAUAACUAAAAAUACAAAACACGUUAAACUAAAAACUGCAAGUCCGUAGUUGACAGCAUGCGCCCACGCCUUAUCAACAAAGUUCUUCUGAAGCUCAUAAUUUCUCCAAGAAAACAAUCAUCCUCAAACAUUAUCUUGUACCUCAAUUUUAGCACCAAUCAAUAGAAUUGCAGCUACAAAAAUAAAACACAAGUAAAUCACUAUUAUUAAGUGCAAAACAUCGAUAUUAAGGGAAGUAAACAAUGCAAAACUAGUGCACAAAUUGCACUUUAACAUCUUGCCAUUUAAAAAAAAAAUUAAUAGCACAUAUUAUGUGCCCUUUAAUGUGAAUAGUGUAGGUGUAGACAUUUUUUGCCUCAAAAAACACUAAGUUGGCAUUUAGAUCAUUUACAUGAUGAUAUAUACAAUAAAUCACUUUUUAUAAAAUAGGGUUUUUAAAAUAGUUUGUAAAGUGUAGAAAGCACCACCUAUACAUAAAUGGUGUUUUCAUUGAAUUUUCAUUAGGAUCUGAUUUGAACCACUAAGUGCUAGUUCUUAUCGGAUUCAGGUUAAAUCCUAUUUAAACAAAUUUAUAUGUGAAGUUUCUAUUGUUUAGGGUGGAUGGUUUAACUAAGGUAUCUUAGUUGGUGAGCUAAAAUAAUAUACAUAGUAAACUAAGCUGGUCGUCUGAGGAAUAAUAGGGAGAGCUUAGUAGAAUCUUAUAGGAGUUGAUAUGGGGCUAGCCUGGGUGUACUCGGAGGACAACUCAGGGAGUCUCACAGAAUAUUUAGCGUAAUUAAGGUAGCUCAAGUAAGCUCAUAUGUGAAACACAAUAUAGACAUCAAAUUGAAAAUAUAGUGAAACAAAUAUAAAUAUAAAGAACACAUUAUAUUUAUAUGUUUCGACCUUUGGCAACAAGAGUAAGUCAUCACCAAUCCACUAAAUAAAUGAAAGAUUAUAUAAAUUUUAUAUUAUCCAAGAUGAAUAACAUAAUCUAUAUAGCUAUAUAGAGAUGCUUGGUGUUAAUGAAGAUGAAGAUGGUGAAUAAAUAUACAGAGAGUGAUAAUAUGGUGGAGAAGAUGAAAUUAUAGAAUAGAAAUGGCCUACCAAAAAUGAUGAAAUGGAUGAUAAUCUAAAAGAUGGGGGGAGAUGGAGAGAGUAGAGGAGAGUUGUAACGCCCACUUUUAUUUAUUUUUUUCCUCUUUUACCCUUAUUAAAUUGAGCAGGAUAGUUAUUAUUGAGUGUUUGUGUGUAAGUAAAAUUUAUCAAAUUGCUUUAAAUAAGUUACAUAAGUUAUUAGUUUUUAUAAAAAAAAAUAUUUAUUAAUUACCAAGUAUUUAAGAGGAAGGCAUCUUUUUAAGAAGCCGUCUUUUAUUUUCUACACCAUUACAAACCCUAGAAAGAAAAGAAAGAAACAUAAGUCUUUAGAGAAGGAAAAGAAAGUUUUAUAACUUCUUUUCUUAGUGUUUUCCUUAAGGUAUUAAGUAUUUCUUAGACUUAUAUGAUUUAUUUUUAUGAAUUGUUUGCCUUUAAUUACGUGUAGUAUGAUUUGGGUAAUAUAUGUGUGUUUGUAAUGUUGUGAUGAUAUGAACAGUCUCUAUUCCUUGCUUGAAAUCGUUUUAUUUAUUUAGAAUCACGUGAAUAUGCUUACAUAUCAUGGAACUAGACAUCCUAAGCUUUCUGUUGAUAGGUUUUGUGUUGGAAUCGUCUGAGUAUGCAAAUUGUUAUGGGUUUUCGAAGUUGGGUUACUGGAAAAUUACGAUUUUCAGUAGCGGUUCUCAAUUCUGGAAAUUUUUCUGUAAGGUUACACAUCCUUAAAAAUUAUGGCGAUUUUUGUAUCAACAAAUCUAUGUCUCCUAUGCUUGCAUGUUUAAUUUCGUAGUUUUAUUCUUUGUGGUUAAAUUAUUAAAAAUCGUAACAUGUGGCUGCUGCAAAUCUGGAAACUGUUUUCCAGAAUUGCAGAAGCUGAAACGUGUAACAGUUGGGCUAAUUUAUGAAUAUUACAUGCCAUGUUAGGAUUUUAUAAUGCAAUUUCAAUCUUUCCUCUGUCUUUAAAAACUGGAAUCAAGAUUUUUGGGCAUGUAAAAUAAAAGAUACGAAUUUUUGAAAUUCUGUUUUCAAAUCUGGAAUUUUCUGGACGGGUUAGAUGUUCUCGGAAAUAAAACGUUUUAAAAUAGUUUCAGGAGUCUAAAAAUUAUGAAUUUUAAUUAUAUACUUUCUGAAUGUGUCUUCUGUAAUUAGAAAAAAGAAACCUUAUUUCGAGUACUAAAGACUAUUUUAUGAAUUUCCUAAGUGGUAAAGGUCUGUUUUGGUCAAUGCUGGACAGUUUUGUUACUUUGGUGAAUGGUCAAUAUUCUGACUCGAUUUUGACUUGUGCUGAUUUUUGUGAAAUAUUGUAUACAAUGCUAUGCAUGUGCACAGUACCUCUAUAAAUUUUCAUGGUUUUCCGACAUGUGUAUAGGUUAUUAAAAAUCAGCAUGUGCAGGAUACUCAUGUUUAAGUCUAGAAUAUGAAUAAGUUUUGAGCUAGUAUAAGUGCCUAUAAUUUAAGGCUGAUUGGGAUUAUAUUUAAAGUUAGAGAUGAUAUUGAUAACGAUAUUUUUAUGAUGAUUAUAGGACGUGGGUGAGCUCAUUGGUUUGUUCUGAGGUGGUGUUUGGUUGGGAGGAGAGAAUAUAGGAGAGGAAAGUAAUUUAAAUUCUUUUUUUAUUUUCAUUGUUUGAUUUGACAAAAUGCAUAAGAAUUUAAUUUCCAUUAGAAUUUAAUAUUCAUUAAAAUGUAAAAUUUGAAUUCCACACAAAAUAGUGAAGAAUUUAAAUUCCUCUUAUAUUAGAAACUAAAGUUUCCAAAAUUACCCUUCAUCUUUUUAACUUAUUUAAUGCCACUAAAUAAUUAUUAUUUAUAAUUUUAUUUUAUUGAUUUAAUAUUAUAAAUGGACCACCGCCGGAAGGUUGCCAGACUACCGUCAAACCACCAUCGGACCUCGCCGAAAAGUCACCGGACCACCAUCGGACUUCGCCGGAAAAUCGCCGGACCUCCGCCGGCCACCGGACCGCCAUUUUAUUAUAUAUAUUUAAGGUAAAUGAUAAAUUUGUCUAACAAAAAAAUUAUAAUUCAUUUCCUUAUCAAAUUUUAUAUUAAACCAAACAACAAAAUUUAAUUUUACUACUUUUCUCCAUUUCUUUCUUCUCCCUUCCUCUCCAUUCCACUCUUUUCCUCUCCUCCCUUUUCUUCAAACUAAACAUAACCUUAAGGUAUUGAGUUGAUUGAUGCGGAUCGAGGUAAGUAGAUUCAUGCAUGAUGUGCUUUAUAAUAAAUAAGAUUUAUGUUAUAAGAAUUAUGUUUAAAUGGAGAUUUUUACAAAACUGAUUUCUAAAAUAUUUAAAUGAAUGUUAUAAAAUAAAAAAACACUUUUAAAUGAAUUUAUAAAAACGUGUUUUAAAAUGAAUUUUUCUUAAGAAAUUAGUUUUCUUAAACAAAAUGUUUUCUUAAGGAAUUUUCUAAAAGAAUUAAAUGAUCAAAGAAAGGUUCUUAAAUAUUUUAGAAGACUUUAAAUGCAAUUUAUGAAAGGAUGUAAGGUGAAUUCAAAAAUGUUUUGACUCAUAGUCCGUAGUAAUGUAAUAAUGCAAAUGUUAUGAUGUUAUGUAAUGCUAUGGCCAGCUUGCUGGUAUGAUGAUGAUCUUGUGCACAAGGAUGUUAUGAACAAUGCAGGGUAUAGUACCCUGAACAAGGAAUAAUGUGGGGUAUAGUACCCUGAAUGAUGAAUGAUGAAUGAUGAUGACUACGAGGCAUGAUCUACCAAUGUUUAUGUUUUAAUGUUUUAAUGUUUUUAUGAAUGUUUUGUUGUUUUUUAUGCUUUUAUAUGAAUCCACCCCUUAUGCUAAAUGAAGAUAUUGUUAUAAAAUGUUUAAAGGUAUAUGAUAAAGAUUUUCAAAUAUUGUGCAUGGAUUUACUUACUAAGUUGACGGCUCACCCCUCGUCUCCAAUAUUUUGUAGAUUGAUUAGAGAUGUGACUUGGGUUCUUCGAUGGAGAAUUUUUCUUAGUGGAUCUUUGGAGUUGUUUUAAAGAUUAAAUUUGGCUAAACUUUUUAUUUUGAAUUAGAGACUUUUCUUUGGAGACUUUAUUUCAUAUGUUUUAUGUAAAAAUUCAGUUGGAGUAUGAAUAAUGAUUGUCUAUCUUGAGAUUUAUUAAUAAGAAUAAAUGAUUUGAGGUUUCAUUCCAAUUUUACCCUUGUAUUUUCAUGGGUAAUUUUUGGGGUGUUACAAGAGCCCCCUAUAUAUGUUGAAUAAGACAUAUAUAUAGUGGAGACUAGUAGUAAGGAGAGUGUAUAAAAAUUAGGAUUAUAUAUCGUCCUUGGAUUGAAGGGAAAUGAUGUUUCUAGAGGUAUGUGUCAUAUCUAAAGAAAAUGGACAAGAAUAUUCCUUUCAUACUAGAUUUAUUCUUUCACAUAAAUAUCUUAAAGUGUCUAAUCUUGACUAUUGAUUCCCAAUCUAAGUAGUAAAUUCUUCUAAAAGGGCAUCUUUAUACUGCCCUAAGUAUUUGUUUAUUUGACCCUUGUUAUUUUCAUGUGUCAUAUUGUCAUUCAUUUGUUACUCCAAAGAUAUCCUUCCAAAUUUAUCUCCAAACGAAUGGAAAUAUUGAAUCAUAUAUGCUAGUAAUGAAGUGAAUUGAAAAGCAGUAGAAUAGGGAUUUAGUGUUGUGGAUCAUUGCGGAUUCAAUGAAGAUCUAACAAUCUUUUAAAGUUAUUUUACGCUUGGCAUGAAUGAUUUUUGCUUUAAUUAUAUUCAGCAUUUUUCUUCUUAAUUUGUAUUUCUAGUUGCUUAGGCAUAUGGUUAAAUUAAAUAUGAUGCAAUAUACUGGACGGUAACCCACAAACGAGAUUUUGUGGAUGCCUAAGAUGAACUUUUUAUUUUUUUUCUGAUAUAUGAAUAGAUUUGAAUUACUUGAACUCGGAAUGAAGCUAAAUGUUUGAUCUGAAUAACAUGUUUAUUUUUUGUGAAUUGCUAAAAAUAAGUAUUAAGUUAUUUUUUAACUUAAAAUUUUUUUAAAUCUUUUUCAUUUGUGCCCUUAUAAAUUAUAAAUUUUAACAAAUAAUAAAAAUCACAAAAAAAUAAAUAAGAUAAUAUAUAAUCGUAACAUAAAUCAAGUUGAAUUGAAUACAACCCUCUAGUAUUCUAAAUUAGUAUAUAUUAAUCUAUUUUAUUGUAAUUCAUGAUGUUAUUAUAUGAAAAAUAUUCAUAAAAAUUUUAAAGAUAGAUAAUACUAAUUUAAAGAAAAUAAAAAGAUAAAAAUAAUAAUAGGCUACCACUAGAUUAUUACAAAUUGUAAAGAUGAAUAGUAAUAAUACUAAUUAGUAAAUUUAUUUAGAUAAAGAUAAAUAUUAAUUAAUUAAAUAGAGAUAAUUAACUGAUUAAAAGUAAGUCAAUAAAUGAAGAAAAACGACCACCCUCGAUUCCCUAAGGCUAAAGAAUACCACUAGAAAAAUAAAUAAAGGAGUACCACUCAAAAAACAGAAUAGUCGAUGGAUACAAUUGUGCCUCACCAUUUCACAAAUCAGAAGUCUCAAUGUCUCACAUUUUUUUUCUGUGCAUAUAAUUUUAUGUUGUAACAGGUGAAUAUCAUUUGCUAGCCUGGCAAAAGUCCCUAGCAUAGAAUUUUUUAUUAUUUUUCUAAGGAAAUAAAAGUCAUUUUGAUGGUAAAUUAUAUUAAACUUCUUUCAGUUUUCUAAAAUAUAAAAUUGAUUAGUAAGUUGCAUAAUCGAUCAAUUGAAUCCUCCUUAAUUUCUAAAUGGCUAAAUUCUAAUUUCAUUUUUGUGCAUAUUUGACCAUUAAGGAUGUUAAGAUAAAAUGGCUAAGAAUCCUUAAUUGUAAUAUUAUAAAUGAGUGAUGAUACAGCCACAAACUUUUAUACAAAUUGACAUGGCAUUAAUUCAUUGGUUGAAUGAAAAUAUAAAAUAAUAAAAACGAAUCAUGUGGGCCAAGUGAUAUUUAAUUCAACCAAUCUUACCAUGCCACAUCAGUUUGUACAAAAUAAGUUUGUAUAAGAGUUUGUAAUUAUAUCAUUACUCAUUAUAAAUAUGCACUACAAGAAAAAAGAGAUAAGACAAUAGGAGCUUCCCGACGUGUGUGUUACACUUGUUACAAAAUAUGAUAUUUAACAUUAUUAAAAAAUUGUGCAUUGUUUAAAGCAACUAAAAGAUUAUUUUCAAUAACUUUCUUCACAGCAAAUUAUAAAAAAUAUAAUUGCAACAGUUUUGUGAUUGUGGUGUAUAUCAUAGGCCAAAUGACAACGUGCGAGCUAAGCACGUUGUUAAAAGCUUCAUCUUCAACAAUGAUUUUCAGAACACUGGUAAUAAGAAUGUAUCACAACCUAUUUUUGCUUGUUGGUAUUUAUAUUCAACAACGCGCUGCUUGUUGUGUUGUGAAAUAUUAUAUCUGAUGGAGUGGCUUAGCAGAAGUGGAAUUGAUUAAAUAGAAAACACUAGAUAUCGUUCUAGUACAAGAUGAAGUCAAUGCGAUUAGACUACACUCUAAUUAAAGUAUGAUUAGAUAUCGUUCUAAUCCAAACGACUCAAUGAGAUUUUUAAUAACGCAUAAAGUAAGAUUAGAUGACGCUCUAAUCCAAACGACUUUAUAAGAGAGAUGUUUUAUAAAUAAUCUUAGUGGGGAUAAUAAAAGAGGAAUUUUAUUAAAUAAUUUAAUCUGAAUUUAUGAAAACAAUAACAAAAUCUCCCUAUUUAUAAUAGAGGAAAACCUCUCUAUUUAUAAUAGAGGAAACCCACUUCCCUAAUUUAAUUUAAAAAGGAAAACUAAAUAACAAUUACAAUGAAAAUAAAAUACUAAAUCACAUACCAUAAUCGAUUCUAAUUAAAAUAGAAAGUCCUAGAAUAAUAAAAAUUCUAAAAUCCUAAAUUAACCUAAAAUAACGUCAUACAUCAAUAUCAAAAUUCGUAAAUAUAAUUAUUGAUUACACUUAUUAUUACUUUUUUUGUCUACAACAAUAACAAAGCAAAUAAUAAUUAUUUUCUUUCCUUUUUUUUUAAGUCAAUGAUUAUCUCUUCAUUUUAUGUAAAUGUUAUAAUUUAUUAAUAGGGUAAGAUGAAGUCUUAGAUAGUUCAUUCCAUUAAAAAUCAAUUUGAUUUUUUUAAUAAUAGCCUAGCAAAUGACAUUUCAAUUCAAUCUUAUGAAUCAAUUCAUGUGAGGAAGGUUCAAAUCUUAGAUCUCUUGUUUACACUCAAAAGAUUUUACCAAUAGAACUAGUAAUUGAAUUUUAUAUAUUUUUAUCUUAUUGAUAAUUUUAUUGUUAAUUCAACUAUUAAUUAACUAAUUACUAAUCAUUUACAAUAAGAAUCACUAACCAUAUUUACAACAAAUAUCACUUCACAUUAUAAUAAUGUUAUUGACUCGCUAUUAUGUAAUAAUUUAAAAUGUAGCCUUUAACGGUAAAUUUAGUUGAUAAAUACUAUUUUAGUUUUUAUCUUUGAAAGAGAGAUUUUAAAAUUUUCAAAAAAUAAAAAAGGAGCGAAGCCCAACCCGCGUUGCAAGUUUUCAAAGUAAAGUAAAUAAUAAAUUAGAAAAACCCUAGCUUUUAUCUUAUCUUCUUUCUCCUUACCGCCGCCACUGUCUUACCGCUCCCUUCGUCUCUCUUCUCUAGGAGCCAGUCAACUUAUUUCCCUCAAUAACGAAGACAAUGAAGGAGCUAAGGAGAUCUCACCAUCAUGUCUUCAACCUGUAAGUCAAUUUUUAUCAAUUUCUUAUGCCUUCUUCAUGUUUAAAAAAUCGUAUCUCACAAAACAAAAAAUUAAUAAUAAAUUUAUGGCAAACGUCUAUUCAAAGUCCUACUUUUUCUCCUUUUCUUUUUUAAUUUAUUAAAUUUUACAUUUUCGAGAUCUUGGUUUUAAAAAUUAAUAAGUAUAUUUUGUAUUAUACUGACUAUUUUGUCUACUGAGAAUCUUGAAAAUAGUCAAAUAAAAAAAUAAUGUCCAGUAGCGCCGCUUCGGUUGAAACGAUGUUGGGGGGUCUCUUCCGAGGUCUAUCUUUUUUUUUUUGGUUUAAUUUUUUAUGUUAAUUAAGAUGUAUGUAAAUUAAAUGCUUAUGUUUUUUUUGCCUUUUUAGUUUAUAUAAUGUAAUUGUGUUAUUAUAAUUAUUUCGAUUAAUCUUGAUUUUGUUUGACCAGGAGUUUCAAUUUUAUUGCUAAUGACAUGAUGGGGCUUGUUGAAGAAGAGGGCUUGGAUGGAGCUGCUGCUAAUAUUUUAUCUGAUGAAGAGAUCACUGUUGUGAUUAUAUCGUUAUGAUAUUAUUGAAUUUUGUAAUAUAAAUUGUUUCAAUUGUAGUGAUUGUCAAAUUAAUUUAUUUUUUUAAUGAAAUAUAAUUUUUGUAUUCAAUUCUUAGUUUGUUUGUAGCUGUAAGUUUUUAAUAUUUAUAAAAAAAAAAAGAAAUAUUGGAAAAAAAAAUAAGUAAGAGGAUUGUGGAAGCAAAAUGAGCAUAUAAAAUAAAACAAAAUAAAAUAAAACAAAAUAAAAUAAAAUAAAAAAGUAGCACAAUUCACAACGAUCAUAUUACAUGUUGUUAAAAGAAAUUUACAUAUGAAGGUUUUGACGACAUUAAAUUUGCGUUGUUUAAAGUAUUUUUAACUACAAGCGCAUGACUUUUAACAAUGUGUGUUGCAUGUCUUUAAAAGUAACUUUAAGACAAAAUCUUGAUCGACAACGCCGCAGAUACACGUUGUUAAAAGUUCAAGAUUCUUUUUAUUUUUAAGGAUUAUCUCUUAUUUAUACCGAGCUAUUAGCCGUGAAUCUCAUGUAUGGCAGAAUAGAAUGAGAUAUGAGAAAUAGAAACAAAGAUAUAGAAAAUAAGGGAUAAUAAAUCUACAAACUCUUAUAGAAAUUUAUUUAGUAUAAACUCAUGUGGUAUAAAUAAAAUAGUUGAUGAUAAUGCAAAAUAAUACAAAUAAAUCAUAUUUGCUAAGAGCUAUUUCAUCAGACCAAUAUAUUUGUGCCAUAUAAGUUUAUACAAAAUAAAUUUACACAAUAGUUAAAUUAGUUGAAUUAAAUUCAUCUUUACCCACAUGAUUUAUUUUUAUUAAUUUUUAUUUCCAUACAAUCAACAAAGUUUAUGCUACAUCAAUUUAUACGAAAUAAAUUUAUAUAAAAGUUUGUAACUUUACCAGCACUAGUGAAUUCAAAGUUUUUUUUUCAUAACUUCUAGAACUUCAUAAUAGUUCCAAUCCAUUCCAUAUUUUAUGGGAACCGUAAAGUUAAAUGAGUUAUUUUUCCCAUCUUAUGUUAAUGGAUCAUAUUGUUCAACAAAUGUGUGCUAUUAUUGUGCCAUAACAUUUCAGUUAUUUUGAUUAUGACUAUAUAAUAUACAAAAUUUCUGAAGGGAACCCAAUAAUUUCAAUUGUACAUUCAAUGAGAUACACAUUUUUAUAGUUUAAUUAAAAAUUAAUAAAUAAAUAGAUGAAGUAGUACUAACAACUCAUGUUCUUCAUACUUAAUGGGUUUUCAGUGUUUUAGAAAAAUUCUAAUUGUCUUGACACUUUAUUGAGUGUUGUAGUUUAGCACAAAGAAUACAAAGCAAAUUAAGCUGUGAAAAUAUCUGAGCCUAUCAAAAACUUUAUAAAUGAUGUGAAAUAAGUGGUGAACUUACACCAUUUACAAAACGCAAAAUUCCCACAUUGGAAAUUUGGAGCAACCCCCCCACCCAUGCACUAUGAUAUAUAUGUGGAAGCUCGUGUGAUAAGUGAAUUAACAAUAACAAAGGUAUUUAAAGUACUUUAUUUAGUUUAAAAUUUUCUUUAUCAUUUAUUUAUUUUAUAACAAUAAAAAAAUAAUUUUAGUAUUUUUUUUCAUAAUUAGGUCUCUCAAAAUAGGUGUUUAAUAAUAAUAAACAAAACAGAAACUAAGAAAUUAGAAGGGGAACAUAGCGAGCUUUAACUCUAAGAGGAAUAACACAAAAGCUUAUAAAGAGAGCCGCAAAAAACAAAUGAUAGAGAAAUCGCAUAUCAUAUCUAAUUAAAAUCUAUACUUGCGAAAACCAUUGGAAUCUUGAUAAAAAAACUUUAAAAUCUACCAAAAAAAAGUAUCACACUGAAGCCUCAAAUUAGUCAGGAUAUCAGCUACACAAUUAUUCUCUCUAUAGGUAUGAGAAAAUCUAAAUAGAAAAACAAUAAUUAUAAUUAAUACUGAAUUUAAUAAUCAUACCAAAAUUAGUAACAACAUUAAUUUGGGCGGCACCUAUUUUUCUUCCUCUUUCUUCUUUGUCAAAGUUUCCAUUUUUUUUUUCUUUCCUUGGGCGGCAUCUACUUGGACUUUAAUUUGGGUGGAUUUUUCAUGGUUUGGCACCGCCCAAGACUUUGACAUUCUCCCCAUGAUUUGGCACCGCUCAAGACUUUGACAAAAUUUAAAUUUCUAUAAAAUUUUUACAAUUAUCUUUCCAUAUACACGAAUGAGGUAGAUAAUCCUACACUAUUUAGUGGAAGAUGAUUUUUGAAGUAGUCAUUGUGAUUCGAUAGAUAAUCCUAAAAUAUUAGCUGCGUGUAUUUUUUUUUUUUUUUUUUACAACUAAAAACACAACACCUAGUAUAAAGCCCAGCAUACAAUCCAUAGUAUAAGUGCAUGCAUUUUAAUUUGCAAAAGGCUUCAAUUGUAAUAUACCGAUUUUAACAGAUUUCAAUAAAUAAACAGCUAUAACCGCAAAAAAAAAAAAAAAAAAAAAUUAAGUCCCCUAAUAAAAAUUUUAAUGCUAGAGUAUAAACAUAAUUUUUAUAAUUUUAUAACGACUCUGGUCUUAGUAAUAAAAAUGGUUCUUUAAUAAAAGCGACGACCAUCCUUUUAAUUUAAACAAAAUAUCAAUGCACGAAACAAAAAUAGCUACACUUACAAGGUUUGCUCAUGUGCAUGUGCUGAUUCAUCCCUAGAAUUUUAUAAAUGAUCGUAAAAAUUUUUAUUUUAACUACUUGUUUUUUAAAAUUCUAUUUGUAUUUAUUAAAAACUUUAAAAUUAAUUAGUUUAGUCAAAAGGUAUAAUAAUAAUAAUAAUAAUAAUAAUAAUAAUAAUAAUAAUAAUAAUAAAAGGUCUUUUAAUAAUUCAACAAAAUCUUAAUUUGAAUAUUUCCACCCCUAAUAAAAAACUAAUAACUCACAAGCAUUAAAUAAAUUAAAAGAAUGACCAUUAAGGCUGUCAAGAUAAAGUUAAUUUGAAUAUUUCAACUAUUUUUUUAUGACCUAUAUAUCCCCAGAGGAAAACACAAAUUUCAAUAGUACAUUUCAUUGGAUAUUGCUAUGAGAAUUACGUUUCUUUAGUUCAUUUAAAGAUGAAUUAAUACAAAGAUAAAGUAGUACAAAUAACUCAUGUUCUUUAUUUAGCGGGUUUACCGUGCUUUGUGGCCGUCAAAAUUUCUGAACCUAUCAAACACGUUGUAAAAGCAAUUAGCAUAUAUUGAUAAUCAUAGCUGAUAUAUAUUAAAGUCAAUACUUGUAUCCAAGUGUUAAGGAACAAUAAAGACUUCGUGGAAGUACCAACAAGCGCGUAGACAGUUGGUAUGAUUGUUCUAUCUUAAUUAAGGUUCUCGGUUCGAGACUUAUAAAUACAGUUGCGUUAAAUAUUUGUUGGGAGAGUUUUGCCACCUUAAUGGUUCUACCUGGCUCAAAUUUGAAUUAGUCGAGACUUAAUGUGCUCUUCGGAUACCACUUGUUUUAAUACACCGAAAAAAAAGACUUUGUUGAAGUUAACUUAAUUUUUUUAAAAAAAUUUGCCCUUAUAUAUUUCAUGUUUAAAUUAAUAAAAGCUCAAAUCGAAGCUCAUAAUGGCACAUGACUAAUAAGCAGAGAAGCAACAAAAUCUUUUAGCAAAAUCAUAAGUCAUAACACAAAAGCUUAUAAAGAGAGCCGCAAAAAACAAAAAGAUAGAGAAACCACAUAUCAUCUCUAACUAAAUCUAUACUUAGAAAAAACCAUUGAAAUCUUAAUAAGGAAACAUCUGAAUCUCAACACGCAGAUCACUCCACAAAAGAAAAGUAUCAUACUGAAGCUUCAAAUUAGUCAAGCUAUUAGCUACACAAUUAUUCUCUCUAUAAGUUGAGAAAAUCUAAAUUAUAGUUGAAAAAACAAUAAUUAUAGUUCAUAUUGAAUUUAAUAGUCAUACCAAAAUUAUUAUUAUUAAUUUUGAAUUCAAUAAUCAUACCAGAAUGGAAAAGAAUAAUCAUACCAGAGUGGGAAAGAGCAAUGAUUAAUAACAACAAUAAUUAAUAUCCUCCUAGGACUUAAUUUAAUCGUGCAAACUAGUUGAUAAUUUAAAUUAAAAAAAACUGUAAAACUUUAUUAGAACUUGUCUAUUUAAGUGUAGUGUGAUUACAAUGAGGGAUCACCACCAUUCAAUUUAUUUUUAAAACCCAAAUCCGAGCUCAAACGGCACAGGAUUAAUUAUUUUGCAGCAGAGUAGUUGAAAACAUAAGCUUAAUAUCAUACUCAUAUCGACACAGGAUUAAUAAGCAAAGAAGCAACAAAAUCUUUCAGCACAACUGCGGAAUGAGUGUAGCCAUCUUCAUACUUGUAAAUGACAUCUAUAACGCGUGUAAGAUUGAGAAUUCACAUCAGAAGUGGCAUUGGGACAACUGUUGGGCGCAGGCAGUCCUCAUUUAUAUCCUUCCAGGCAGUUGAAACUUGUGUCCGAAACUCAUUGCAUGCUUCCUCUUCUGUCGCUCCAUGUUGUUUCAUGUAACACUCAACGCUUGAGGCAACGUGCCCUCUGCUUUGUUCAAACUAUAUGCAAAUACAAAACACAUAUAUAAAAUAUAUUUUGGUUAAAGAGAAAAUUAAAGAUCACGCCAUUCUUUACGGAGGCAAUAUUAUCAUAUAUAUUUACCUUGUGUGACACCAUGUCAUCCAUGAGUCUGCAAACUACAGAAGAAGCCCUAAUAAAUCUAGGGUUGCUGAAUAACCAUUCAAAAGAUUCUUUAGUUACAAUGUCUCCCAUGCCAACAAAAGAUGUGGUUGACAACAUUGGGUAGGCAGAGGUAACUAAUGCAACCGUCAUGUACUCAUCCAUUGUUGGUAUAUAAUUCUGAUGGCACCAUUUAGCUUCAAAGAAGUAAUUCUUAACAAUAUUCUUCAUCUGAUCAUGAGAAUUAAACCAAAUAUAUCAGAUCUUUGUUAGCAGUUAAGAAUGAAUCUUUAAUGAAAUACUGAAGAGUACUCCACCGCUUUUUUUGCAUAAUGGAGGCGGUAUAGUUUUCCCUGAGGGGCCAAAUCUUUCUCUGCUUCACUGUAAACAUCAAGGAGGGCCCGAUAACACAGUUUCAUAUACUCAGGAAGUUGAUCUAUGGCACUGAUAUCCCACCUGCGAAAGAAAAUUGCUAGCCCAUUUGAAUAGGGGGAAUUUUGAUAACAAAAACGAUAUUAGAUCUUGAUCAUGAGAUCCUAAAUUAAUGAUGAGCCAUCCAAACCUUUUAAUAGCUGAAGUAAAGAGCUCAAGUUCUUCAAUUUUGCCAUACACAUCAUAGAUGUCAUCAAUAAUAGAAGUCAUGGAAAUCACUUUUGUCAAUAUUCUUCUAGCAAAUGAAUAUUGGGGCUCGAAAUACACUCCUAAUAUCCAAAAGUAGCACUCUGCAAUUCUGUCUCUUAUAAAAGGUAGCUUAUGCGCAAAGUCUAAUUCUUUCCACCACCUAAAUGAGACGACCAUUUACAUAUUAAUAUUUCUUCAAAACUGGAAAGCUUAGUUAAAUAUGCUCAUAGUGGAAUUGAAAUUAUUUUUAGAACUUAGUUAUUUACCUUGAAAUAUCACCGAGUUCCUUCUGGUGAAGCUUUUGCAAUUUGUUAAAAUCAAGUUUUGCGAAGGUCAAUAGAGCUUCAUUGUGGGAAGAUUGUUCUUGAUAGAUAGGAAUGUAAUGUCUUGCCUCAAGCCUUUGUAAGCCCCUGUGAAUAGGCUGAAUUAAGGCAUGUUUGACUCGCUCGGCAAGUGGGGAGCCGAUUUGAUGAGCCGCUAUUGACUCAAGGUGACUAGUGGUGAAAGCAAGCGCUUCAUCCAGUAUAUUUUCUUCAUGUACCCCGAGAUGCGUGGCUUCAUACAAGCUCAACAUUCCUCCAACAUCUUUCGCAAGAGAUGUCUUAAAGUUUCCAUCGCUGUCUUUGAACCUUUUGAACACAUCUGCUACACCACUUAAAUUUUUAGUGGUUGGACAAAAACUGGUUGUACCGACUGUAGUACUAAUUUAUUUUUAUUUUAUCAUCUUGCGAAAUGCCUCAACAAACUCGAGAGUUGUUUACAUAAAUUGUAAAAUAGAACCGCUGGCUAGAGGACAAAAUAAGGCUUAACUUAUAGUAAAAGCAUGAUGAUCAUCAUACAAAAGACUAAACAAAAAUAACAAAUGCAUUUAUAUACGCGUGAAGAGCGAGGCAGCAUCUCAAGUGAGAGCUGAACGCUUGAGUUUCUUGCUCCAAAAAGUUGGUUGUAAUUAAAGAUGAAUGUGUUUUUUUACAAGAUAUUUAACAAGGGGAAUAAGUGAGAAAAAGACAUACCAGCGGAAAUUUUACAGCCAUGUUGUCUAAGCAAUCGAAACUGAAGAGAGAUAUAAUAGAGCUCAUCAUUUUCAUUAUCCCCAAGACCACAGUCUUGGUGAGCCUCAUGCAAUUUUCCCAAGAUUUCAUCAAUCUCACUUUCAAAAUGGUAAGACACUCCUAAACGCUGAAUCGCAUCAAUCAAGUCCAGAUUAUUCUGUGUAGGCUUGUUGAUAUAAGCUUUUAGCAUCCUUCUAAUUUCCUCCUUCAGCUCUUGAUGCUUUGCACUGCCAUCAUCUUUUUCCUGAGGAAGAAAAUAAAUUGAGAAAUAUUAGUAGAGGAAUGAAUGCAUUUUAGACCGUAUAUGUGUGUGUGUAUUGCAUGCCUACAUCUCGGCAUACAAAUUAACGUAUGCAAUACGACCAUUAUGGUAUACAUUGUACCAUCGAGUCACUAGUAUAUGAAAGGAAACGGUCUCCCCAAAUGCUAGGAUGAAAAUUUGCAGAGCGACGAGUACAAUCUUUCUCAGCGUUUCGUUGGAUAAUUUUAGUAGGAGAGGCUGAAACUUGAAGAGACAUAUUUUCUAUUGCUUUCUGAAGGCUUUUCAGUUUUGAGGUAAAAAGGUUGAUUAAUUCUUGGCGUAGCUUCUUGUGCUUCAAAAGCUGGACGGUGUGAUCUUCACGAGCCUUCAAGCUCGUGCAUUUUAUAGACUUGACUGCCCUAAGAUUAAGCAACAACCUUAAUCUCACAUUGCACAUGUUUGAAACAUUGAAACUCUUUCAAAGUCAAGGCGGACUCCAGGACUUCAAAGUAUCCAGGCUAUUUAAAAAAAAAAAAAUUAUAUUUUAAAUUAAGUGAACAUAAAAUUUUGUAAGUUGAAGAAAAUAAAAUACACCUAAUAAGAGGGGGACAUUAGAGGCCUUACCCCAAAUAAUAUUUACUCCAAACAAAAUAAUUAUAUAAAAAAAUUUGAAAAUCAAAAAGUAAUUCAAAACAAAAAUACUAUUAAAGUUAUACUUUUCGCGACUUCAAAUAAUUGAACUCAUCAAUUUUAGAAUCUGAAUCAAUAGUAUUUGCAAUUUCUCUUUCGGGAUGAUGAUCACAGAAUCCAAAAGAGACUAAUUUUCGAUCAUACGAUAAAGUGAUGUCUUGAUUGUUGGAGAAAAAUUAGGUUUUUAAAUUUUUUAUAAAACCUUUUGAAGAUCGUUCUCAUAUAAUAUAUAAGAAUUUGUAUUCUAGAAAUCGUACCUUGAAAAUCCGAUUUGGCUUUUUCCGCUGAAGUGAUUUAGGCUCCUAGAUCACGAUCCGUCACCACCACGCUUGUUAGAUCACGAACUGUCACCAAUGAUCUUCCAGGUUAUGACUCAGGUUCGAUCUGCACUUGACGUGUGGGCGCCUUUAUCACUACCAAAGCAACUAGCACGAGAAAAUUUUUCUCUCAACAAUAGAGAGAAAAAUAUUAUUCUCUGAUCUGUAUAAAGUGGCUUCUCAAUUUCUUUAGAGAAAAAUAAGCAUUUUAUAUCACCCUUUAGUGAAAACCCUAGGCUCCAAAUAAUCAAAAACAAAACCCACGUUAUUUGCUUUUUCAAUAGGGGACCCACCUUGUAAAAUAACAUAAGGCCCCUUACACAAAAGCUAAUUAAAUGGUGCCUCCCAUUAAAUGAUAUAUUUAGACUUUUGACCCAAAUAGCUAGUUAUCCUACUUAUUAGUCCAGUAGUGGUGCAGUCAAUUAAAUGAGCUAACCCGGGGAUCAUUUGGGAACAUACAAUAGUGGCUACAAUAAUUAGGCCUGUAAUUAAACUAACCCAAUUAUUUAAUUCUAAAUCUACUCCACUAAAAGAUUGGAACUGACUUCCAUAAUUGUAUGCUCGAAUAAUAAUUUGUCCCAAGCCACAUUGAUUUCUUUACUGCACAAUCCUUUGUACCACAUCGUUAAUUAAAUUGAUAUCUCAACUGUCCAAUCAAUUUAAUAACAUCUUAUUCCUUGAUCCUUACUGGUUUUCUCUAAUGAUCAUUUUCAACAUACUAAAUAUGUUGACACACUCUGACCAGAGAAUUCUAUGAUCAAGUGCCGAAAACCCAUCAAGAGAUGUGUUGUACAAAUUCUAUAUUGUUAAUCCAUAACUCCAAUACUCAUAAUUGCUCCCACCAAGAUACCGGGUAAUCUUGACCACAAGGAUGUGUCAUGCCCAUUGGUAACUCAAAUGGAAUAACAAUUACAAUCAUGAAAUCAUAAUUAACUCAAGAUUAAGAUUACAGUAAAAUCAACGCCUAUGAGAUUUAAUAAGUCUGACAGUUAUUACAAAGUUAAUUAAAUCUCAUAUGUGAUCCUGUUCAAUGUAGUCGUACUACAUCAAUAAAUUCAUAUAUGAUUAAAACAAAUCAUUCAAUGAAUUUAUUACAGUCUAUACCUAAAUAAAGUGCCCAACUUUAUUUAUCAACUGCAAACUAAAUUUAUUUAAUCAUAAGAUAACUUGUAUUUAUGUCUUCUGUGAAUCCACAUGGUGAUCACAUAAAUACAUAUAAUAUGAUUAAAUGGACUUUAAUACAAAUAUUAAUGCAAUUAAGAUAUUUGAAUAAAAUACCUCAUUUAUUUUAUUAAUCAGAAAAAUAGUUUAUUACAAUUAAAUAAACACAUAUGCUUUUAAAGAGCAUAUUUUCCCAACAUUGAUAAGGCUCGUGACUGAAAAUGCACGUUUUGUUAUGGCUGUAGAAAUGGGAAGAGUCAACACUAGAUAAAUUAGUCCAUCAAUUAAGAAAUAGUGUUAUGAGUUAUUUGUUUCAAUUGAUUGUCAACAUAAAUCAGAAAGUGAAAUAACUUUAUGAAAAAGUGGAUGAGAAUGCGCAUCAAAUUUAUAAUGUCCCAAUUCUCUUCCCAAAACAAGAAUCUCAUUUGCAGUGGAAUCAUGAGGAUAAAAAUUUUCAGCACGACAACAAAUACGAUCUGUAUCAAAUAAAUUAAACUCAUCAAUUGGAUCCAAAGCCGAGCUUAAAGUAAAGAGUUCCAUAGUUUGCUCUGGGAAGCUUGUAUUUAUCUUUAUCAAUUGAAAACCUUUUAUAGCAUUAAAUACAUCACACAUUUCUAGAAUUGAGAGUUUAUACCUCUAUGAAAUGAGAGUUAUCAUAAUAAUUUUAGACCUAAACUAAUCUUAUUUAGAGAGUUAAUGAUGAAUUUUUUUUCAAGUUAUUUCAUCUUUAUUGGGUCAAGUUCUAUCCACUUCAAUUUUUUAUCUUAAAUUCAUAACUUAAUUUUGCAUCUAUUCGAUCAAUUAAAUACAUUAACGUAAAUACAAAGUGAAUAAGUAGCAUGUUAACUCCUAAUUGCGUCACUAAUGGGGUUGGCAAAAUAAUCAGGCGCCUAACCCUGACUACUGCCAAACCGAACUAUUUUAAUGCAUGCGUUGAUUUAAAAGAGAGAAAGAAGUUUUCCUGACAUAUGUCACUAUAAUUUAACUAAUAAGUUCAAAUCAUUUAGCUCACAUUUCAAAUAUGGUAAGUAUGGCUCAACUUAAUGCCAUUUCUAAGAGGAUCAAAGCUGACCAUAUCGCCAUCAUGGAAUUUGUUUUUUUCGCUGGUAAACCUCAGCUGCUCUAAGGAGAAUUUUACUAAAUUAAAAAGAAAAAGAGAAAAUGACACUUAAUAAGGGACAUAAUAAACUUUGCCCCUCUUAAAACUAAAACAAACAAGUCCUAAUACAAACCUAACAAUAGCAAGCACACAGAAUUCGAAGGGAAGGUAGAAUUUGUAUGGGAAUCAACAUGUUUGUACAGAACAUCCAUUAAACAAGAAAAAUUGAGAACCCGCUCGAGCAAAGGCAUAGGAACAACAGUUGGUCUCAUGAACUCCUCAUUUAUAUCUUUCCAAGCAUUCUCAAUUUUCUUCUGAAACAGUUUAACGGCCUCUUCCUAGGAAACACCAUUAUGCUUCAUGUAGCAUUCAACAGCUGAGGCAACAAUUCCUCUCUGUUGCCCAAACUACAUAACAUUCACAUAUAUAUCGGUCAUUUAAAAUUAGAAUAAUAAUAAUAAUAUAAAGAGCACUAAAUAAUAAAGGGUUUAGUUCAUGCUACCUUAUGAGAGACACUGUCGUCCGUGAGUCUGCAAAUUUUGAGGAAGCCUGAACGAUUCACUACCACAAAAAUGGGUUUUACUGACACUAAAUUAGUGUCAGUAGGUACUUUUCUUGACACUUGUUAAUUGUGUCAGUAAUGCUCAAGGCAGAACACACUGACACUCAUUUUUAGUGUUAGUGAUUUUUUUAUUAGUAAUUCAUGUCACUAUAGUAUCACCAAAAUAAUGAUACGAUAGUGUUAAUAUUUGAUGAUAUUAUUUACAUGUCAGUGAUUUAUGUGACUAUAGUAUCAAUAACAAGCUAGCUCGAUAAUAUAAAAAAUUAUUCAUGUCAAUUUAAAUAUUUAGUGUCAAUAUUUAGUAAUGUUAUGCAGGAUUGGUUAAUAAUUUUUUUUUAUUCUAAUUAUAUUUUUCCUGUUUGUUUUACAACCAAAAGAAUGCUCAAAAUAUAUUAAAUAUAUAAAAUGUCGCAAUAUAAUUCACAUAAUAAACAUCCCAAAUACAUCAUUCAAAUUCACAUGAUUCAACUACACCACUAUCUAGAAAAGAAAAAUAUAAGUACUAAAUUAAGUUUUCAACAACCACAAAGUACUAAUUUAGUUUCCACCAAAAAGAAGCACAAGAACAUCACUCAACAUCCAUCUGCAGCUUCAUUUUUUUUCCCACCUACAACAACAUAAAAUCAAUUAUAUGGAAAUAGAUUAUGGAAAACAAAUCGAUUGCGAGUAGUUUAACAGAGCAAUUGAAGGAUGUUUCAACAAUUAAUAAAACAAUAAGAAAUAAUAUUACAAUAAUACUGAAAGUUAAAGAAAUAAAGAACCCUAGCUUAAGUUGUCUGAAGAAGCCAUGUUGGAUAACUUGCUACAAGUCACAGAAAACAAAACAUCUAAGUCAAUCUAAUUAAAACCUUCCUAUUUUUUAUAAUCAAACAACAGAAAUUUGCAAUCAAAACAUCCAUUUGCCCACUCAAACUUUUAGCCUUAGCAUAAACUUCUUUCACUUUAAUCUCAUAAAACUUGUCAAAUUUAUGAAACUCUCAUCAAGCCUUCUAAAAAACUACCGCUCUCAUUUCCCUCCUUCCUCAACAAUCCUCAAAAGUAUUUUCAUUGCAAAAUAGCCCAAAAAAAUUAUAGGAGUUGUUUUGACUUUAGAAUAGCAACAAAACAACCCCCGGAAAUCUGUAGGGGCUGUUGUGCAGUGAAAACAACCACUAGAAAUCUACAGGGGCUGUCUUGUUGCUGUUCUGUAGUAGAAACAACCCCUGCAAAUUAACAUUUUUAGAUGAAUUAGAAAGGAAAAUAAUGUUACCUAUGAUAUGUUGGGAAAAUAUGCUCUUUAAAAGCAUAUGUGUUUAUUUAAUUGUAAUAAACAAUUUUUCUGAUUAAUAAAAUAAAUGAGGUAUUUUAUUCAAAUAUCUUAAUUGCAUUAAUAUUUGUAUUAAAGUCCAUUUAAUCAUAUUAUAUGUAUUUAUGUGAUCACCAUGUGGAUUCACAGAAGACAUAAAUACAAGUUAUCUUAUGAUUAAAUAAAUUUAGUUCGCAGUUGAUAAAUAAAGUUGGGCACUUUAUUUAGGUAUAGACUGUAAUAAAUUCAUUGAAUGAUUUGUCUUAAUCAUGUAUGAAUUUAUUGAUGUAGUACGACUACAUUGAACAGGAUCACAUAUGAGAUUUAAUUAACUUUGUAAUAACUGUCAGAUUUAUUAAAUCUCAUAGGCAUUGAUUUUACUGUAAUCUUAAUCUUGAGUUAAUUAUGAUUUCAUGAUUGUAAUUGUUAUUCCAUUUGAGUUACCAAUGGGCACGACACAUACUUAUGGUCAAGAUUACUCGGUAUCUUGGUGGGAGCAAUUAUGAGUAUUGGAGUUAUGGAUUAACAAUAUAGAAUUUGUACAACACAUCUCUUGAUGGGUUUUCGGCACUUGAUCAUUGAAUUCUCUGGCCAGAGUGUGUCAACAUAUUUAGUAUGUUGAAAAUGAUCAUUAGAGAAAACCAGUAAGGAUCAAGGAAAAAGAUGUUAUUAAAUUGAUUGGACAGUUGAGAUAUCAAUUUAAUUAACGAUGUGGUACAAAGGAUUGUGCAGUAAAGAAAUCAAUGUGGCUUGGGACGAAUUAUUAUUCGAGCAUACAAUUAUGGAAGUCAGUUCCAAUCUUUUAGUGGAGUAGAUUUGGAAUUAAAUAAUUGGGCUAGUUUAAUUACAGGCCUAAUUAUUGUAGCCACUAUUGUAUGUUCCCAAAUGAUCCCCGGGUUAGCUCAUUUAAUUGACUGCACCACUACUGGACUAAUAAGUAAGAUAACUAGCUAUUUGGGUCAAAAGCCUAAAUAUAUCAUUUAGUGGAAGGCUCCAUUUAAUUAGCUUUUAUGUAAGGGGCCUUAUGUUAUUUUACAAGGUGGGUCCCCUAUUGAAAAAGAAAAUAACGUGGGUUUUGUUUUUUGAUUAUUUGGAGCCUAGGGUUUUCACUAAAUGGUGAUAUAAAAGGCUUAUUUUCUCUAAAGAAAAGAUAGAAGUCACUUUAUACAGAUCAGAUAAUAAGAUUUUUCUCUCUAUUGUUGAGAGAAAAAUUUUCUCGUGCUAGUUGCUUUGGUAGUGAUAAAGGUGCCCACACGUCAAGUGCAGAUCGAACCUGAGUCAUAACCUGGAAGAUCAUUGGAGACAGUUCGUGAUCUAACAAGCGUGGUGGUGACGGAUCGUGAUCUAACAAGAGUGGUGGUGGCGGAUCGUGAUCUAGGAGCCUAAAUCACUUCAGCAGAAAAAGCCAACUCAGAUUUUCAAGGUACGAUUUCUAGAAUACAAUUUCUUAUAUAUUAUAUGAGAGCGAUCUUCAAAAGGUUUUCUAAAAAAUUUAAAAACCGGAUUUUUCCCCAACAUGAUAGUCACCAUUGUCGAAGUCAUAGCAAAUAGCCUGCAAAUUAACAAUAAUAACAACAUUUACAUCAGUUUAUGAAACUGCUUUUAUUGGUUUUUUUUUUUUUUGCAAGGAUAUGUAUAUAAAUAAUAGUGCAUUUAAACUUACAAAUAUACUGUAUCUUAGACCAUCAAUUGAUGUGGUAUAGUUUUUGUAAAGUACCUUAUUUACCUCAGACACUUCACUUUCCUCUAUGCCAAGAUUUUGAAUCAUCUAUUAUACACAAAGUAAAUUUGUAGAAACUAGUUAUACAUUUGUUAAACAAAUAAACAACUUGAAUGACAAAAGUUUACUAACUGAAUAGAAAUGCACCAAGGUCAUUAUAAAUUGGCACUACUUACUGAAAUGAUCAACAACAUUGACAAUAACACCUCAUACAUGAAUUCAGAUUUUAAGCAUAUAAAGAGAGUUCAAAUGAAUGAUUGCUUAUACAUUUUAUAACAGAUUUACAACAAUAAAGUAGAUAAAUGGCAACUCUACUAGAGGUAUGUUUCUAGUAUAAGGAAUCAAACAUAAGUAAAGGAGUAAGGUAGUAUCUUAUCAUCUGCAUAAUCAACACACCAUGACAGAAAUCGAAUCAAAUAAAUACUACGAAUGCCGAAUGGAAGAAAGAAAUUAAAACAUUUUCUGCAAAAUAUUAUUAUUAUUAUUAUUAUAGCCAGAUACUCAAAAGCUUAAACCAAAAUAUCAAAAAAAAAAUUUUAUAAAGCAAUAACAAUAAACCUAAGCAGUAAACACGACAGACCCACCAGCUUUUUUAAUUUUCUACUUGGCUGUUUUGGAAACAAGCUUGGCCUUCACCACAACGAGUUGGUUCUCAAGCAAAAGGCCCUUACCCAAAACCUUAAAGUAGCCAAACUGAGUCACAUCGAUCGUGAGAACAUUGUCUUUGGAAGCCUUGGCUUAUGUUUUUUUUGCCUUUUUAGUUUAUAUAAUGUAAUUGUGUUAUUAUAAUUAUUUCGAUUAAUCUUGAUUUUGUUUGACCAGGAGUUUCAAUUUUAUUGCUAAUGACAUGAUGGGGCUUGUUGAAGAAGAGGGCUUGGAUGGAGCUGCUGCUAAUAUUUUAUCUGAUGAAGAGAUCACUGUUGUGAUUAUAUCGUUAUGAUAUUAUUGAAUUUUGUAAUAUAAAUUGUUUCAAUUGUAGUGAUUGUCAAAUUAAUUUAUUUUUUUAAUGAAAUAUAAUUUUUGUAUUCAAUUCUUAGUUUGUUUGUAGCUGUAAGUUUUUAAUAUUUAUAAAAAAAAAAAGAAAUAUUGGAAAAAAAAAUAAGUAAGAGGAUUGUGGAAGCAAAAUGAGCAUAUAAAAUAAAACAAAAUAAAAUAAAAUAAAAAAGUAGCACAAUUCACAACGAUCAUAUUACAUGUUGUUAAAAGAAAUUUACAUAUGAAGGUUUUGACGACAUUAAAUUUGCGUUGUUUAAAGUAUUUUUAACUACAAGCGCAUGACUUUUAACAAUGUGUGUUGCAUGUCUUUAAAAGUAACUUUAAGACAAAAUCUUGAUCGACAACGCCGCAGAUACACGUUGUUAAAAGUUCAAGAUUCUUUUUAUUUUUAAGGAUUAUCUCUUAUUUAUACCGAGCUAUUAGCCGUGAAUCUCAUGUAUGGCAGAAUAGAAUGAGAUAUGAGAAAUAGAAACAAAGAUAUAGAAAAUAAGGGAUAAUAAAUCUACAAACUCUUAUAGAAAUUUAUUUAGUAUAAACUCAUGUGGUAUAAAUAAAAUAGUUGAUGAUAAUGCAAAAUAAUACAAAUAAAUCAUAUUUGCUAAGAGCUAUUUCAUCAGACCAAUAUAUUUGUGCCAUAUAAGUUUAUACAAAAUAAGUUUACACAAUAGUUAAAUUAGUUGAAUUAAAUUCAUCUUUACCCACAUGAUUUAUUUUUAUUAAUUUUUAUUUCCAUACAAUCAACAAAGUUUAUGCUACAUCAAUUUAUACGAAAUAAAUUUAUAUAAAAGUUUGUAACUUUACCAGCACUAGUGAAUUCAAAGUUUUUUUUUCAUAACUUCUAGAACUUCAUAAUAGUUCCAAUCCAUUCCAUAUUUUAUGGGAACCGUAAAGUUAAAUGAGUUAUUUUUCCCAUCUUAUGUUAAUGGAUCAUAUUGUUCAACAAAUGUGUGCUAUUAUUGUGCCAUAACAUUUCAGUUAUUUUGAUUAUGACUAUAUAAUAUACAAAAUUUCUGAAGGGAACCCAAUAAUUUCAAUUGUACAUUCAAUGAGAUACACAUUUUUAUAGUUUAAUUAAAAAUUAAUAAAUAAAUAGAUGAAGUAGUACUAACAACUCAUGUUCUUCAUACUUAAUGGGUUUUCAGUGUUUUAGAAAAAUUCUAAUUGUCUUGACACUUUAUUGAGUGUUGUAGUUUAGCACAAAGAAUACAAAGCAAAUUAAGCUGUGAAAAUAUCUGAGCCUAUCAAAAACUUUAUAAAUGAUGUGAAAUAAGUGGUGAACUUACACCAUUUACAAAACGCAAAAUUCCCACAUUGGAAAUUUGGAGCAACCCCCCCACCCAUGCACUAUGAUAUAUAUGUGGAAGCUCGUGUGAUAAGUGAAUUAACAAUAACAAAGGUAUUUAAAGUACUUUAUUUAGUUUAAAAUUUUCUUUAUCAUUUAUUUAUUUUAUAACAAUAAAAAAAUAAUUUUAGUAUUUUUUUUCAUAAUUAGGUCUCUCAAAAUAGGUGUUUAAUAAUAAUAAACAAAACAGAAACUAAGAAAUUAGAAGGGGAACAUAGCGAGCUUUAACUCUAAGAGGAAUAACACAAAAGCUUAUAAAGAGAGCCGCAAAAAACAAAUGAUAGAGAAAUCGCAUAUCAUAUCUAAUUAAAAUCUAUACUUGCGAAAACCAUUGGAAUCUUGAUAAAAAAACUUUGAAUCUCGGCAGGUAGAUCACUCUACCAAAAAAAAGUAUCACACUGAAGCCUCAAAUUAGUCAAGAUGUCAGCUACACAAUUAUUCUCUCUAUAGGUAUGAGAAAAUCUAAAUGGAAAAACAAUAAUUAUAAUUAAUAUUGAAUUUAAUAAUCAUACCAAAAUUAGUAACAACAUUAAUAAUAAUUUUGAGUUCAAUAAGAGUAGGACUAUUGACACCCCUUUAAAUACCUCUUAAAAAUCCUUUAAUUAUUUUACAAUUUUAACCUUCAUUAAAAUUACAUAACAGAACAAUUUUUAAUUAAACCCUUACUCAAAAGUCAAAUAAUUUUUUUCCUUAAAAAUUCUUUAUUAGCACCACCGUCCAAAUAUCGCUUAAAAUUCUGCUUAUAAGCAGAAUAGUGAGUUGGAAAAGAAGAAAAGGCGUAGUGCAAGUGGAACAAAAAGGUGUGGCUUUCUAUUUUUAUUAAAGGGACAAAUGUGGGCGAAUAAUCAAGAUCGGAUGUUAAAGUGAUUUGUGAAUUAAUCAUCAUUUUGCACAACAUCUCGAGGGCCUCUCAUUUGCAGUGUAAUCAUAAAAACCAUCCUCCUGGUUUCUGUUCUCUUGAUUGUACAUGUCUUGCAUAAAUCAACCCAAGUAAUUUGAAAAACGCCAUCUUAAUAUGACUAACUAUGAAGAAACUUCAUGUAUUUCAUAUUUAUUAUUUAAAUAUCAGACAAAUAUGCUCAGUCAUAAUUUAUUUUUCGAUUAAGAGAGGAAAGGAAUUGUACGGAAAUGGAAAUCCAAAAUUUUAGAAAUUAAAAAGGUUACAUUUUUCUCUUAUUUUUUGGGUAAAGAAUUUACCACUAGUGGCUGUACUGGACAAAAGAAACCCAUAAUUUUUUUUCUCCUGAAUGGAAUUUACACUAAUAAUUUUUAAUAAGGAUAUUUUUAUCAUUUCAGGAGGUGUUAAAAGAAUUUUAUAAUAUUUUUAAAUAUUUUAAUGUAGUUAAUUAAAAAAAUGGUGUUAAGAAGUAUUUAGAGGAGCGUCAGUAGUCCCACUCAUUCAAUAAUCAUACUGGAAUAGAAAAAAAUAAGCAUACCAGAAUGGGAAAGAGCAAUAUUUAACAACAAUAAUAAUUAAUAUCUUCUUAAGACUUAAUUUAUUAAUCGAGCAAACUAGUUGAUAAUUUAAAUUAAAAAAGAACUAUAAAAACUUUAAUAUCACUUGUCUAUUUAAGAGUAGUGUGAUUACAAGGGGGGGUCACCACCCUUCAAUUUAUUUUUAAAAUCCAAAUCCAAGCUCAAACGGCACAGGAUUAAUUAUUUUGCAGCAGAGUAGUUGAAAACAUAAGCUUAAUAUCAUACUCAUAUCGGCACAGGAUUAAUAAGCAAAGAAGCAACAAAAUCUUUCAGCACAACUGCGGAAUGAGUGUAGCCAUCUUCAUACUUGUAAAUGACAUCUAUAACGCGUGUAAGAUUGAGAAUUCGCAUCAGAAGUGGCAUUGGCACAACCGUUGGGCGUAGGCAGUCCUCAUUUAUAUCCUUCCAGGCAUUUGAAACUUGUUUCCGAAACUCAUUGCAUGCUUCCUCUUCUGUUGCUCCAUGUUGUUUCAUGUAACACUCAACGCUUGAGGCAACGUGCCCUCUGCUUUGUUCAAACUAUAUGCAAA